CUUCCAAGCUUUCAAGUGCUCAAGUGUCCUAGCUUUCCAAAGCUUCAAAAGCUCUCCAACUUCUUCUUCUAAUCUUCUUGUUCAUCUUUACAAGUAAGAAGUGUUGUUUGCUUUGAUAUUCCACUCCUCUAAUCACCUCUUGUGUGUGUCCACUUUGGUUGAGAGGGUUGUCUCAAUAGUACCAAAGUGUCAGAGAAGGUUUGUGAGCUCAACCAUAAAGCUCUAGUUUGGUUUUAUAGAGUUUCCGGGAAAACUCUUAGGUUGAGUCUACCUUUAAAGAUCUCAAAGGUUUUUAAGAGUUCCUUGAAUACUCUAAGGUGUGAGUCUACCCGUAAAAGACUGGUUCCUAAGCGUAGUAGCCUUAAAGCUUAGAGAGGUUUUUAAGAGUUCCUUGAAUACUCUAAGGUACUAACUUACCCGUAAAAGUUAGAGGUUCUUAAGAGUGCCCUUGAUACUCUAAGGUGUGAGUCUACCCGUAAAAGACUGGUUCCUAAGCGUAGUAGCCUUAAAGCUUAGAAAAGGUUUUGCCAUUACCUUUAGGCGAGUGAAUUCCGGCUGUUGGUCGGGACUGGACUAGCCCUUGUUUGGGUGAACCAGUAUAAAUCUCUUGUGUUGUUCUCUGUUAAUUAUAGUUUCAUUUUUCACUUAAAAACAACACUUAAUUAAAAAGAUCCCUCUUCCAGUUACCUGGUCAAACACAGAGGUUGACUACUUUACGCAGAUCCCUCAUCCAGUUAUCUGGUCAACUAUCUGAGGUUAUAUUUAUUGCUUUAAAUUCUUAUAUUUGUUCAAGUAUUACUUAUCAUAUUUAUCCAGUUAUCUGGUCACUUACUUGUUUAUCAAAUUAUCCAGCUAUCUGGUCAUUUACUUGCUUGUCAAUAUAUCCAGUUAUCUGGUCAUUUACUUGCUUAUCAAUAUAUCCAGUUAUCUGGUCAUUUACUCUACAAUACAAUUUGUGUUUCCAAUAUAACUUAGUAUCCAUAUACUAUAGUUGUGUGUGAAACACUAUCAAGAAAGUUGACUCAGUAUUCAUAUACUGUAGUAAGCUUCAAAGAGUAAUACUUACAAUAUUAUAUCAAUUAAAAUAAUAAUAUCCUUAUAUCAUUACUGUUCAACCAUUUGUUUAUUAAGCAUUUACAGGUAAUUCCGCUAUCAACCUGUAUAAAUCGAAAAGAGGCUAUCACCCCCCCUAUAGCCUCGGAUCACGAUCCAACAAGUGGUAUCAGAGCCAAGUUCCGGGGGUGGCAGAUUAAUUGGCUGGUAUCGCGACAUCCAGAAUCGCAGAUGACCAGAUAGUUGAAUCCUCGAUAGUAGUGAUCGAGCGUCGCUCGCAUUCAGGCUCGAGGGGGGAUUGACUCCAUCAGACCCAUCCAAGGUUGCGUGAGUCAUAACUUGUUCAAAUUCGCCGUCCCCAGAACGGCCUAUUGGAAGCAACCUUGGCACGCCAUUCACGGUGAUUUCACAAUGAGCGAACCCAGAGGGGUUCAAAGCUCCAACAUAUGUACUUAAGUCGAGGUCUGGAUCUCGACUAGCAUCCAAAUCCACGGGAGGUGGCGGAGUUCUUUCAGAGCGUCGGCCCGCUCUACGGCGUGGAUUAGGAGCACCACGGUCUGCAGUCAGUGUCUCCUCGAAAUUGAUAUUUAGAGGAGGAGGGACCCCUUCGUUUUCUUCGGGCACAUGUACUUUGCCCUUCCCAGUGGUGCGCCUUCUCUUUCUCUUGAGAGAAGGACCUUGGUUCGGGUUCAGUCCCGACACAAUAUGGCCUUCCGCAUUCACAACCAACGGAGCGGUGCGACGCACGGAAGAAUCAUCAAUCAGCAUGGGAGUCGCCGACUCCAGCACACGAGUCGCCGAUUCAAUGAGAGGAAUCGGCGAGUCACGGCCAGCAGUCGCCGACCCAAUGGCAGCUGAGCCCUGUCCCCUUCGCUUGAAGGAUUUUCCCUUGACAGGACCGGCAUGUGUCGCCGACUCCACGAUGGGAAUCGCCGACACAGAGGCCUCGGGAAUCUCCCCCAGCUCAAGAGGCUCCCGCACGACCACAAGGGCCUUGCACUGAGUCGCCGACUCCACAAGGGGAGUCGUCGACACUGGCGAGGCGCCAAGAAGUUCGUGCACGGUGGCACUCAGCUCCAUAUUACGAGGUGGCACGACCGGAGUCGCCGACUCAACCUCUCUGUCAGGAGAGGGAAUCGGCGAUUUGACGGUGUUCAACACCUCGUCUAAAUCAUCAACAGUCAGUUCAGCUAUGAAGGCUGACGUUUCAGCUUCAUUUAGUGGGGACAAAGGGGAAUCGGGGGUAGACAUGAGGGCAAUCGACGAUUCGAAGGUUGAAAACUGGGGAAUCGGCGAUUGAAAAAUCAAGAGGUUUAGGCGAUUAAAAGAGGUAAAAGGUGUUGUGAGAUUUUGUGGAAAACCUCUCCACUAUUUAUAGCCUUUGGGAAAAUUGCAAAAACCCCCCAGAAAACCCAAAAUUUACAAAAUUUGAGAUCAAGAAUCGAUCUCCAAAUCCCCCGAAUCACGCCAAGUCGCCGACUCCACAGGGCAGUCGCCGACUCCGAACAAAAACUCACAGCACUGUGAGAAACAUUUCAUUAUUUGGAGAUUUUGCAAAUAUUCCCCGUAUAUCCUCCAAAUAUCCCAAGGAUCUCCCAAAAAGAUCCGACGGUUACACUAGGAGUCACCGACUAACAGAGGGAGUCACCGACUCGCAGGGGUAAAAAACAAAAAUGCCCCCUACAAUUACCCAUACCAUAGGUAUCGCCGACUGGUAGGAGUAUCACAAACUCCAGUCGCCGAUUCCGGGUAAAAUAACAUUAAAACUGCUCCAACUGCAAGUUUUCUGGGGGGAGUAUCACAAACUCUUCCGACACUUCUGUCGUUUCGGCCAGAAGUCGUCAAAUUUCAGGGGGGAGUAUCACAAACUCUCCCGACACUUCUGUCGCUUCGGCCAGAAGUCGUCAAAUUUCAAGGGAGGAGUAUCGCAAACUCUCCCAACACUUCUGUCGCUUCGGCCAGAAGUCAUUACACUUCAGGAGGGAGUAUCACAAGCUCUCUCCAUCGUUAAGGUUCCGAGUUUCAAGGCAACCUUCGAGUGUCGAAUAUCUCUGAUUCGUCAUUUGCUCUAUCUCUAGUAACCCUACGCUAAUCUAGAGGUAUAAAUUUUCCGUAAAUUUAACCGUAGGCUGAGCUACGAUUCGUACGACCAAGUCUACGCCCAGAGCGGCUAGCAAUAGGGUUAGCAGAGUCUAAUUUACGUCCAGAGUGGCUAAAUUACGACUUGUGAAUCUAGUUUCGGGCCUUAGUUACAAUUUGAAGGGUAAUUUAUAUGAAAGAUUAGCAAAGGAAAAACAAUAGAUAGUUCACCGACAGUCACAUACUUAGAAAAACACUCGUCCCAAAUAUUUGUGUAUCACCAAAGCACAAUCUUCAGGGGAGUAUCACAAGCUCUCCCGACACUUCUGUCGCUUCGGCCAGAAGUCGUCAAAUGUCAGUGGGGAGUAUCAUAAGCUCUCCCGACACUUCUGUCGCUUCGGCCAGAAGUCGUCAAAUGUCAGGGGGGAGUAUCACAAGCUCUCCCGACACUUCUGUUGCUUCGGCCAGAAGUCNNNNNNNNNNNNNNNNNNNNNNNNNNNNNNNNNNNNNNNNNNNNNNNNNNNNNNNNNNNNNNNNNNNNNNNNNNNNNNNNNNNNNNNNNNNNNNNNNNNNNNNNNNNNNNNNNNNNNNNNNNNNNNNNNNNNNNNNNNNNNNNNNNNNNNNNNNNNNNNNNNNNNNNNNNNNNNNNNNNNNNNNNNNNNNNNNNNNNNNNNNNNNNNNNNNNNNNNNNNNNNNNNNNNNNNNNNNNNNNNNNNNNNNNNNNNNNNNNNNNNNNNNNNNNNNNNNNNNNNNNNNNNNNNNNNNNNNNNGCUUCGGCCAGAAGUCGUCAAAUGUCAGGGGGGAGUAUCACAAGCUCUCCCGACACUUCUGUUGCUUCGGCCAGAAGUCGUCUAAUUUCGGGGGGAGUAUCACAAGCUCUCCCGACACUUCUGUCGCUUCGGCCAGAAGUCGUCAAAAAAUUUGAGCACGGUAAAAUCUGUCGCUUCGGCCAGAUUUACCAAGGACAAAUUUGAGCAAAGGAAGGGCAUCACGAAAGGUAAAUCGCACGGUAAGUUCAAUAAUAAAUAUAUGCGUUUUCGAACUGAUCUAGUUGUUUUGCAGGAUGUUUUCUUUUUUGCAGGAAAGGUUCUAAUAGUGAACCAGACUCUGAUAGUGAGUCAGCAGGUUCUGUAUCUGAGGCGAGAAUCGGAUUCUGAUAGUGGAUUUGUAGCCUUGGUCAGAAUCAGACUCUGAUAGUGAGUCAGAUUCUAAUAGUGAAUCAGCAGGUUCUGUAUUUGAGGCGAGAAUCAGAUUCUGAUAGUGGAUCCGUAGCCUUGGUCAGAAUCAGACUCUGAUAGUGAGUCAGAUUCUAAUAGUGAAUCAGCAGGUUCUGUAUCCGAGGCAAGAAUCGGAUCCUGAUAGUGGAUCUAUAGCCUUGGUCAGAAUCAGACUCUGAUAACGAGUCGGCACUUCUGUCGUUUCGGCCAGAAGCUGUCACAUUUUUGAGCAUGAUAGAUCUGUCGCUUCGGACAGAUCAAUCAAGGAUUUAUUGAGCAUAAGGAGGAGCAACAUGAGAGGCAGUUCCGCACGGCAAGGUCAGUAAAUCAAUAAAUAUAUCCUUUAGACCGAUAUAGUUGUUUUGCAGGUUGUUUUUUGUUUUGCAGGCAUGAUUCUGUCGCUUCGGCCAGAAUCAGACCAAGAAUUAUGUUGUCGCUUUGGCUUCAAUAGUUCUUCGAACAUUUGGAGAUCAUUUUGUCGCUUUGACCUUAAUGAUCUCGACCCAUCUUGCGCUUCGGCCUAUGGGGUAACCGUCGUUGCGGACACCAAGUCGCUCUUGAUCAGGGUAGACUAUAAACAUUAGUUUUGAUAGUGAACUAGAUUCUCGCGCUUCGGCCAGAAUCAAAUUCUAAUAGUGAAUCCACGCGAUCUGUCGCUUCGGCCAGAACCCGAUUCGGAUAACGAAUCCACGCAUUCUGUUGCUUCGGCCAGAAUCAGAUUCUAAUAGUGAAUCCACGCAUUCUGUCGCUUCGGCCAGAAUCCACACAGCAAAAGUCGCUCUUGAUCAGAGUAGGACUAUAAACAUGUAGUUCCAUUGGCCUGAAACUAGAUUCUGAUAGUGAAUCAGUCCAUCUGAUAGUGUAUGGACCACGCGGAGCCAUUAGUGUCGCUGUGAGCGCAAUGACUCAAUCCCAUCUUGUCGCUACUCGCCUUGAUGCGGAUCACCUUGCUUGGGGGAGGGGAUACUGACGGUACACGGGUGUUUUGCCAUGCUCUUUUCAGGGGGGAGUACUGGUGAGACAUGCCUGAUCACGUCAGUCACUCCCAACAACGCCCUUCGACAAGGACUAGGGUUCCGUCGCUUUAUGCCGGACCCCCGGAGAGUUCCACGAAUUCGGAAGGAGUGUCUACGUCAAGUACUCAAGGCAACACCUGGGAGUCGCCGACUGAGACUACCAAGUCGCCGACUCCAGGGGUGAAUCGCUGACUCUAGGCCUCGUGGACAGUUCUGGUAGACUGCCACUAGGCUCAUGGGGAGUCGGCGAUUGAGCCUCUGGAUCGGCGAUUCCCACACCUGAGUCGUCGACUCCCAGCCGUUACUUGGGUGGGCCCACGUCAUUAAGGCAGCCCUUAAUAGGAUACCUUAAUGGGGUGGGUCCCACGCUAAUGAAUGAGGAAACGUCCCCUAGGACCCUAUAAAAGGGGUCCUUGGGGGACCUCUAUCCUCAAGUCAUUCCCACUUGGCACACACCAACCAGAGAAACACUUGGAGCCCGAAUCGCCUACUCCCAAAAGAGUCGUCGAUCCCCCUUCCCUUCUGCAGGUACAUUGACGUAGAGCGUGCGUCGUGGACUCCAAAGCUUCCGGCCCUCCUCGCGACCCCGCGAGCCUACUGAUAGCAGAUUUCGUGUUUCAUCACUUCACAUGAACUUAUUUAGGCCAACCCAAACCCAAAGUCUUGGAGGAAAAAAAUUCACCUAUAUAAUCAUUGAUGAUUACUCCCACUAUACAUGGGUGUUCUUUCUAAGAAAUAAAAGUGAAACCUUUGGUGAAUUCUCUAAAUUUUGUACCCUAGCUAGUACAAAAUGAAAAGAGUUCAUUUAUCAUAAAGAUCAGAAGUGAUCAUGGAGGAGAAUUUGAAAACUCUGAAUUUAAAGAGUACUAUACAACUAAUGGGAUAAAGCAUAAAUUUACCCUUCCUCAAGCUUCACCUCAGAAUGGAAUAGUUGAAAGGAAAAAUCAUACACUUCAAGAAAUGAGUAGGUCUAUGUUACAAGAACAUGACCCCCCUCAAUAUAAAUCUGAUGGGGGUGAAACCCGACCAGUACUCCAAGACGCGCAAGCAAGCGCCAAGCGGGGAACUCCGCGGGAAACCGGACCGGAACUCAAGUGCGCAGAGCUCUGCUUCGCUAGGAAUCCUUUCGCUCCAAAUGACCUGCCUUUAAUGAGUGGGGGGUGCCCUCUAUUUAUAGGGGUUCUUAUGGGGGUAAUAUGGUCAUUUUGGCAGUAACCGCCUAACUGCCAAACUGAUCAGAUUGGGUCCCGGGAUCGACUUUCCAGAGAUCGACUUUCUGGGGGUCGACUUUCCUGGUGAUCGAUUUUAUUCAGAAGUCGAUCCCAGGGAAGUCGAUCCUCAGGAAAGUCGAUCUUCCUAGGAUUCGACCUGGGACCUCCCCAACCCUAGAAUAGAUACCUUAACUCAUCUUAGGCUAUCCGGACUUUUAGUUGCUGGUAGGUUGUGACCGUGUUCGGGAUACUGUAUCACCAAUACUCCCCCCUCCUCUGCGUAUUAGAUACUUUGGGAUACGUCUUUUAGUAAUAUGGUCUGUGUGUUGGACCUUGUAUUAUCAGUAUUCCCCCCUCUUUGCGUGCUGGGAUGUGGAUUUUUGGUGAUGUCUCAGGAUGCGAGAUCCUCUCUCACCAAUAUCUAUGGGUAGAAGCAGUAAACACUGCUUGUUACAUUCUCAAUAAGGUAAUCAUUAGGAAAACCUUAAACGACAAAACCCCUUAUGAAAUUUGGAAUAAAAGAAAACCCAAAGUUUCAUUCUUUAAAGUAUUUGGGAGCAAAUGUUAUGUUCUCAGAACAAGAGGAAACCAAGAUAAAUUUACUCAAAAAUCCGAUGAAGGAAUGAAUCUUGGUUGGAUACUCAAGAAAAAGCAAAGCCUAUAGAGUGCGCGCUACUCAAGGAAAGACAAAUGCUGAUAGAAUCUCUACAUGCACGUUGACUUUGAUGAAUUCAUCUCUGUUCCAAACACAGAAGAAGGAGAAACUAAUUAAAAUCACUCAACAAUUGUCACAAGACACUCCUAUAGAAGAAUUAGAUGAUCAAGAAAAAAUAAAUAUUUCUGAACUUUUAACAAAUAGUAAUCUUAGGAAUCCACACUCCGAAAAACAAAUCAUUGGAGAUCAACACACUGGUGUACAGACACAAUCAUCUAUAUAUACAAGGCAAUUAAUUGUGUCCUAAAUUGCUUUGUAUCUCAAAUGGAUCCCAAGAAGAUCGAUCUAUGGGUAUAUUUAAUUGAGCUUAGUGAGAUUUGACACAAUAUUUGAUAAAUACUUAGGUAGUCCUAAGUACUUAUAGUCAAUGCAUCUCAAGUACGUACUUUAAAUAUUCUUAAUAUAGCUCACGUAAAGAUCUUUAUAUCUUGAUCAUAACUUAAUUAAGAUCACAUUGAAAUAAAUAUAUAUGCAUCUAAGACCUACAUGCAUGACUAUCGAUCAUAAAAUAAAUGAAAAUAACUCAUAUACAUGUAAUUCAUCAUAUGCAUGGUACUUCAAGUUCAAAUACGUACUAUCAUACAUGGAUCUACUCAUGUUCAAACCCAAACACACAUGCUUAUGAUAUUAUGCAUGAUUUAAAACGAUAUAAUACAAUACAUGUAUGUAAAAUAUAUCUACUUAUGCACAUUAAAUUCAAAUUCGCAUAUACAUGUUACACAUAGAUAAAAAUGACUUCAUGCAUCGUAUGUUGCUAUAAAUAUUGUUGUCAUAGACAUGAUGUAUAAAAUAAUUCAUACAAACUAAAGAUCAUCUAUGACAUGAAAUCACAUGCAUCAUACGCGCGUACUUUUAAUCAUGUAAUUGCAUAAUCAAAAAUAUAAUUAAUGCAUGAUUUAAAAUGAAAAUUAACUACUCGAUAAACCAAGAUCAUAUUAUAUAUAUGCAUGCUUGAUAAAAUUAAGAUCUUAAUUUCAUGCAUAACUAUUGUAUAAUCAUGAUGAUUUAUGUUUACAAAUGCGCAACAUAUUCCAUGAUAUAUUUACACAUAAACAUAUACAUGCGUGAAUUAACUCGAUGGAAUAUAAUUUAUAACAUCAUACUAUGCAUAUUACACUGUAAGUCAUCCACGACCUCCACGACCUCCACUACUCAAUCCAGUAAGGAGGAAGCGCACUAAGAUGGCUCCCAUUCAAGAGAUCUAUGAUGGAAUUCCAGUUUAAUUGGAUGUCGGUAACGGCAGAGCAAACUUAUCAACUAAAUUCUCGAUCAAAGGAUGAUCCUUGAAGAACCAGUGAUCCUUUCAUCCUUAAACUGCCGAGUGAUAGAGAGCUACCUUGCCUACAAUCGUCUCACUACAUACUUGGAGAAUAUAUAUCAGGCAGCUCCUCAUCUACAAAUCUGAGAUCGCUCAAUUCUACUCUAAUCUGAAAUAUGAAAAGCAAGGAUUGCCCACCAUAACCUCCAUCGUUAAUGGAGCUUACAUAAUCCUUCGAGCUGAUCAUCUAAGUUCAUGGACUAACUUGGCAAAUGAUGGAGUGAAGUUGCAGAAAUACAAAAAACCUAGAUGAUCUACCUUUUGUGUGCAACACUGAGCUACUUUAGAACACUCUCACUCACAGGUUCAACGCAUUAAGCUACAUGAAGAUUGAAAAUUCUAUGCUCAUUCCAGAGGCGUCAAUUCUACUCAAGAUUAUCCUUCACAAUCUCUAUCCUUAAGCUGAGAACCUAAGUGAGCCUCCUAUGAUCAUCUUAGUUGCCAUCUUCUGUCUUUUGUCCAAUAUUAAGGUGAACUGAACUUCUCUUGUACUACAUAACAUAUCCACCUCAACAAAGAUGACCGGAGCAUAUCACUUUCCAAGGAUGCUAUCAAUGAUACUCGGGAAAGGACACUUUAACAUCCCCUUGUCCCAGAGUGCAACUCUGAUAGGUGUCCAACCCUUCACAGCCAGCUCCUUCAAGCAGAAGAAAUGGCUUAAUCUAGUCACCAAUGAUUCGAUCAAACACUGAAGACACCAAUGUCUUUCUCAAUGAGGAAGUUGUGAGGUUGCGUCAUCAAGUAAAAUUGCUGGAAAGAAGCAUUGGCCACCUAGAAGAGAUGAUCGGAAUCACUCGACAACAGCUAGCUAGACAUGGAGAGGGAAUACAACUUGGAGCUUUCAAAUGUCUUCAAUGAGUUUAGCUCCAUGAUUGUUCCAACCGAUCACCCCCAGUAACCAGUCCUGCCCUACCGUGUUUUGAUGUUUUGGUCUCAUCGCGUAGUUUGAUAAUAUGUUUUGUCUAUGUCACUUUGAAGAUCCAGUAGUGAUCUUAAAUAUCCUUGUAUGUUCCCUUAUCAUCAAUAUGAAGAUCAUCGCUUUAUUUAAAAAAUUCCAUCUUCAUAUAAGGGUAUGCAUGUAAAGAUAGAACAAGUUCACAGAAAAUUAAAACAUAAAAGGGUUGCAUGGGUAAGUAUUAUAACUUCAAGGAUAAAAUGAAAAAUAUUAUGACGUAAAUAAUACACGAAAAAUUCAUUGAACUUGAGGAGUUAAGUGAUAUUUUUCAAGUGAAUUGGAUUUCAAAAACUUCAAGGACUUAAAAUAAAUAUUUACAUGAAGUUUUUAUUCGAAAAAUACUUAGAAAUAUUUAAUACUUUCAAGGUUUAAAAUGAAUUUUUUUUUAGUAUUAAUCUAAGUAUUGAUAUUUUAUCAUAACUUCAAAGGGCAAAAUGAAAUUUUUUAAGUGAAGUUUUAUUACUAAGACUUUAAGGACUGAAAUGAAAAUUUUUAAAUCUUUAAAACUUGAAUAUUUACAUGAUUACAUAUUUGUCACUAAGACAUGGAUUUUAAAACUUUAAAUGCUUAAAUCUUCUUAAAGUUAUUAGUGAAUCAUGUUUUAUGCAUACAUUUCAUUCACUAAAAUAUUUUAUGGAUUAUAACAUCAUAUAAUCUUUAAUCCAUAUACUACAUACAUGUUAAGAUCAAUUUAUCCACAACACACAUGGACUAUUAUUUAUUGCAUGAUCUUAACACAAGGCAAUUAAAAAUAUCAUAUCAUACUUGUCUUAAAAUGUACAUCAAAAUUAGCACUCAUAUUAUAUUUUCUCAAAUGAGUAAAAUCAAAUUUAUCCUAUAUAUAUGAUUGACUAACACUCUUAUAAGCUAAAAGUCACAUUUGGUCAACCACGAAACUCAAAUUUGUGAUCAAGCUCAAUAAGGUGUGAACUUUCAUUUUCUCCACAAAUUCAAUAUGUUCUAUCAUUAAGGGGGAGAUACUCAGGUAUCAAGUUUUUAACUUUGUCAAUACCUUAUUGUUUUAAGGGGGAGAUAUAUCAUCCACUAUUUUAAACUGAAUAUUAUGUGUCAAUAAUUCAGGGGUAAAUUAAAAUAUUGAUUAAACAUGAAUUAAAUAUUAUAUGCCAUCGACAAAGGGGGAGAAUGUAGAAUCAAAAUUGUCGAUAUAGGAUUAUAUUUUAAUCAUGUUAAUUUUAUCCAUAAUUACACUAUUAAUCCAAAGGGUAAAAUUAGUCAAGAUUAGACCUAAAUUAAUUAAGUCAAAGGUUUAAUCAAAGUCAAAAUCGAAUUGGUUCAAUUGUAUAAAAUAUCUUGAAGAUAAUUAUUAUUGUUAUCCCUAACAUUUUAGUCAAGGUACAAUAACCAAAGAGCAAAAGACAUUAUUCACAAAAGAAUCUUUUCAAAGGAAAUCUACUAUUCAAGCUUCCACUAUUCACAAAAAGCAAGCUUCUACUAUUACAAGUUUCUACUAUUCACAAAAGAAUCCUUUUUGAGAAGACAAAAUCUUGGACUUUUGUGAGGAAUCAAGGAACCAUCCAUUGAAGAUCCAAGGGUGGAUAAGUGAUGACCUAGGCUAUAAAUAGAGGUCCAAACCCUCCAUUUUCAUUCACCACACUUCAAGCACUCCAAAGAGUUUUUCACUCCUCAUCUUAAGAUCUACAAAGUGUUCUUGCUUCCAAAGCUCCAAGCUUCCAAAAGCUAUCAUGUGUCCAAGCUUACAAAAGCUUUAAAAGCUCUCCAACUUCUACUUCUAACCUUCUUGUUCAUCUUUACAUGUAAGAAGUUUUGUGUACUUUAAUAUUUCACUCCUCUAAUCCUCUCUUGUGUGUGUCCACUUUGGUCGAGAGGUUUGUCUCAAUAUCACCAAAGUGUGAGAUAAAGUUUUUGAGCUCAACCAUAAAGCUCUUGUUUGAUUUUAUAGAGUUUCCGGGAAAACUCUUAGGCGAAAACUACCUUGAAAGAUUUAGAGGUUUUUAAGAGUUCCUUAAUACUCCAAGGUCCUAACUUACCCGUAAAAGUUAGAGGUUUUUAAGAGUUUCAUAAUACUCUAAGGUGUGAGUCUAUCUGUAAAAGACUGGUUCCUAAGCGAAGUAGCCUUAAAGCUUAGGGAGGUUUUUAAGAGUUUCUUGAUACUCUAAGGUACUAACUUACCUGUAAAAGUUAGAGGUUCUUAAGUGUUUCUUCGAUACUCUAAGGUGUGAGUAUACCCGUAAAAGACUGGUUCCUAGACGAAGUAGUCUUAUAGCUUAGAGAGAUUUUUAAGAGUUUCUUUGAUACUCUAAGGUUUUGCCAUCACCUUUAGGCCAGUGAAUUCCGAUAGUUUGUCGGGACUGGAUUAGCCUUUGUUUGGGUGAACCAGUAUAAAUCUUCUGUGUUGUUCUUUGUUAACUUUAAUUUUAUUUAUUAUCUAAACAACACUUAAUUAAAAAGAUCCCUCUUCCAGUUAUCUGGUCAAGUAUAGAGGUUGACUACUUUCUGCAGAUAUCUCAUCCAGUUAUUUAGUCAAGUAUCUGAGGUUAUAUUUAUUGUUCAAAUCUCUAUCCAGUUACCUGGUCAGUUAUUUAUUAUAUAUAUCCAGUUAUCUAAUCAGUUAUUUACUUAUUAUCUUAUAUUCAGUUAACUGGUCCUUUACUCUAUAUUACAGUUGUUUAUAAAACACUAUCUAAAAAGUUGACUCAGUAUUCAUAUACUGUAGUAAGCUUUGAAGAGAAUAUAAUAUAAUAUUAUAUUAUAUUAUAUAUUAUAAUCUUUUUAUUGUUAUUCAACCAUUUGUGUAUUAAAUAUUUGCAGGUAAUUUCGCACUUAACCUGCCUAAAUCGAAAAGAGACUAUUAUCCCCCCUUAUAACCUCAGAUCACGAUCCAACAGAAAUCUAUCAAACAGAUGUUAGAGUGGUGUUUGAAUACCAUCGAUCAAACCAAAAAAAGAACAUCUAAAUCAGAUGGCAUCGAGUAGGCAUAGCAAUCUAAUCAAAACACAUGAUUACACAACACCAUGGUUAAUCAUUGAUGGUGUUAGCUUCUUCAGUGGGAGCUUUCAAUAGAUCGAUUUGAUGUUGCAAGUCGGCGAUCAGAACUCCUUGGUUUUUAAUACUUGACUCCAGCAAUUUAAUCCUUGAUUUUGCCUCAUCGAUCUCCUUAAGCAAGUGAGUAGUUGUCUUAUAUUUGGUUGUGGAUUGACUUACUUGCUUCUUCCCUUUGUCUGUUAUAAGAUCCAUCACCUUUUUUCAGUCUGGAUCAUAAGAAUCCAUUUUGAAGACGGUAGGAAUGGAUGAGAAGGGAAGGUUUUGGUUUGAGAGUGAAUAACCUUGUAUUUAUAGAUGAAGCUUUCAAGCUUUUAAGGUUUACAUUUCUACUUUAGUUUCCAAGAAUUUCUUGGUUUGACUAGACCAUGAAAAAUCGUUUGAUCUUAUCUUGUAGUCUCUUUCUCAAGAGAGUUCUUCGAUUUCCCAUAAACUGACAUAACUUGUUAGGGUUAACAAGUAAUGGUGAAGGGCAUCUUUAAGUCACGUCUAACUUUUGAAAAGUUAGCAGCGUUAUGAUUUGAUUUUCAAUAACCCAUAAACCCUACUUGGUGAAUCUCAUCAUUGAGAUUCAUCCAAAGAUUUAGUUUACCAGAUCUAAAUUCAGAUUUGUUUUAACCUAUUUAUCUAGAUAAAUAUUUUUAGAUCAUACCUUUUGUGGUGUUCAACGCAUUCCUUACACAAUUCAUGACAAUCCAUGCUCCUAGCUUCUGCAACCGACGAUUUUCAGCUUCUGCAAGUAAAGUGACAUGUGCAGGUGGAGGAUGGUCUUCUGCCAACACUCCUUGCGAGGUGUUGUUGGAUGUCGCAAGUGACUGAUUGAGUUAGCUGCGACAGGUUGAGUUGGUGGCAUCGAGAUUGCAGGAAUAUGCAGACGAGGGUUUGGCUUACCAAGAUUUGACAAAUAAAAUUUGGUUACCAAUACCAUGUGAUAUUAUUGACUUUGCUCAAUAUAUUAUUUUCAAGAUAUGACAUAAUGCAGUAUGGGUGCAACAUAAGAUUAAUUUCAUAAUUUUUCCAUACAUGUAAGUGAUGAUAUGGCAUAUGCAUGAGUCAAUUUAAACAGUAGUGAAGACAUGACAUAUUUUGGCAUGAACAUUUCAUAAGAUUAUAAUUUUCAUUGCAUGCACAUCGUUUGUUCACUUGUAGAUUAUGCAUGUGAGUGAUAAGCAUGUCCAUGUAAGCAACUAUUUAUAGUAGCAUGCAAUGUAUUAAUAGCGUUCAAUUGUAAGCAUGCAAGUAAUUUAUAGUAACAUGGUAUGUACGAUAGUCAUACAUUCAAGUUAAGCUCUUCAUUUUAUCAUGCAUGCAUAUGAUGAAUUAUAUGUAUAUAUACUUAGCCAUGUAAAUCUUAGAUUUGUAAAUUUAUGCAUACGUAUAUUCAUUUUAAUGUGAUCUUAGUUUGAAUCAUGAUCAAGGUUAUAAGUAUAAAGAUAUUCAAGUGAAGAAUAUUAAGACUAAAGCUUGAGAUGCAUUGACUUAAAACCAAUUAAAUAUUUAUCAAAUUUCACUAAGCUCACAUAUACCCAUAGAUCUUCUGAUCUUCGAAUGAACUUCUUAAUCUAAGGGUUUAGUAAAGAUGUCAGCCAUUUGAUCUUCAGUAGAAAUAUAUUCUAGGCAGAUAUUUUUCUUUUCUACAUGAUUUCUAAGGAAGCGAUGUCUGACAUCAAUAUGUUUAGAUCUAGAAUGCAAUACAGAGUUUUUUGAUAAACAAAUUGCACUCUUGUUAUUACAUUUAAGAGCUAUUGUCUCUAAAGCUACAUCGUAGUCGGAUAAUGUUUGUUUCAUCCACAAAAUUUGAGCGCAUGCAUUUGAUACUGCCAUAUAUUCUGCUUCAGUUGUGGAUAAAGCAAUACUAUUUUGCUUUUUACAUGACCAUGCUACGAGUAAGCUUCCCAACAGAAAGCAUGUUCCACUGGUGCUUUUUCUGUCGGUUUUACAUUCACCAAAGUCAACAUCACAGUAUGCUGUCAGUGUAAAUGAGCUGUCUUUAGGAUAGAAUAAUCCAAGUGUGAUUGUUCCUUUUACAUACCUGAUUAUUCUUUUAACAGCUUUGAGAUGUAACUCUUUAGAGUCUGAUUAAAAUCUAGCACAUAGACAGACUGCAAACAUGAUGUCUGGUCUGUUAGCUGUUAAGUAUAACAGUGAUCCAAUCAUCCCUUUGUAUUUCUUAAUGUCUACUGAUUGACCUUCAACAUCUUUAUCCAAUUUAAGUGUUGAACUCAUAGGAGUUGGCAAGGAUUUUGAUUCAGUCAAGUCAAAUUUCUUUAUUAAUUCAUUAACAUAUUUGACUUGACUUAGAAAUAUUCUAUUCUCCUUCUGUUUGACUUGUAGACCUAAGAAGAAAGUCAACUCUAGCUCCCAUCAUACUCAUUUCAAAUUCAUCUUCCAUUUGUUUGGAAAUUUUUUUGCAUAGAGUAUCAUCGGUUGAUCCAAAUAUAAUGUCAUCAACAUAGAUUUGGAUUAGAAUAAUGUCGCUUUUGACAUUUUUAAUGAACAACGUAUUAUCUAUACUCCCCAUUCUAAAUUCCUGAGAAAUGAAAAAGUUUCUUAAUCUUUCAUACCAAGCUCGGGGUGCUUGUUUUAGACCAUAGAGAGCUUUCUUAAGUUUAAGGACAUGAUCAGGAUUUUUGUAAUCUUCGAAUCCGGGGGGUUGUCUGACAUACACUUGUUCAUUGACUAUUCCUAAGGUGUCAAAUAAACCCCGGCUCGGCCGGCUCAGCUCGUUUAAGAUCGGGCUCGCGAGCCCAAUGAGCCGAGCUCGAGCCCAAGCCUCAAGCUCGUUAAGCUUGAGUGAGCUCGUUUGAAGGUAUAAAAAACUAAAAAAAUAUUAAAUUAGGAGAGAAUAGAGGUGUAACAUAGUUGGUAAAAGGUUUGUUUAGUAUUUGAGAGGUUAUGGGUUCGAUUAUCCAUGUCUCCAAAUAAUUAUUUCUUUUAAUUCGAGCCCAAAAAGUAUAAAAAAACUAAAAAAAUAUUAAAUUUAGAAAGAAUGAAGGUGUAGCAUAGAUGAUUAAACGUUUGUUAAACAUGUGAGAGGUCACAGGUUCGAUCCUCCAUGUCUCCAAAAAAGAAUUUCUUUUAAUUCGAGCCCGAGUCUGAAAAAUCUCUGACGAGCCGAGCCCGAGCCCGGCUCUAUAAGCAAAAGCUCGGCUCGGCUCGUUUGACACCUUAACUAUUCCAUUCAAAAAUGCACUUUUUACAUCCAUUUGAUACAAUUUGAAAUCCUUGUAGCAUGUAAAGGAUAAUAGCAUUCUGAUGGAUUCUAGUCUAGCUACUGGUGCAAAGGUCUCAUCAUAAUCUAUUCCUUCUUGUUGAUUGUAUCCUUGAGCAACCAGUCUAGCUUUGUUUCUAACUAUAGUUCUAUCUUCAUCCAGCUUGUUUCUGAAUACCCAUCUUGUCCCAAUGAUUGAUGUAUCUUUUGGUUUUGGAACUAGUUCCCAUACAUCAUUUCUCUCAAAUUGGUUGAGUUCUUCUUGUAUAGCUUGAAUCCAGUAGUUGUCGUCGAGGGCUUCAUCAACUUUCUUGGGCUUAAUUUGAGAGACAAAACAGUCAAGAACACUGUUUCCUUGAAUGGUCGAUCUGGUUCUAACACCAGCUUGAUGGUCACCAAUGAUUUGAUCAGUGAAAUGUAAGUUUCUGAGCAACCUGUUGGAUGGGGGCUCAGAGACUUCAAUUUUUUCAUUGAUAGUUUCUUCAGUUGGAAUGAUGAUUUCUGGAUCUGAAAUUAUUUCGUCUUCUUCUAUAAUGGUUGUCUGAGUGGAUUCACUACAAAAAACCAGCGCAGUUCUGGCGCCCAUCUCCCGGCGGUCAGGCCGCCGACAUGUUACACUUGUCCGUCGGCAUAAUUUUCCUUUGUAAAUGAGAGAAAUGAGUUGGCGGCCAAUCCGAUGGUGUCUUUUUUUUAAGAUACCAGCGGCUUGGCCGCCAGCUCCAAUUUCCCUAACGAUCGGGAAGAAGUGAGCCGGCCGCCGGCAUCCUAAAACCAUCAACGGUCGGGAGAAAAAGUGUUGGUGGCUUGGUCGUUAGCUAUUUUUUCCCGUUUGUUUUUUCAGUAGCCGGCGGCCUGGCCGUCAGCAUUUUUGGGAAACCCUAAAAUUACAACUUACGCCGCCGUGGUCCCCCGUACAGUCAAACCUAGUCAACUCGAACUUAAGUAUUUCCCAACGGCCUGGCCGUCGGGAAUUUUUUAUAUAACUAAAAAAAUUCCAGAUUUCUUUCAUUUUAUUUCCCCUCAAAAUCCUCUCCACUUCUCCCCACUCCUUUCUAACCCUCCCCAAACUUCUCCGGCGAUUUUCCAGUCCGUCCUCCGGCCACUUCUCUCCGGUCAUCCUCGAACGUUACCCUCAAGGUAUGUUCUUCAUCUUCAUAUAGUUUUUAUCUUGUUUUUUUUUUCUUAUUUUUUGUCAUCUUAUCUUCAUUUAGUUUUUAUCUUAGUAUUUUUAUUUUUUUCAUUGUUCUUCUACAUGUGUUUGUGAUAUAUUUUUGUUGUUGUUGUUCUUCUUCUCUCCUUUUUUUUGUUGUUUUUAAUUUGGGGGUUUAUGAUUUAGGGGUUUAUGAUUUGUGAAAGUGUUAGUUAUUAGGGGGUUUAUGAUUUGGGGGUUUAAUUGAUAAUGUUAGUUAUUAAAUGUAGUUUUUUUCUUCUAAUUUAGGGUUUUAUGAAAUGGGGGUUUUUAAAUUUGGGGGUUUGAUUUUAUUUAUUUAGAGUGUUUAAUUUGUGUAUUUGAUCUUAUGUAGUUAGGGUAUGAUUUUGUGGAUGAUCUUAUGUGUUUUAAUGUUUGAUUUAGUGUCUUGGUUGUAAUUUUUUAAAUGUUUUAAGUGUUAGGGUUGUGAGUAUAUAUUUACUGUUUUGAUGUUUUUUUUAAGUUACAUAAUUACUGUAUUUGUUAAAAAACGAAUAUGGUUUGCUGGAAUUUUUUUUUAUUGAUCUAUAAUGAAUAUUUUUUUAAUCUUUUAAUUUCAUUUUGAGUCUUCUAAUUUCCGGACCUACAUCACCUGGAAAUGAUAUAGAUGUCUAGUUACAACCACUGAUUGAUGAGUUAAAAAUUCUAUGGACCACCGGUGUCACGGGAUAUGACGUGGUUACUCAAAAUAGCUUUCAAAUGCAUGCUGCAGUGAUGUUGACAAUUAACGAUUAUCCUGGAUAUGGUGAUCUUUCUGGUUGGAGCACGAAAGGAAAAUUAGCAUGUGCAGUUUGUUCUGAAAAAACGAAUAGUGUUCGAUUGAAAUAUGGAAAAAAGAGUGUUUUCUUGUACACCGUCGUUUCUUGGAAAAAGACCAUCCGUAUAGACGUAAUAAGAAGAAUUUCAAUAACAAAAUCGAAAUUGAAGAAGCACCUAGACGACCCUCGGGAGAGGAGGUCUUUCUGAAUUUGAAUUUUUUUAGAAAUUCAAUUAUUUUCGGCAAAAACGAUGAGAGACCAUCAAAGAAGAAGAUGAAAGUCGUGUCUUUACCUCCUGGAUGGAAAAAAGUAAGUAUUUUCUUUCAAUUGCCUUAUUGGAAGACUCUGUUGAUACAUCAUAAUAUCGACGUUAUGCAUUCUGAAAAAAAUGUUUGCGAUAAUAUUCUAAACACUUUAUUGGGAAUGGAUGGCAAAUCGAAAGACAAUUUGAGUGCCUGUUUGGAUCUUCGAGAAAUGAAAAUACGUUCCGAGUUACAUCCAUUAAAGAUUAGUGAUUCUGAAUGGAGAUUCCAAAGGCGAUAUUCAAUCUCAGUAAUGAAGAAAAGACGAUUUUCUGUAAAGUGUUUCAUGAUCUAAAAUUUUCGGAUGAAUACGCAUCCAACAUCUCAUCAAAAGUGAAAUUGAAAGAAAGAAAGUUUACAGGUUUGAAAAGUCAUGAUUGUCAUAUGAUAAUGCAACAAUUACUUCCAAUUGUGUUACGUCGAUCAACACAUUCAAGGUAACAUCUGUUUUAGUUGACAUAUACAAGUAUUUCAACGCGAUUUGUUCGAAAGCGAUUGUAAUUGACCAUAUGGAAAGAUUGGAAAAAAGCAUCGUUAUUACAUCGUGCAAAUUGGAAAAAAUAUUUCCUUCGGGUUUUCUUCUGGAAAAAAUACAUCUAGUAGUAUCCAAUUGAAAGAUAUCUAUUAACUUUGAAAAAAUACGUUCGGACCCAUAGUCAUCCUGAAGGGUCGAUUGCAGAAAAAUAUCUGGCCGACAAAUGUAUGACAUUCUGUUCACGUUUUUUACACAACGUUAAAACUAAGUCAAAUAAAAUGGAAAGAUAUAUCGAUGGUUACUAUAGUGCAUCAACUCACACUUCGCUCACUAAACUUGAACAUGGUCAAGUUCAUCGAUAUAUCAUUUUCAAUUUGGAUAUUACUGAGAUAUUCCGAAAUUUUUAUAUCGACGACCUAAAACAAAGGUAUGUACGUAUAUGACAUGAUUCUAUUUAAUUAUUUUCAUAUCAUCGAUAUAUCAUUUUCAUAUCUAUUUAAUAUUUACGUUUGACAUAUUAGGUAUCCGACUAUUACUUCCUUGCGUUUGCAAAAAUUACAUUUCAAAAAAUUUGCAGACUGGUUUAAAAAAUACGUUCAGAAAAAUAGGGGCAAGGACGAGAAUAUUUUAAGAGAUAUUUGUUCGAUAUCAAGAGGUCCAAAUUAUUUUCUAAAAUCGUACAAUGGCUACAUCUUAAAUGGUGUGAAAUUUCUUUCGUUUGAUGUGUCAAAUUUAAAAAAGACACAAAAUCACGGUGUAUUAGUCUCCGCCACUACAUCCACAUACUUAAAAAAUCCGAAUGACGAUCCGACAAUUGAUGAUCUUUCGUACCAUAGAACUCUUCAUAAAGUUUUCGAAGUAUGUUACGGACAUGAUAUAUAUGUUGAAAAAUCCGAUGUUUCACUGCAAAUGGUACGAAGGAUAUAAAAAAGACGAGUUCGGUCUGGUUAGUGUGAAAACGUCAAUGCCAAAAUACGGGGAAAAACCGUUUAUUUUUGCCGAAUAAACUAAACAAUGUUUUUAUUCAAUAAAUCCUAAUGAAUCUAAUAUGAGUUUUGUAUUAAACAGACCUCAUAGACAAAUAUUUGAUGUAAACGAUGUAUAAUGAAUUUGAAUAUUAUCUUUAUUUUACAUUAUCUUUCAAUUAAUUAAAUUAUCUUUAUUUUAUUUAGAUGUAUUGGUUAUUUGUCGCAUUCGUUUUCUCGGUUUUCAUGGUCGUCACGACUCCUGAUUAAAGUGAUGACUCUGAUCACUCUGAUGAUCAGUAUUAUGAUCAUCAUGAUGUACACAUGAACACGGCUGGGUGCGGUAAAACGAAAAAGAACAAAACAAAGAUCAUGCAGAAUAUCAUCCAUCACAAGGAUAACUGUUUGUAGUAAAAUUCAGAAAUGAUCAAAUUGUCCACGAUAGCCGAGCAAGAAAAUUAAACAAGAAAAUAGCAAUGGUCGCGAACGAUUUUAAGUUACUACCAAUGGACGUACCAUGGGUUGAACAAGAGCAAAAAAAUAUAAAUGAAGCGAUGGAAACGAUACUGGUUUAUUAAUUCAUAGUUAAUUAUUAUUAUAAAUUAUAUAGUUAAUUAAUAUAGUUAAUUAAUAUAGUUAAUUUUAUAAUUAUUCAUCGAACAGAGAGAAUUUGAUCGAUUACAGCGGGUCAAACCAUGGUUAUCGACGUGUCAACGAAAGGUUAAACAAAACAAAUUAUGAAGAAGCGCUUAUAACACUUUACUAGAUAAAUAUAAUAAUGGAAAUUUAACAGUCGAAGAGGUUAUAAAAACUUUACCCGACUACAUCAUCAAAGAUGAAUUUCUAAAAAAGCUGAACGAGAGAAGAUCGCCGAAGGGAAUAGUACGUAUUAAAUAUUAUUUCUUUGUAAUGCAAUAAAAUUAGAAAAAUUUAAGUUAAUUACUUUAUCUUUUCUUUUUCGUGAUUGCAGGAAAUUUCUAAAAUUAACAAAGACAAUCGGGCAAAAUAAAUUUCACACAGUUUAGGUUCGAAAAGUCUAGCACAAAUAAAUUACGAAGAUGUAAGUAAAUUAUUUAAUUUCAUAUAUACUUCCAUUUUUUUUCUUUUUUUCUUCCUAAUUUUAAUAUUUCAGGAACAAAAGGGAUUAACUGAAGCUGAAAUUUGGAAACUAAAUAUAAAGGUAGCUUAUCCAAAAGACGAACGAGUGGUACGUAAUUUUUUUAAUUAAUUACCGUUAAUUACUAUUUUUUUGACUACUUUCAUUUUUUUUAAAGAUAAAGCAGUUCAAUGGAUAGACAGUGAAGAAGCAAAAAAGAUGGCUGAACAAGAAAAUAUGAUGGAUACGGUAUUUCAUAUUUUUUUUCAAUAUAAUUCAUUAAAUAAAUUUACAUUAUUUUCAUUUUUUUUUAAAUAGGCUCUCAUCCAGUUUGCUAUAACCGAACAUAUCGGUAGAAGCUUGAAGAAAACUAGAGUAUUAGGAAUAACUGGUUCCUCAUUGAGCAAGAAGACAACGCAUCGGAUGAAUGUGGGGAACUUUUCAAAAGAUAAAGGAAAAACUUUUAUGACCGAAACUGAGGUUGAUAAUAAAGUCAACGAGCGAGGCAGUCGAGAGGGUGAUGGCUCGUCACAAUGAAACGAUGGCUCGUCAAAUGACGUUCUUCCAACAGUACAACACGGCAAUACUCGCUCAGAAUCCUAACUUGCGCUUACCGGAAUUUCUCCCGAUCUUCAACGACACUACGACGCAACCCGUGGGAGGGUUCAACAUAAAUUCUUCUGGAACGUCGACUUCUAAAGCACCGCAAGUACAACUGCAGGAAACUCCUCCUCUUCAACAAACAAUGCCACAAGAGCAGUACACUACUCCACAACCGCGUGGAGGAAGACCGAUUAUCUUCUCAGCAUCGGCAUUACGAAAGACGGUCGCGUCUAAAAAAAAGAAGAAAAAUACAAAAUAGAAAAUAGAAUAGUAAUUACCGAAUUUAAUUUUUGUCGUACUUUCAUUAUCGAACAUCAAUUUCAAUUACAUUUCAUUAUUUAAAUAAAAUAAUAUUUUAAAAAUAAUAAUUUAAAAAUAAAAUUUAAAAUUUAAUUUUUUUAAAAAUUAUUCCUGGCUUGGCCGCCAGGAAUUUUUUCCCGGGGAAAUUUUUUUUCUGCCGGGAAAUAUUGACCAGCGACUUAGUCGUCAGGGAUUUUUUCCCAAAUUUACACUACCAACGGCCAGGCCGCCGGCAGAUUAUUACAAAAAAAUAUCUGCCUGGCCGCCGGGAUAUAAUUUCAAAAAAUAUAUGUCAGCGGCCAAGCCGCCGGUACUAUUUCCGUUAAAAUUGAAAUCCACAAUUUACUACCAGCGGCCUGGCUGCCGGUAUAUUACAAAGCUGGUGACAUUAGCUCCGGCGAUGGAAUACCGUCGGCUUGGCCGUCAGGACGCAUUUUACCGGCGGCUUAGCCGCCGGCAUUUGCCGUCAGAAUAACGCUGGUUUUUUAUAGUGAUUCAUCAAAGUCAACGUGUAAUAAUUCGAUCAUUAUUUGUUUUUCUUUGAGAAAAAUUUUGUAGGCUGUGCUCCUUCUAGAGUAUCCUACUAGAAUACCUUCAUCAGAUUUCUCGGCAAAUUUGUCUUGAUGCCUCUUGUUCGGAGAGCGUAACAUUUGCAUCCAAAGACCUUGAAGUAUGAGACUUCUGGUUUUCUUCCAUUCCAGAUCCAUAUGGAGUUUUGUUCAAGGUUUUUCUAAUAAUCACCUUGUUUAAUAUAUAACAGGCUGUGUUAACAGCUUCUGCCCAGAGAUACUGUGGUGAAUCAUGUUCUUGUAACAUGGAUCUACUCAUCUCUUGUAGGGUUCUGUUUUUCCUUUCAACAACUCCAUUCUGAGGGGGUGCUUGGGGAAAAGCAAAUUCAUGUUUUAUUCCAUAAGUUUUGCAAAAUUCUUCAAACUCAAAAUUCUCGAAUUCUCCUCCAUGAUCACUUCUAAUUCUUUUUAUGAGGAUAUCUUUCUCAUUUUGUAUACGUGUGCAAAACGAUGAGAACUCGUUGAAUGAGUCACUUUUAUUUCGUAAGAAGAAAACCCAAGUAAAUCUUGAAUAAUCAUCUACGAUUACAUAUGUGAAUCUUUUUCCUUCAAGACUUUGGGUUUGGGUUGGUCCAAAUAAGUCCAUGUGCAGAAGUUCCAAAGGUCUGGACGUAGUAAUUUCUGUAAGGGAUUUGAAUGAGCUUUUAUGCUGUUUCCUUUUUUGACAAGCAUCACAGAGAUUAUUUUUCUCAUAUGCUAUUUUAGGCUGUCCAGUCACCAGUUCUUCUUUUGAUAGUUUGGAUAAUCGAGAAUAACUGGUGUGACCUAACCUUCUAUGCCAUAAGGUCUUUUCAUCACUUGCUGCAAUCAUACAGAAGUCAUAAGUUGACUUAGAGGGAUUAAAGGUUAUGGAAUAAGCAUUGUUUUUCCUAUAUCCUUUAGCAAUUAUAACUCCCUUAGAGUUAAUGAUUGAGCAUAGAUGUUUCUCAAAUUUAACCAUGCAAUCAUUAUCACAUAAUUGACUUAUAUUGAUAAGAUUAUGUUUAAGGCCAUUAACUAAGUAGACAUCUCUAAGAAAUGGUCUAUCUAUAUUACUUAUAUUACCCCUACCUAUAAUGGUACCUUCGUUGUUAUCGGGAAACUUGACCUUCUUAGUAGUAGGCCAGUCGGUCAAGUCAGACUUGAAUCUCCAGUCAUGUCCUUUUGCAUCCACUGUCGAACAACCAUUUUGACACUUUUUUUUCCUGAAAGAGUUUAAUAACCUUUUGGUACUCAUACUGAGUUGGGUCCAGAUGAAUUAAUAUAAUUAAUUUGCUUAUAAUUUUUUAACUUAUCAUUGGUCAUCCAUAUUUGUUUUGGAUGAUUCAUCUUAGAUAGAUUUUUCUUUUUCUUAAAAUGAAUAGGUUUUUUAUAGCUAGAUUCCCUCACAAAAUAAUCAUUAUAAGUUAAAGCACGUGAAGGUUUUUUAAUAGGUGCAUCUGAUUCAAACCUUAAGCUAAAUUUCUUUUGACCCGAGCUUUAACCUUGCAACAUGUCAUUUAACUUAGAUGAACUAUUUAAUAAUUUUUCAAGAACAUUAUUUUUCUGAUCUACUCUUUUGAUUUGUAAUUGCAUAUCAUUACAUUUUUCAGAUAAUUUUUGUAUGGUUUCUACAUGCUCAAGUAUGAUUUUAUCCUUAGAUUCUAUUUCUGUUUUGAGCAUGAUUGUUUUUUUUUUCUUUUAAAAUAAUAUCUUUUUCAAAAUUAUCUAUUUUUAAUUCUAACAAUUCGAUCUUAUCAUCAUCUAUUUCCUUAGGUUGAUUUUUUUCAGAUUCUAAAAUUUUAAACAAUUCAAAGUUUUGACUCUUAAGUAUCUUAAUUUUUUCUUCAUAUUUGUUUAAUUUACUUGUGAGUUUUAGAUUUAUUUCUUUUAAUUGCAUGCAUUCUUUUUGUGAUUCUUCUAAUUCAAUAGAUUGAUCUAUAUGUGAUUUAUCCAUGCAUUCUAUUUUUAAUGAUUUAUUUAACUUUUUCUCAGUUUUAUAUUUUUCCAUUAAUUCUAGAUAUGCUUCUUCUAAAGAAUUAAAUCUAUUUACAAAACUUACCUCAGAGUCACUUUCAUGAGCCAUGAGGCAAUCUUUUUGAUCCGAGUCGGAGUCUGUCCAUUGUACCUGAUUUGCUUUUUCUUUUUUUAGCAGAGGACAUUCAGGUUUGAUGUGUCUAGACUUGUCACACAGAUAGCAGAUUGGUUCCUUUGAAUCCUUGUGGUUCCUGCUCAUUUUUCUGUCAAAAUUCUGAUAACUUGACCUUGAGUCUUUCUUCUCUUUCCUUUUUUUCAGAUAUCUUCUCAGAUGAUUGGUGAUCAUUGCUAGAUCAUCAUCCGAUGUUUCAUUGUCAGAUUGACUUUUAAAAGCGAUAUCUUUUUUCUCUUCUUUAGCUUUAGAGAUGAAUCUUUCUUCUUCAUAGGCCAUCAGAUUUUCACAGAGUUUCACAAUUGUUAGUUUGUUGAGAUCAUGAGCCUCUUGGAUAGCAUUCCUUUUGGAGUAGUGCUUGUUUGGAAGGCUCCUCAGAAUUUUGCUUACUUGUUUCUUCUCAGUUACUGGAUCUCCUAGUCUAGCCAAAUCAUUGACUAUUUGUGAUAGUCUAAUGUUCAUUUCUGCGAUAGUCUUGUCUUCCCUCAUAGAGAAUCUUUCGAACUGAGAGGUAGCAUGUAACAGCUUGUUUUCUUUAACAUGGGAGGUUCAUUCAUGCAGAUACUCCAAUGCUUUCCAUACCUUGUGAGCUGUAUCCAAGCAUCAAAUUCUGUUGUACUCAGAUUCAUCGAGCGCUCCAUAUAGAGCAUUCAAUGCUCUUGAGUUAUUGUUUUCCUUGAGGAUAUCCAUUGCUCCCCAAGUCUCUUCUUUGCUUGUUCGAAUUUCAUAAUCUUUUAAUAUGAUUUUCCAUACUCCAUUGUUGAUUGACUUUAAGUAUAACUUCAUCUUGUUUUUUCCAGAAGUCAUAUUUUACUUCAUCAAACCUAGGAGGUUUGUUCGAUGCAAGACCAGUGUUGUAUUCACCAUUUGGUGUCAUGGUUGUUGUUGUAAGAUGUUAGUCUAACUUCUACGGUACUUGGCUCUGAUACCACUUGUUGGAUCGUGAUCUGAUACUGUAAAGGGGGAUAAUAGCAUUUUUUCGAUUUGUGGAGAUUAAUAGCGAAAUUACCUGCAUACACUUAAAUACACAAAUGGUUAUAUAAUAAUAAUAGUAUAAAUAUUGUUAGUAAUAUAAUACUAUUAUAUGAUUUUAAGGAACAUAAUAUUAUAUGUUAUAAUAUUAUAUAGCAUUUUGAAGAAACAGAGAACGUACCGGAGACAAUGGGAAAGCGAAGAAAAUAUCACGACGAAGAAAGAACCACGAAGAAAAGAAGCCGACGAAGAAGAAGCUACGAAAAUGUCGCCUUUAGGGAGAGAAACGGAAGGAGAUUUCAGGAGCAUUUUUUUAAAAAAUCAUUAUAAGAGCUGACAUUGUCAUCAUUCACUGUUCCAUCCUUAGGACACUGUUCCAUCAUUCACUGUCCUCAUUCAUCCUUAAAAUAGACCGUCGUGACCGAAGAGGGUUCUCAUAAGAGGGCCAUAGCUAAAUAAUAUAUCACAAUAAAUUAAUUUCAGACUGUCACAGAAUCGUUAAGCACACGAGCAUAAGGGAAAAAACUCAAUACUAGAAAAGGUAAGGAAAAUCUAUGGCGAAAAAAACAUGUCAUAUUGUCUGUCAUACACAAUACAUUAGAUCGCUUAAGAAAUCAAAUUAAAUCGGCAACGUUCAUUGGCAUCUCAUCUAUUUGAGUACUGUAAUAUUGUUCAAUGUCUCUUAAGAUCCGAAUAUCAUCACUCCUCACAAAGUUAAUCGCCACUCCCUACACAACGUGGACCGGCAAUUUAUCAAAAAAAAACACUUACAACAAUAUGAAAAUAAAAAUAUGAACUUGAUUUGAUGAUUAAUACCUUGCGUCCGAAACGUCCAGAACGACCAAUCCGAUGGAUGUAAAGUUCACGAUUAUUUGGAAGGUCGUAAUUUAUCACAAGCGAAACCUGUAUUUUUAUAAACAUGUAACCAUUUCAGAGAUCGGAAAAUCAAGAAUAAGAGGCUAUAUAAACAGUUUUAAACAAAUACAGAAUAAAUUACAAGCAACUACUUACCUGUUGAACAUCAAGACCUCUAGCCCAUACAUCUGUUGUGAUCAGAACACGAGUUGCACCUGAUUUAAAUUCUGCCAUAAUGGCAUCUCGUUCUUUCUGAGGCAUGUCCCCAUGCAUGGAUGACACUGUGAAAUUGUUAGAGCGCAUCUUCUCGGUUAACCAAUCAACCUGAGAAAAAUAAACAUGUUAUUAACAACUCUCAUUUGUGCACUGAGACCUCAUCGUAUUUUUACAAACUGAAUAUGAACUUUUGCCCUUGAAAAAUACAACAUGAAGAAUGUGAUUUUUGAACAUUAAACCAAUAGUUUUUAAAGCGAUAAAAGCCGAAAAGCGCUCCUUAAAUCGCUUUUUCAAGCGGGUAGUUGGUCGGGUCGGGUAAAUGGGUUGGGUCAACCCAUUACCCAAAUGAAAGAACAUACAUUCUUUUAUUUCCCUUCCUACCCCUCCAUUUCCAUCUAACUAUUUAAAUCAAACACCCUUCUAAUAAACCCUAAUUUCUCACUUUCACUCUCACUUUCUGCCCAAACCCUAGAGCUCGCCGUCGACGCCGCCGGAGACCGCCUAACCGUCGCCGGAGCUUCCUUUUUCCAGCCGUUUUUCUCCCCUAAUCUGCACGCCUACUAGUGGUAUGCAUUUCCUCAACUUUUCCAUCACUUUCCCUACCUUCAGACCGUCUGAAAAGGGAAAAAAGAUGGCCGGAAUCUGGCAAUCCUCGAUUUAUAUAUAUUUUAUGUUUUAUCAUAUAUUUACAGGUUUAAAAAAUAUAUAUAAACAGGGGUAUAUAUGCAAUUUUCUAAAAAAUUAUAUUUAUUUACCAUAAUGCCAUUAUCGUUUUAGCGUGCUUAAAGCUAAAAAAACGCUCCCAGGAAAUUGGGAGCGCUUUUUCUAAUUUGAAACUAUGCAUUAAACUUAAGUGGAAGAACUUAAGAUUCAGGCAUUUAAAGACUAACUCUCGUGUACAUGGUAGUAGUAAUAACCAAGUAAAAAAUAAAUCUAUAAGAAAAAUACAGCUAUUUAUGGAUUCACCUUUCUUUUGGUGUUGCAGAAGAUAACAGCCUGUGUGAUGGUAAGUGUAUCGUAUAGAUCACAAAGAGUAUCAAAUUUCCAUUCUUCUUUCUCAACUGCAACAAAGAACUGUUUUAUACCCUGAAAAAUGAAAAGAAAGAAUAUAAGUCCAAGAAAGAGAAUAUGCAGUAUUAAGAUUGGUAGUGGUGUAGAAGAAAAAUAUUUCUUACUGUACCUCUAAUGUCAAUUCAUCACGCUUGACCAGAAUCCUGACUGGGUCUGUCAUGAAUUUGCUUGUCAUUUCCAAAAUUUCAUGAGGCAAUGUUGCAGAUAUAAGGCAAACCUGUAGAUGUAAACAAUGAUAAGAUAAAGGUUGUAAAAUAUCUGACUUAUCUGCACGUCAUUUUUCACACAAAAUAUACCUGAAGCUCUGGGGGAAGAUAUCUGUAAACAUCAUAUAUCUGAUCUUUAAAACCUUUGCUCAACAUCUCAUCAGAUUCAUCCUGUUUCAAUGAAAAAUUGAAAACUAAAAUUAGCAUAAGCCUUGUCAAUAAAAUGAAUCUAUUAAACAAUAAACCAAAAUUACAGACUUACAAGGACUAAUAGUUUGAUAGCUCUAGUGCGCAAUGUCCUUCUCUUUAUCAUGUCACAAACACGACCAGGAGUUCCAGAUACCACAUGAACUCCAUGUUCUAAUUUCCUUAUGUCUUCACCAAUGCUCUUGCCACCAACACAAGCAUGGGCUUGUACAUUUAUAUAAUUACCAAUGGCUAAUAUCACUUUUUCAGUUUGCAUUGCUAGUUCUCUUGUGGGAGAAACAAUCAAAGCUUGCACCCUAAAAGAUAGGAAUUAGGAAGUAGAUUACAUUUUUGUCAGGAAUGUCAUAUUAUAUGCAACAGAAAUUAUGUUUUUAACCAUGUUUAAAAAAAAAUCUAAUUUGUGCUAACCAACAAAAAACAAAGGUGAAAAUGAAAAAAUUAGGGCAAUAUACGACACAGAUAUCAAACCAAGAAAGAAAGAAAAACAAAUAUUUCCAUUUCAACAGAUUAAAAAAUAGUAAAAUACAAUGUUGAAAUGGAAGAUAAAGAAAGAGGGAGAAACCCUAAUUUUCGCUUACUCUCUAGACGAUGUAUCGAUCAUCUGACAAACGGUCAAAGCGAUCAUUGAAGUUUUGCCAGUACCCGAUUGGGCUUGCGCAAUAACAUCCCUACCAUUUAUAAUGGGAAGAACAGCUCUCUGCUGGAUAGCGGAGGGUUUCUCGAAACCGUACUGGUAAAUUCCUCUUAAGAGAUCGUCACGGAUCCCCAUCUUGUCGAAACUUCCAAUGACGUCCACUCCAUGCGACGUCUCGAAUACAAUGUUUGUGUCAUCUACACGUGAUCCUCCUCCACGGUUCCUAGGAAUAACUGAAGUUCCCGCCGCCGCCAUCUUCGCUUUUUCUUGAUUGGGAAUUUGGGGACGAUGAAGGAAAAUUAGGAAAUCGUGGCCGUUUCUUCAGAAUUGUAAAUUGUAAAUUGUAAUUGAUUGAAGCCACGUAGAAGUGUAUAAAUACCCGGUCCGAUAGGCCCUCUAUUUAAAUAUUAUUUUAUUUAAACCCUAGUAUUUUGCACUUUUAACCUGCACUAUUCUAAUAUUAAUUUCAUAAGUACAUCUAAAUAUCUCUAAAAAUCACUGUUUAUAUUUGUACACUUCUCUAUAAAAAAAAUGAUUAAAGUCACCUACGGUCAUUUUAAGAACUUUGUCUCAUCGAUUUUUAAGAUAUUUAAUAUUUUAAAAAACGGAACAUUUGAAUUUUUUUUUCUUUUUCCGUCAAACUAUUUUCUUCAAAACAAAAAGAAUAAAAAAAACUAUGAUAUCUAACACAGUCACACUUCAAUAGUAUUGUGAAUCAAUGAUAUAUCAAUCAAUGAACAAACAUCAGAAGAGGCCUGGUUAAAAGAGCUCAAAAACCCUCUGCCAUCCCAGCGGUCUGAUUUCGAAAUUUAAUUUGCGAUGGAGAUUGUUGAUUUAAGAGCGUUCGUGACUGAAAUGAUGAUUUUUUUUGUAGAAUUGCUGACUUAUUAGUUUGAAACUGUGUUUUUUUGACCAAAUAUUUGAAAAAACAUCUACCUCACUCGUUGGAAUGGUGGAGAAGGUGGGAAUGGAGAGCAGAACUCGUUGGAAUGGCAGAAGAAGAUUCAGGUAAGCUUCCUCUUCUUCUUUCCACUUCCUCCUCUUCUAAACGACUACAUUUUUUCUCCACCUUCUUCUCCAAGUUUCCCGCUUUUUUUAGCUCUCUUUCCACCAUUGUUCUUACCGCAAAUAUCUACUAUUUCAAACAAAAAAGGUUGGGAUUCUCUGAUUAUUAUUUUGAUUUAUUUAUUUGUGAUCUUGGCUGACAUCAACACCUUUGUGCCAAAACCUUUAUUUUAAUAUUUUUUUUCUUUUGCAAAAAAUGAAUUAUUUGAGGUAUUUGGGGAGCUGCUUCUUCGACGCUGAGCUUCUCCCCCAAAUUGGUCAUGAUAUGGCGGAGAUCGGAGAUCUACGAUAGUGAUGAAACCUUUAUUCUCUUUGUCGAACACUUCGAAAGCAAGUUUCAACUCCUCUUCGGAAUCUGUGUCUUUCACCUUCUUCCUAGCCAUCAGGUUGAGAAACUUCGAGAAACCUGUGUGAACUAUAAGAAUACACUGAAAAUCCAGGAUAAAACAGCAAUUUUGCCAAGAAAUAUAAACUAAGGACUUAAGUGAAAUAAAACAAUUAUAAAGGUUAUGGUAUAACUAAAUAAACUACCAGUUAUCAACCGACAGGGGGUUGUUUAUAAAAGUUUCAAUAAAACGUUACCAGGACCUAAAUGUAAUAAAUAAGAGUUUUUAAUAUAAAAACUAACUUGAGUUCAAGUGUUACUAUGCAGACAAUUAACCCAAGACUCGUGACAAAAGAAUUAAAAAAGUAGAAGGGCCAGAGUGAAAUAUUUUAAAUAUAUUCUUAACGGAUCAAUUACAAUGGGCCGGAUCUUCUUUAUUCUUAAAUUAGUUAGUUACGAGAUUAGUUGAGUAACUUUGUAUUAAUAAACACUGUAAUCAAACACACUAAUAAAUUGAAUACAAAGAGUUAAUUCUUCUUAACUCAGAUUAACUAAACAACACUUCAACAAAUCUUCUUCUUCCUCCUUAGUGACAGUUAUUUCGGGUAAAAGCCCUUUCUUCUGUGGGCGAUAAACCCUAGCUAGCAAUCUGGCCACUCCGCUGCAUUUUGAUCGCCCCCGACUUGAGGAAGUCGCGGCAUUGUCAGCAACGCCUCCGCCGCGACGUGAAGUUAAUAUGGUAUCUGCCGUUAACGCUCCUAGCGUCCCUCCGGUCAACCGUCUGGCCGCUUCCGCAUUAAUACCUCCGGCUAAUCACAGUGAAGAGUCCGUUGCACAACAGGCGCCCAACAAUCCGUUACAGACUCCAGAAACUUCGUGAAAAUCCUCAUUUGGGUCUAUUGGAAAAUCGAGAGCAAAGGAUCAUAAAGAGGAUUUCUAUCAAGGAUCUUUUUUCAAGAAACAAAGAUCCGACAGGUAUAUCUCCCCAUUACAAGAUCCAGAAUCUCCCUUUUUCUUGACCUCCGGUGAUCAUCCGGGGGCAAUUCUAGUUCCUGAUAGAUUAGUUGGUGAGACCAACUAUAUUACUUGGGCCAAUGGGAUGAAGCUCAUUGGUGUCAAGAAGGAAAGAUGCCUUCAUCUCUGGACAGAUUUUGAUGCCCACUAAUUGCAACAGUCGAGAAUACAAUAUAUGGAAAAUAGUUAAUGGUUUAGUAUUGGCAUGAAUCUUAAAUUCAGUAUCCCCACAAAUACAGUCAACUAUUAUGUAUUCAAAUAAUGCAAAUCAAAUUUGGGUAGAUCUAGAGAAUAGGUAUAAACAAGGGAAUGCCCCCAAGAUAAAUCAAGUAUGAGUUAUGUUGUCUACAACAAGGUUCUAUGAAUGCUUUUGAUUUCUAUGACAAGUUUAGAUCUAUUUGGGACCAAUUGGUACAAAUAGAUGAGAUUAAAGAGAAAUUUUGCAUAGGAUGUAGGAAACUCUAUCAACAAAAAGAGGAAAAUGAUAUGAUACAUCAAUUCCUCUUAGGACUCAAUGAAAAUUUUUUUAAUCUAAGAACUCAAAUAUUAUCACUAGACAAGAUACCAAAUAUGAAUAAAUUGCUUGGAUUAGUACGGCAAGAAGAGAAACAGAGGUAUAAGUUCAGAGAUAACACUAAUGAAAAAAAUGAAUCAGUUUUCUAUGCAAAAGAAAAAAACUCAACAGAAGGUACAAAAGUCAUGUUUUCUAAAAAUGGAAAGAAACUUGACACUAGGUAUUACUGUGAUAACAGUAAAUACUAUGGUCAUACAAGAGAAAAAUGUUAUCACCUAGUAGGAAAACCUAAAGAAAAAACUCAAAAGAGGUUUCAAGGAAAAAAGAAUCAAGACAACAACACAACAACCACAGAGGCUGCAAAUCAAGCAACCACUUCUAAUAGUCGGCAACAAUUAGCACUGACUCAAGAAGAAAUUCAGUUGUUCAAGGAGCUCAUCUCCUCAACCAAAUCUAACUCUGGUAAGAUUUUUAAUUUUUCUUUCAAUAUAAAUAAAAUUUCUGAAAAAAUAAAUGAUUAUAUUGAUAGAUGGAUAGUAGAUACUGGUGCAUCUCAACACAUGACUGGUAAUCUACAUUUAUUUAUAAAUCCACCAGUAAAAGAGUAUAAUCAUUAUGUAACCAUACCUAGUGGAAAAAAAUUAGUAGUCAAAGGGAUAGGUUGCAUAAAAAUUUCAGAAAACUUAGUUUUAAAAAAUGUGUUGUUUAUUCCUGAAUUUGAAGUUAACCUAAUAGCUAUUAGCAAGUUAACUUUAGACAAUGACAUUAAAGUCAUAUUCAAUGAUCAUUGUUUUCAAUUUCAGGAAAACAAAUCCGAGAAAGUGAUUGGCAAGGGUGAGUCUCAUGAUGGACUAUAUUUCUUCACCCCCCACUACUUUCUAGCAAACUUAGCUAUUGAUUUCAAAACUUGGCAUCAAAGGCUAUGACACAUCUCCUUAGAAAAAAUGAAGACAUUAGUCUCCAAAUACAACAUUAAAUGUAAAAAUAUUAGUAGUAGUUGUAAAACUUCAGAUUGUAAUAAAAAAUUUUCAGAUUGUAAUAAUGAUGAGUUUUUUACUAAAAAAUCUGUUUUGAAUAAAAUUAAUUCUGUUCAAUACAAUUGCAUGAUAUGUCCAUUAGCAAAGCAAACCAAACUAAAAUUCUCAAUUAGUUCUUCCAAAUCUAAAAAAUUAUUUGAUCUGAUUCACAUAGAUAUAUGGGGCAAAUUUCCAAUUAUGACCCAUGAUGGUUUCAAUUAUUUUUUAACCAUUGUAGAAGACCUAAGUAAAGAUACAUAGAUAUACUUAAUAAAAAACAAAUCAAUGGCAAUAGAGUGCAUUGAUAAUUUUUAUAGAAUGGUUAAAACACAAUUUCAAACUAAAAUUAAAACCAUUAGAAGUGACAAUGGAGGAGAAUUCACUUCUAACAGUUUUAAAAAGAUGACUGAAAAGCAUGGGAUAGUUCAACACCUCUCAUGUCCUUAUACCCCUGCACAAAAUGCAAGGGUAGAAAGAAAGCAUAGGCACCUCUUGAACAUAGCAAGAGCAUUACAUCUUCAAGGAAAUGUUCCAUUAGAAUAUUGGGGGGAGUGCAUCCUAACUGCAGCCCACCUAAUUAAUAGAAUUCCUUCCAAAAUCAUAGGAAACAAAACACCCUAUAUAUGAGAUAGUUCAUAAGAAAAUACCAAAUUUUGAAAGUUUAAAAACAUUUGGUUGUUUGUGCUAUGCCUCAACAACUCAAAUAGAAAACAAGUUUUCUCCCAAAACUUUUCAAGGAGUUUUUAUGGGCUACCCAAAAGGGGUUAAAGGAUAUUCCAUAUUAAGGCUUUCAGACAAGAAAUUCAUCAUUUUCAGAGAUGUAUCUUUUAGGGAAUCAAUAUUCUCAUUCAAAGAUAAUAUAAAUUCAGAAAACACAAAAAAAUUAAAUUCUUUUGAAAUUUUUUAUGAUAAUGUGUUUUUAUAUCAUGAUGAUUCAAAUAAAGCCUAGUAUGAUUAUAAAAAUUAUAAUCAAAAAAUCAAAACUAAAAACUCUGAUCUAAACAAUAAAAUAAGAUCAGAAAAUAAAAACCAAAAUCUGAAAAAAAUUCAGAUUCAAGGUCAAAAAAAUGACCAAAUAAAUCCAGAGUAUACUGGAAUAAAUAAUAACUCACAAAACCAAAUGAUUAAUCAGAUGGAAAAUAAAAGUGAGAAAAGAAAUAAUAAAAACUAUGAUGUUGAAUCAAAUCAUAGCCCAAAAGAUAGAGACUCUAUUAACAGCCCUGGAAAUUUUCAAAACAAUUGUAAUUUUGAAAAUUUCCAGAAUAGAUGCAAUUUUGAGAAUAUUCAGAAUACAUGUAAUUCUGAAAAUAUGCAGAAUACAUGUAAUUCUGAAAAUUUCCAGAACAGAUGCAAUUCUGAGAAUAUUCAGAAUACAUGUAAUUCUGAAAAUAUUCAGAACACUAACAAUUCUGAAUAUAUUCAGACUAAUGAUGAAACAAAUCCAUUAAAUAUAGAGCCAACAACACAAAAACAAAACAUCAUCUCUGAAAUUACAGGAGAUGGAAUUGAACAGCCUCAGGCUGCCCCCUGCACAAGUCCAGAAAGACAAAUUGAAAUGUCUGGAAAAAAAACCACAAGGGCAGGUAGGGUAAUCCAUAUACCAGAGUUAAGCAUACAAGGAUUUCUUCCUUGAAAAUGAUAAGGAAUAUGGAACUAACAAUCAAAAAGGGAAAUACCCAUUGUGCAACCAGAUAUCAUAUCAUAGAGUCAAUAAAACCAACAAGAAACUACUUCAUCAAAUAUCAGUACAUGAUGAACCUCAAUCUUAUUCAGAAGCCUCUAAAAACCCAAAAUGGGUAGAGGCAAUGGAAAAAGAAAUGGAGGCACUUCAUAUGAUGAAUAACACUUGGACAUUAACCACUCUUCCUCAUGAUAGGAAAGUUGUGGGUUCUAAGUGGAUUUAUAAAAUCAAAUAUAGACCAAAUGGUGAAAUAGAAAGAUACAAGGCUAGACUUGUAGCAAAAGGAUUCACUCAAAAAGAAGGUUUUGAUUACUAUGAAACCUUUGCACCUGUGGUCAAAAUGACCACAAUUAAAACAAUAAUUGCAAUUUCAGCAAUUAAGAAAUGGAACAUCUAUCAAUUAGAUGUAAAUAAUGCCUUUCUUCAUGGGGAUCUUCAUGAAGAAGUAUACCUCAAACCACCACAAGGACUCCUUAAUGAAGGAGAUAAAAGAGUAUGCAAGUUAAAUAAAUCUCUUUAUGGGCUAAAACAGACAUUUAGAAACUGGUUUGCAAAAUUAAAGGGAGUUUUAAUUGAGUUAAAUUUUACUCAAACUUCCUCAGACUAUUCAUUGUUUGUUAAAAACAACAAUGGAAAUAUAAUAUACCUAUUAGUAUAUGUAGAUGACAUUAUAAUUACAGGAAACAAUGAAACAGAGAUGUUUCUAAUCAAAAGAAAUAUUGAGAAAAAUUUUAAAAUCAAAGAUUUAGGAAAGUUAUCCUAUUUUUUAGGGAUCGAAGUAUCAUAUCCACCAGAAGGUAUAUACAUAUCUCAAAGGAAGUAUGCAUUAAGCAUAUUAGAAGAGAGUGGUCUUAUAGAUGCAAAGCCAUCAAAAGUACCUAUGGAAAGGUACAUACAUAUGAGAAAUGAGCAAGCAAAGCCCAUAACAAACCCAACUCUCUAUAGGUCACUGGUGGGUAGGCUUAUAUACCUAAAUAUAACUAGACCUGAUCUAAGUUUCCCAGUCCAUUGGCUAAGCCAGUUCAUGGGAAACCCUAAUGAAAUACAUCUUCAAGUUUUAUUCAAAGUGAUAAGAUAUCUUAAAAAUGCCCUUGGACAGGGCAUACUAUAUAAAAAUCAAAACCAAAUGAAUCUUCAUGGCUAUUGUGAUUCAGAUUGGGGUUCUUGCUCAAUCAGCAGGAAAUCACUUUCAGGCUACUGCAUAUUCUUAGGAACAUCCUUAAUUUCUUGGAAAUCCAAGAAACAGGAUACAGAGCCAUUAGUAAAGCACAAUGUGAAAUACUAUGGCUACAUCAAUUUUUUAAAGAUCUUAAAAUCAAAAUACAAAAACCAACAUCCUUAUACUGUGAUAACAAAUCAGCAAUUUAUCUUGCUAAUAAUCCAGUAUUCCAUAAAAGGAGUAAACAUAUAUAAAUAUCAUGUCAUUCUAUAAGGGAGAUGAUAGAUAAAGGAAUAAUCCUACUAAAACAAGUAGGUACAAAAUACCAACUUGCAGAUAUAUUCACCAAAUCCCUAGGAGAAAAUGAAAUUUCAGCAUUCUCCAUCAAGCUUGGUAUUCACAAUAUGUAUUCCAAGGCUUGAGGGGGAGUAUAAGAAUACACUGAAAAUCCAGGGUAAAACAACAAUUUUGCCAAGAAAUAUAAACUAAGGACUUAAGUGAAAUAAAACAAUUAUAAAGGUUAUGGUAUAACUAAAUAAACUAUCAGUUAUCAACCGACAGGGGGUUGUUUAUAAAAGUUUCAAUAAAACGUUACCAGGACCUAAAUGUAAUAAAUAAGAGUUUUUAAUAUAAAAACUAACUUGAGUUCAAGUGUUACUAUGCAGACAAUUAACCCAAGACUCGUGACAAAAGAAUUAAAAAAGUAGAAGGGCCAGAGUGAAAUAUUUUAAAUAUAUUCUUAACGGAUCAAUUACAAUGGGCCGGAUCUUCUUUAUUCUUAAAUUAGUUAGUUACGAGAUUAGUUGAGUAACUUUGUAUUAAUAAACACUAUAAUCAAACACACUAAUAAAUUGAAUACAAAGAGUUAAUUCUUCUUAACUCAGAUUAACUAAACAACACUUCAACAAAUCUUCUUCCUCCUCCUUAGUGACAGUUAUUUCGUGUAAAAGCCCUUUCUUCUGUGGGCGAUAAACCCUAGCUAGCAAUCUGGCCACUCCGCUGCAUUUUGAUCGCCCCCGACUUGAGGAAGUCGCGGCAUUGUCAGCAACGCCUCCGCCGCGACGUGAAGUUAACAUGAACAACCAAACUAUUUCGAUCAAAAAUUACCUUAAUAGAAAGAAAGAAAAAAAGAGGAUCGGAUAAGAUGGAUUUCAGUCAUCAUCGUUAUCCUUAAUUAAAAUCGGCGAUCUGAUCGUCGAUCACCAACAUUUUCUUAUCGAUUUAUACGAUAUAGAACAACAUUUCUUCUGUUUUUUUAUUCUUUAUUUAUACGUCAUUAGCUUGUCGACAGCAACUAACUUAAUUCCCAAAACACCCUUAUAUUUCAUACAAUUUGUAAUAUAUCAUUAAGGAUAAUUUUGGAAAUAAAAAACGGUAAUGCGCCUCCACUCUUCUUCUAUAUAUAAUUAUCCACGUCCGCCUUCCACGGUUGAGCACAAAGAAAAAUAAAAAUUAAAUAGAGUAUGUAAGAAAACCUUAAACUUUUUGUAAAUAAGAAACAACGAUUUCAAAAGUACAAGAGUGUAGUGAUAUAAAUAAAGAACAACGGUUUCGAGUAAUUUAGAAACAAUGGUUUUAAACAAUUCAGAAACAUUGGUUGAAACUAUGUUAGGAACAAGGUAUCAACUAAAUCAGGAAUAAAUAGUUUCAACAUUUCAGAAACAUUGGUUGAAACCAUUUUAGAAACAUUGAUUGAGACCAUUUGAAGAACAACGGUUUCAAACAAUUAAGGAACAAUGAUUUCAAUCAAUUCAGAAACGUUGGUUGAAAUCAUUUUAGGAACAACGGCCGGUAUCAACCAAUUCAGGAAACAACGCGGUUUCAACCAUUUUAGGAACAUUGGUUGAAACCAUUUGAAGAACAACGGUUUCAUAUAGUUCAAGAUUAAUGGUUUCAACCUAUUAAAAAACGUUGGUUGAAACCAUUAUAGAAACAACGGUAUCAAUCAAUUAAGGAACAACGGUUUCAACAUUUCUGGGACAUUGGUCGAAGGCAUUUGAGAAACAACAGUUUCAUCCAUUUGAGAAACAAUGAUUUCAACGGCUUCAGAAACAUAUAUUUUUACCUUAGGAACAUUUAUUUCAUCAAGUACAUGAACUACUUCAUCAAACAAAAUUUAACCAAGAGGAUCAGAUUGAACAACGAUUUCUUAAAUUGAGAAGACGGUAAGAUAUGAUAGAAGACAGUAAUAGAUUUGCGGAUGAAAAUAUAGAAAGUCAUACGUGACAAAAAAAACGAAUAUGAAGACGAAAGAGAGUCACAUACCGACAGGGAGGUGAAAGUUGAAAAAAUAGGUGAAAGUCGAAGAAAAUAGGGAAAGUCGCAAUGGUUUGCAGCAACUCCGGCGAGGUGAAAAAAAAAAGAAAAAAAAGAUGAAGACGUGUAAGUGGUAGGUUGAAGGUAUGAAAUGAAAGAAAUAUGAGAAAAAAUUUGGAUAUAAAGUACAACUUUUAAAGAGAUUGUUGAAUGAUUAUUGUAGAAAAAAGAGUGGAUGUAUUCCCGGCAAGAUAAAUGAUUGUUGAAAAAGAUUAGACGUGUUUCCGGCGAGAUGAAUGAUGCAAAACACAAAUGGGCUUCCCGACGAGUUGAAAAAAAAGGGAAGAGGUGCGCGAAGAAAAGUGGGUGGAGGUGAGAGUACGUGAUAAGUGAGGUAUGGAGGGAAAAGGUACUUGACAAGUGAAGUACAAAUUAGUUGAUAAAGUAGAUAUAAGUAGGGAGAAAAGUCAUAGCUAGGUGUGGAAGGAAUCUUUAUUUUAUGGAGAUGUGUACACAAACUAAAUAAAAGGAUAGACGGCUGAGAUGUGAAAUGGAAAGAUCAAGCAUUUUUGAGCUCACCAUAUGAUGAGCUCGUGUGAUAAUUCGUGUUCAAUCGAUAUGUUUUAAUUUGAAAUGUUAUUAUUUAAAAUAAUUUAAAUAUCUUUACUUAUUUAAUUUAAAAUAUUCUCAUUUAACAUAAUUUAAAUAUUCUUAUUUAUUUGAUAUAAAAUGCCAAAUUUUAACAAAAGAUAAAUUUAACCUAAGAAUGAGCAUAGGUCAGGUAGUUCGGGCAAUUCGUGUCGACACGAUACGAACACGAUUGAUACGACUGAUUUUUUCAUUGACACAAAACGACACAAAUACGAUUCAUGUCAAAAAAAUUGACACGACAUGAAAUUCGUGGAACACAACACAAUUAUUUUAUUAAUAAUUAUUAUUAAAAUUAUUAUUAUUAUAUAUAUAUAUGUAUAAUUUAUUAUUUUAUCUCUAUUAUAUAGUUAUUAUUUUACAUCAUAAUUAAGGUUGUAAAUGGGCCGAGUCUGAGACGGCUGAGCUGGACCCGAACCCAGACCCAUGAACUUGGCCCGGGUCGGGUCCAAUACUCAAUUGUCUGGAUCUGGGCCCGGCCCAGACCCAUAAAAAAUUUCGGGUCUGGGCCGAGUCAAGGUCCAAAUAAAUAAUUUUUUUUACCUAAAAAAUAAUAAAUAAUUAAAAAAUAUAAAAAUAGUUAAUAAAUUUUUGUAAAAUAAAUAAACAUAAUAAACAAAUAUUGGUAUAUUUAUAUUAAACCAUUAAGUUAUUAAUAUAUUAUACAAUAUAUAUUAAAAUAUUUAUAUUUAAACCCCUAACUUACUAAAAUAUUAAUUAUUUUUUUAACAUUUAAAAUUGCCCGGUCUGCCUAAUCUGGACCCGGACCACUAACUGGCCGGGUCUGGAUCCGUACCCGGUCGUCUAGGUCUAAACCCUUUGCUGGGCCCGAAAUUGGUCCCAGACCCGGACCCGUUGAUAGCCUUAACCAUAAUUAUUAUUUUACCACAUAGUUAUUAUUUUAUGGUUACAAUAUUUUAUAUAAAACUUAAGGAGUUUAACAUAAAAAAUAUUUUUUUUACCAUUAUUAUAUAAUAGAUAAAUAUAGUUAAUUAAUAAUAUUAUAUUAUAUUUUCGUGUAAUUGUGUCGUGUCGUGUUUUUAAAGACACACUAAACUGACACUAUUAUUAAUCGUAUUAAAACUUUCGACACUAACCCGACACUAUUAUAAACGUGUCGUGUUAAAAUCGUAUCGUGUUAAAAUCUAUUAUUGUUACCCUUAAUGUCAAGUUUGGUUUGAGUUCGGGUCAAAACCUGAGAACAUCUAAAAUUAUAAGACCCGGUUUGGAUGUUGGGUUCGGAUCUAAUAUUUUUUAAAAAAAAAUUGUAUAAAAAUCCUAUUUUUAAAAUAAUUUGAUUAAAUCAGUUUUAAAAUCGGAAGAUAAAAAUGGAAGAAUAGAGGAAAAUGAUAAUAAUAUUUAGGUUUAAAUUUUAUAAAAAAUGUGUAUAUAAUAUUUUAUUUAUAUUAAUUAUUUACGGCCCGUAUCAGGUAAGAAGGGUUCUUAUGAGAACCCUCUUCCAUCACCGUCGUCCAUUUUAAAGAUGAAUGAGGACCGUGGAUUUUUUGUUUGUGAAACUUGUUGAUUAGUUAGCCGGUUGGUAGUUAACCGGUUGGUAGUUAACUGUUGGCAAAAAAAAAAUUUGGAUAGGUUACAUAUUAGUAGAGAGUGCUACCUAUUUACUAACUGCCUAGGGAUGGAACAGUGAAUGAUGAUAAUGACAGCUCUGUUACUACUACCUGAGCAUUGACAAAAUUAAAUUAAAAAAAAAUGCUCCUGAAAUCUCCCUCCGUUUCCUCCCCUAAAAAGGCGAUCGACAUUUUCGUAGCUUCUUCUCCGUUGGCUUCCGUCUCCGGCUAUUUUUUCUCCGUGGUUCUUUCUUCGUCGUGAUAUUUUUUUCUCCAGCUUUCCCUACGUCUCCUGAUGUUUUUGAUUCAUAAAAAUAUCUGUUGUUGAAAUACAAAAUAAAUUAGGAUCAUGUCUUCUUAGCCGCUGGAUCGUAAUAUAUUUCCUUUACGCUCUUCAUCCGCGCUGCAUCAAUUUUUGUUGGUCUUUCGCUUUUACCACUCCCUUUGGUAUUAACCUUCCCCCGGAGCCCCAAUCAAAACUGUUGUAUUCUUCGGUUUUUUGGUUCUUGUAAUUAAUGUUCUAGAAUAUAAAUUUGGAACAACUAUAGUGUCACUGAGUUUUUGAAGAGCGUAGACACCAUAUUUGAGUAGUAUAUCAAGUUGAGGUUGUCUCAUCUUCGCAUAAUUCAUCAUUGUCUGCGACGUUACUGCAUAAUUGGACAAAGGAUUGUCAGGUUCUGAAAGAGACGGAGCUAUUUUGUAGUCUUGCAUAGUUUGUUCCACCUAGGCAUUUUCAAAUGGUCGGGUAAACUUCGAUAACCGUUGACAAUUAGAUAAUAUAUAAGGAUAUUGAUUCGCAAAUGGUGGUGGAAAAGCCAUUAUGCUAUGGGAGAAAAAAAAAGAUUUGAUGUAAGAAAUGAAAAAAAAAGAUUUGAUGUAAGAAAUGAAAAAAAAAACAAAAGAGCACUAACCUUGAUUUCGGAAGACAAGGAAUGGGAAAAUAGAAGUUAGAUUGCAAAAAUAAAAGAAGCUAGAGAUGGAAGAAGAACAAUGUGGAAUAUUGAAGAAGAAAACCUUGAAAAAAAAACAAGAUAAGGAAUUAAGGGAGAUGGUGACAUGAUGGUAAUACCGAGUCAGGACUUUGGGAAAGAUGUGAAUGACGAUUUGGAAAGAAAAAGGAAAUUCUUGGCACAAAAUAAGAGAGGAAAAAAUAUGACUUUUACAUGAAAAGACUUAUAUUAACAGAAGAAAACGAUUAGAUAGCAGUACAGAGUUAAAUUAUAUAAGUACGUCAGUGAGUAAUGGAAGGACAAAAGAGAGAAAGGAUUGAUUGGAAGGGAUAGAGAAAAAUAACAAAAGGAAAAUGACAAAAAGAAAGGCUGAAGAGAAAGAAAGAAAGAAAAAACGUACACUAAGAAAGAAGUAGCUAGAGAAGUAGGACAAAUCAAAGAUAGAUAGUAAAAAAGAGAAAUUGUGAAAGAUAAGGAGAGAGAAAAGAACAUAAAGAGAAGAUAUAAGACCAAAAACAAAACAAAAAAUCUCAUUCUAAUAUAUACCACCGACCGAAGAGAGAGUGAAGGAAGGAAAAUAAAUUUCUGACAACUCAAGCAUAGAGAGAGGGUGAGAGUGGAUAAAAAAAUUAAAUUUAAUCAAAUAGGAGAGAGGAUGCAACCGGUAGGUGAAGGUUUUGAAGGAAUGGUCAGGAUUGAUUAUGAAAGAAUAGACGUAUCAGAUAAAGUUCUCACGAGAGAACCAAAAAGAGGGGUGGGUUCUCACCUGAUUUAUUUUGUGACAAACCAUCUAAAAAUUAAAAUUUAGUUCUUUAAUAUUCAAAACGAUCAACUUUUUAAUCUAAAAUUACAUUAAGCAGUAGCAGUAAGUAAGCUUAAGGGUUAAAAAUGGAGAUCUAAGUGCUACAAAAAAAUUUAUAUCUCCGUGCAUUCUUAACCCUAACAACACAAAACCGUAAAAUUGCAAGUAGAGUCAUAAUGAUACAGAAUUAAAUCAGUACCGAUUAUUAAGUGGCUUGACUUUGUAUAUCCUAACUAUCCAGUUUGAUGUUGUGAAUGCCUCUUCCAAGUGAGUAAGUUCGACUUCUUUGUUUCCAAUUUCAACACUCCUUGCUCGAUCAUACCUGUUAUAUUCAAUCAGGCAAUUGCGGAAGAAUUGUGAGAAAUCUAUUUUAAAUGAAAAAAUCUACUAAGAAAGGUGAAUAGAAUGAAAUUUUAUUAACUCAAAAAAAAUGCAAUUUUAUAGUAGGUAAAGUAAAAAAAUAAUUAAAUGAUUACCCGCUGGGCUUUCCAUACUCUGUCAUUAACUGUCCAAAACGAUAGUAGCAGAGUUUGUACCUGGUCACCAUCGAAACAAAAUAAGUGAUCAUAUCGAAGUCUUAUUGGUAAUCAAACUACAAGAUUUUUCAAGAUUAUAUAAGGUACUUAUUUUACAUGGUGAGGAAGGGGUAAAUCUGAAUAUUCCAACAUUUAUUGUACUCACUUGUUAACAUUGAUAAUUGGAAAGCAGGAAAAAACAUACAUGAUUAUGAGAGAUGAGUCAUGCCUUCUUCCUUAAAAAAAAAUCUUAAUCACAUGCUAAUUGAAUUUUUUGUAAGUCCCCUAGCAUUGUAGAAAAUGCUUAGAUCCCUAAUACAUGUCUAAUGUAAUUUUAAUGUAUGCAAGUUUUCCUCUAAACAUGUAAGUCAUGUUUUCCUCUAAUUUUAAACCUAGUAUUUUUUUACACCCCAAUCAAUGUUCAAAAAUAUUUUUUGGACAAAAUGAUUUUAUUUGCUAAAUAAAAUGAUUUUACCAUGAAUCCAUGGCAAAUAAUCCUAAAUAAAAAAUGACUUACAUGAGACAAUUCAACAUUUUGGGUGAUGCCCCUUUGUCAACACGAUAUUCUCCAUUCACAAGAUAAUCAGAUUCUUUGAUGAUAGGAAAAACACCACCUCCAAUGCGCACCAUCCACAAAAAUCUGCCAAUGUGGCAUGUUAAUAUAAACAAGUUGCUGAUAUAAUUCUAUUAUAAAACAAAACAUUACUUAUUAAUGUCAUCUGAUGAAUAGCCCGUAACACCACCAAACACAACGAGUACGUAAUUAACAUCCAAUGACAGCAUUAUGUCAUAUGCUUCAUCUUCAUACGAUGACAUUGCUCGUCCAACAGUAGCAAUAUGUGUAUUGUUCCAUGUAUUAUUAUCCACAAUCACUGUUCUGUUACCCAUAGCAGUGAUUUGGUAUCCAUAAUCCCACCAAGACAUCACCUUAGCAUCAGGAGGGGUAUUCUGUCGCAGCCAAAAAUAAGCCUCACGGUAGUCAUCAAAGAUUACUCGGCCACCAUGAGACCCUCUGGCAGACAAAACGAUGGAGGGAGAAGAAUAUGCCUCAGAAGUCACCCAUGUACAAUGGAUAGCAUAACGUCCAAGCAGGUAAAAAAUCCCCAAAAGCAAAGAUGUAGCAACAUUUUUUUGAAAAGGUAAUGAAUGAUCAACCAUUGCCUGUAGAGAAAACAGUCUAAAUAUUAUUAUGUUACUCGUCAUAUGAGUCAUCAACCACAGAAGCAAAAACAACUUAUAAAAUUUCAACUUUGUAAUUUAUUUAAAAACACACUUGAAAUAAAAAAUUUCAUGUGUAGAACAAGAAUUCUAUUAUUUCUGUAGAGGCCUAGCUGAUGAAAGAUAAAUUAAACUUUAGCUGUUUAUUUAUUAUAAUUGCUAAAGUUCUCUACUCACUAUUCAGAAGAUAACUGCAGAUAAACCUCUGUUUGUGUAUUUGUUAACUGGAAUAGCACCCUUACAAAAAAUUAGAUCGAUUGAUUAAUUAAAAUGCUGGUAAUUAGUUGGAUAAACAUCAUGAAAAGCCUAAAAGACUCACCUUGCCAGAUGAUUUCAAGCUCGAUGACACCUUAGUAGAACCACUCUGCAGAUACUUGCUCUUUCCACGUAUAAGCAAACAUAAAUUUUUUAUAGUUGCAGAAAUAGCAAUCGCACUGAUCAUACAUACAGCUGGUGUAGCCACGAGAAUCAAUCUAACCAUCACACCAGCAAAAUACAUGCUCGUCAAUCCAUACAUGACAAUGAAUAUUGUGGCAUCUGUAAGACGCUUGAAGCAGAAAUAUAAGCCUGCUGGGAAAAGAAAAAGGAGAAUAUGGAAGUCAAACAUGAAUGAAGACCAUGCUGUUGGUUGAUGCUCAGAAACUGAGGCAAUUAUAGGAAUGUGAUCCUUCGCAUAUGUGGGAUCAAGUAAAGAGUAGAAUCUUCCACUCCAAGGAGAAAUAUAGCCGGACGCUAUGCCAAUUCCAAGAGCAAGGGCCCCAACACUUCCAGCACAUGUAACCGUAGUCUUCAAAAAAGUUUGGAAUAGUUUUGCAUCAUUCAGUAAAUACUUCACCCAGUCUAAGAAAUAGAACACCUACAGAAAUCAUAGAAGAUUAGAUAACAUAUUAAUAUGGGGUUAGUGGGUGGUCACCUCAUAAAAAUAUAACAUGGUAUAUAAUAGUGAUAUGCACACAAUAAUAAUCAUUAAUCAAUAAAAAAGAUUAUUAUGAACACCAGCCUAUCUUUUAAACCUCAAAUCUUAAAGGACUAUGGUUCAUAAUUGGAAGAGUCUACUAUACAUAUUUGGAAGACCAACCUCCUAAAGCAAAAUACUUAGUUACUAGAUCACUUAGAAGAACUGCUAUAUAGGAGAGAGUUGUUGGAUCAAUUCAUCUUCCUACUUUUUCUCUUUCAUAUUGUAUUUAGAGGCACUGCCCUUCAUUAUUAAUGAAAAUAUUUACUCAUCGCAAAAGAAAAAAAUCACUAAUCCUAAGAUGGAAACACUUGCAACUGUGAGUAAAACCAACUCAUUUUCUAAGGCUGUAUUUAAGAAUGCAUUUUAAGGAGAGAAAAAAUACACACUGGUUCUGGUGUAGAGGCAUGAUUUUUUGCUGAGAUAUUGUGGCAAUAUAACAUAAAUUAAGAAGUACAAGGUAUGCAUAUGACAUACAUACCUUAUACUUCUUAGUAUGUGCGCGCGUUAACUGCUGAGUACUAUAUAUACCUGUAUCAAGAAAAAGACUCCCAUAGCUGCCAUAUGUUCCCCAGAUUGGACAUGCUGGAAGCCCACAAACCUAAUCUGCAUAGCGAGCAGCAUACCCAGUACAUACAUGCAAUUGUAAGCAACAUAGAGACGCAUGGAAUACCUCCCAGUGACCAAUAACACCAGUACGUAAAGAGGAAUCAAGUUGAUGAUAAACACAUAACCACCCCAAGCUGAGACCAUAUAAAAAUACCCAAAUGCGGAAGCCAACGCCCACGCCAACGACCCAGUUUUGACCGCCUUAACAAACAGAUAAAACGUGAAGAGAAGUGCGAAGAUAGCAACGCCCUCAUUAUCAUACGAUCCGGCCACCGACCUCGAGAUAUACCCAGGACAGAUCGCGAUCAAUGCAGCAGCGACAAGCCCCGCCCCGGAAUCCCAGAUCUCCUUACCGAAGAAGUAAGCGACGAUAGUGGUGUUCGAUGCAAAAAAAGGAGCAGUCAAGACGCAAACUUCACGAAUGUGCACAAAGAAACGGAGAAAACGCAUAAGCCAGUAGAUGCAAGCAGCGGUAACCAUGAGUCCCGGGUAAAGCGUUCCCCCAACAAUCCGACCAAGAGGAUACCAGCUCUCAUAGUCGAACCAAUUCCAGAACUCAUGGAAUCCAUUGCGGACGAGGAAGAGAGUCGUUCGGUAGUUGAAGUAGGGAUCAAAUUCGUGGAUCAUCGAUUCGUAACGGAGAACGCUGAAGAGGCGGACGGAGAAUGCCAGUACGUAGACAAGGCAUAGGGUCGAAAUGCGAAUCAGAAGCUCCUUCUCCUUUGUUUUGAGUUUGAGUAUCUUGAGGAAUGAAGUUGCUGUGGUUGUGCCGAGUGCGGGCGAUGCGGCUGAUCCGAGCGCCAUUGGAGGUGAAUUUGCUUAGAUCUGUGAUCGGAGAGGAAAAGGAAUACAGAUAAUUAGGGUUUCUGUUUCAUCACAGGAGAAGCAAAAUGCGAAUCGAGCCACCGAGGAGAUCAGAUCGGAUAGGUUUUCUCUCCGACAAGAAAGAGGCAAAAAAAAAUUGUAUCUGAAAUUUUAUAGUCAUUUAAGUUAUACCCGUUACCCACUCACCCUGUUUUUAAUCGGGUAAUAAGGUGGAGUACUAUUACUAUUUUAGAUAAAUUGCAGAUUAAUCCUUUGGGUAAAUUUCAUUAAAUAUAUAAAAGUAUUAUUAUAUUUAAAGAAAGUUAAGUAGUUUUAGAGAUAUUAAUUAUUGAUCCUCUAGUUCAGCAAGUUCAGCAACUUCAGCAAUGGCUUGUUCAGCUUCAAGCACCUCCUUCUCCGUCUUCUUCCCUUUCUUACACUUGUAGUAAACACUCAUGAAGUUCCCAAUGGCUCCAUAUUUUCUCCUACACCUCUCAUAAAGGUCGCCGUCAAACAUCCUCCAGAAAUUCUUCUCGGUGAGCUCAGACACGGCGUACUGUGGCUGGUAGCCAUGGUUCUGGAUAAGCCAUUCUUCAAUGUUCUUAGCAGCCUGACAUCCAUCAAAAACCUCUCCUCGGAGUACAGGUCCCGGUGCAUAGUAAACACCCACAUCGGUGAACAUCUGAGCAUAUGGGGUGUCUCCCUGUCGGUUAUGUACUUCGAAACCGAUCUCAGGUUUAAUCAUGGUAUUCACCGGGAGGACGAACAGACGGUGAGGACAUAGCCAGAGAGGAUAUACCUCCGUUUCACGGUGGAUGAACUCCAGUACAUCGCCGACUUUAUGGAGAGGAACCAAUAAAUCUUGAAUUAUAUGCAUGUCGUGAUAAUAGUUCCUUAUCUUAUCUCCUUGAGUGGCUUUGAGCAAAGAUAUCUUCGGAGGCAUCAACCACCCAAAACCCCAUCGGAACCACCACUGAUCGGAGAACGGAAGAAUGAGCUUUCCCUCCCAAUAUAUGCUUCUGGUGUGUCUGUGAUAGUAAUCUCUCGUGGGUAUGUACUCGAUAAACUCACCUCUCUUCAAUGCCGUCUGUGCAUGUUGGUAAAACCAUGGCUUAAACCACCAUCCUUGAUUGUUGAUAACAUUUCCGGUCAUCUUCGCCUCUUCCUUCGAAGCAUAUACUCCGGUCAUCAUCACACCUUCAAUAGGGCUAUAUAUCAUCCCUUCAACGAAAUCCGGAAUCUUCGCCGGAUCUCCAUCCCUCGGUGCAAAUGAGUCAGCGUAAGCCUGAGCGAGUUCCUGAAGUGUACCUCGAGAGGGAUUGUAAGUAAGCUUCAUGUAUUCCUUGACGGGAAUAAGCUUGAUCUCGGCGGAAACGAGAAACCCUAAGGUUCCCUGAGACCAUGGAACUGUGUAGAAAAGAUCUGAAUAUUCGUUAUCCUUUGUGGCUCUGACAACAAGUCCGUCUGCAAGAACGAGCUUCAUGGAAACGACAGUGUCGGAGAAAAGACCGUAAAUGUGUGAGCUUCCCUCAAUCCCGUACCCGUUGAUGAGUCCACCGACGGUGAGGUCAUCAAACUCAGCCACGACGGCAAGAGAGAGAUUCAUGGGUACAGUAACUCUUGUUAUCUGACCCAUCGUCACCAAUGGUUCGAUGAUUGCUGUCAUUUUUUCUCUGUCGAUGUCUAGGAUGUUCCGGAACGACGAUAGAUCGACCUGAAAAUGACGCGCGCGCUUGUAAUCGGCAUUACGGAGACUGACGGCGAUGUAAGGUUUUCUUGCUGUGCAGAGAAGUCCAUCUUUACGUGGGUCUCGAGAUCGGAGACGAGUCACUACUUUCUCGACGUUCUCGUCGUGUUCCAUCUGCCGGCGUUUGAAACUCUUCAAUUCUGAUCUGACGUCACCUAAGUAGAUCAUGAAAUAAAGAGCAAACGACACCGGGAGAACCAAAAAGAUCACCACGAUCCAUCGGAACUGAACCAAGUAAUCUACAAAAACCUUCUUCCUCUUCGGUCGUAAUGGUUCUUCCAUUAAAUCCGACAUCGAGAUCUUCAGUUCCAAAUCCGAUAUCGAUCGUCGGACAUCGUAUCGUAUACUACGCAAUCCGGCAUAUAUUAUAUUACGAAUUUACGAACCUAUCAAAUCGUUACUGCAUUGGAAGGGUGUGUAUCAGUCACGCCGUUUCUGUGAAUGAUCGGUCGUCGAUCAUCAUCUUUUCGUUUUUCUUGCCAGAACUCCGGCAAUCUAAAUUUUGCAUUCAAACCCCUCGAUUAUUUAAAAUUUCAAAAAGGGAUUUACAAGUUACAACGGUACGUAAAUAAUAUUAUAUUAUACGAGUAGGAGCAGCAGCAUCAGCAUCAAUAGUCGUCGCAUCGCAGUAACCUCGGAGAAUAUCACCUUCCUCCGCCGUGUAGCCAACGGAAGAGAGCAUGCUAGGCCAGCACUGGUGAGUUAUGAUGCGUAUCGACCGACAACACUCCAUCCCGAGAUAAGACUCUCCAUUUACAAAGAACAGUAUGAUCUCGUUGGUGCAGGAACUCAGCUUAAACAAAGCGCUCCAGCAGUUUCCUCCUCCGGCGCCUGCUGAUGACUCCAGUCUCUCCAACAGUGGCAGUAUUUUGCGAUUCUCCAUGAGCCCCUCCCUGGCCACGGCGGAGCCGAUAAGAAGAAUGCAACAGAGUGCGAGGACGAGAGAAGUUGGCUUCCGUAGACCCAUUUGAUCGAGCUUCAAGACAAUAGUGAUACAGUAGCGAAAGAUGGUUUAUGCUAGCUUGCCGUCCGGUUGUUUAUAUAAUAGAACAGCCGGAGCAAAAAGACGGUUCAAGAAGACGAUUGAUUAUCUAUUAAUUAACCGCUAAUUCAUGAUGAUUAAUGAAGUAUAUAAAUAGCUAGCGGUUGGAAUAUCAGUAGGGAUCUCAAGGGUUUUACUCUAAAACAAGCUAGUUUAAGUUCAAAUAAAAAUCCAGGUUAAAAUUAAACACUCUGAUCGACUAAUGACGACACCUUACCAUGGUCGGAACUGCAGUAGUUCGUUCAUGUGGACAACAUUGUACCAUGGUCUAGGCACCGACCGGUCUAAAAUUAAAUGUUAAAUUUUAAGGUCCAAGAUUAAGGUUAUUAAGGUCAGAUUGAGUGUGGCUAGGUCAGUCUAGGGGUGAGCAGGUAAGGGAACCGUAUAAUACCCAAAAAUAAUAAUGUAAUUAAAAUUGUAUAUUAUAUUUAAUUAAUAAUCGUUUCGUGUUAUCACGUCAUAUAAUCGUGUCGUGUCAAUUUAUGUUUCGUGGAAUCGUGUCGUGUCGUAUUUUUAAAGACAAACAUUAAAUAAAUCAAAACUUUUGACACUAAUCUGAUACUAUUAUAUAAACGUGUCGUAUUUAUGUCGUUUUAAAAUCGUAUCGUGUUUUUUUACGAAUCGUGUCUGUUAUUGUCACUUCUAAUUAAAAUAAUGAAUUAGAAAAUCAAAAGUCUAAAAUUAUAAUUCAAAUGUAAAUAUUCUAAAUAGUUAAUAAAAAUUAAAUAGUCCAAAAUGUAAAUUAACAAAAAAAACAUUAGACAAUAAUUAAUAUUCAAUUCAAUUUUUUCAAUGUCAUCAAUUUCUUCACCACUAGCAAAAAAAAAAAAUCAUUAAUGUUAUUGUGAUCAAGAUUGAUCGGGUUCAUAAUUUCUAUGCCGGCGUAAAACAACCAAGUUUGAUUUAGGGUUUAGAGAAUAUUUGAGAGAGAAAUAGAUUUAGGCAUUAUAUCAAUCGUAAUCUACUUUAUCAUAUCGAUCGAACGCUUUUCGAAAAUCAAUCGAGACACGAUCUUAUUAACGUCAACGCACAAUUAAACACCUUGAGGAACUCUUGAGUUACUGAUAUGUCAUCGCUAAUACAAUGUCCUUUUACGAAUGUUGUUGUUUUUUUUGCAAAUAUGAAGAGUUUUCAUUAAAAAUAAUGAAGGGCAAUGUCUUGAAAUAUAAUCGAAUAGGAAAAUAAAAAUGCAGUGGGAUUGAUAUUGUGAUUUCAACUAUAUUGAUCUUCUCCUAUGUAGCUAUUUUUUUUAGUGUUCUAACUAAGAUGUUGAUAUUGUCUCCCAAACUUGUAUAAUAGUCAUUUUCAAUUGUGAACCACAUUUUUUUUUUAAAGAUAUCAGUUUUAAAAGAUAUUCUUCAGUCCUUUCACUAUAUCAGCUAAAACUACUUCUGGGGGUUUUAAAAGAUAUUGUAUUUUUUAUUAGUAAACGAUUUGAAGGUAGACAUUUUUACAUUUUAUAAAAAAUUAUAUAAAAAAUCAACAUCUUAAAUUACAAUAUUAACCACUUUGGUCCAAGUUAAAUACAAUAUGAGCCAUAUGGAUUAUGGCAUAACUUUGUUUAUGAUCUUCUACUAUUAAGAACUAACUGUUAAAUAAAAAUAAGCAUACAAAAAAAAAAAUCAUCAUAAAUAUUAACAUCACUUAAAAAUUAAUAUCUGACUUUUAACUUUGUCAAAAAAAAAACAUUUAUCCGGAGUUCUUCCUUGACUUGCCUUUCUCAAACUUUAUUUUCCUAACAGCCUGCUGUAUAUUGUUUUCAUGAUUUUUGAGCAUAUCUUCCAAGUUGCCAUCUGGAUGUAACAGUGGCCCAGAAUAGUGCAUUCUGUUCUGUUUUAUCCCAUGUUCCUGGAUUUAUAAUUCAAAUCCACCAUGAAAUUUUGAAGAAAAAUAAACUUAUAUAGCAAGAAACAAGUAAUGUGAUACAUCACUUACCAAUGUAUUUAUUCGUUCAUGGUUCUCAGAGGAGUUGAUACCAUCCAGAUGCAUAAAUCUAGAUGCAUAAUUCUUCCACAUGGAGUUGUUGAUUUGGUUAUCACAAGUGGAAUUUGAAUUGAAACUACUUCUUUCGAUACUGCCAGGAUGGUAUUUGAAUGGAUUAGAAUCUAACACAUGAUUUGAUGGUUUUCUAUUAGAAGAUUCGACCCUGAAUCGUGAUUUUAAAUUAUUAUUGAUGCUCACGCUUCUUGGAUUUGAAAUUAUAUGCCUUCCCUGCUUCAAGAAACCAUCACACUAUUAUCUUUAGUUGAAGCAAGGAAUAUAUAUUGAACGAUUGAAUUAAAAUUAUGAUAUUUAAAAUCUAAGAAAAUUUUAAGAAGAAUGAAUUCUUACAAAAACCCAAAAAUAUUUUUAGCAAUUUAAAUAUCAAACCUGUUGUUGUGGACUAUUUUCUGUAUCUGAAAUUAUCUCUCGGUUCUGCUUUUUCACGCUUGUAUUAUUUUUCCUGAUGUUAAAAAGGAUUCAGGGUUUAUGUUUUAAGAAGGUUUAGGAACUAGGAUGAAAUAACUAUAUUUACUGUUAUAUACCUUUUAAAUUCUUCACCCUUUGACUUAAUAGUAAAUUCCUUGCUUGGCGGAUACUUUGGUAGUGCGGAAAGGGGGCUGGGAAAUGGUUUUGUAGUGAAGAACUGAACAACAAAAAUGAUAGAUUGAUAACAAUGUAAGCAUUAUAUCGUGCAGAAAACAUGUAAAUUAAAGAAUGCAGACAUAAAAUUCAAAAUAGUACAGAAUGGAUUCUAAUGGACGGUAAUAAUAACAUACAGCACUAUUUAGAGCAGAAGAAGUUGUUCCCCGUUGUUCUGGUUCUAUAGAAAGGAGGACAUUCAAAAGUUCUAGAGCUGAAGAAGACAAAUCACUGAAUGUUUGAAGGACACAGCGUUGAUAAGAUUGCUGAGGUUUAAAAAUAGUGGCAUUUGACAACUUUGAUAUCCUCCAAUACUUCUCAGAUGGAGAUCCACAAAGCUUGAAUAUCUUGUGUAGUUGCUCAACCUGAAUGAGGUUGAAUUAUCACAUAAAUGCAGGAAAAUUAAAGGAAAAGUUAGCUAAAAUCAAUAAUAGAAAUUCUAAAUUUGUGAUAUCCAAAUCUAAAGUGAUUUUUUUCCAUUUUUCUUCUGUUUUUUAAAUUUCUCUAGGUUUGAUUUGCUUUGAAAUGCAGAAGAUUUACUUCGGUUCGUCCAGGCAAAAUGGGCUUUCCAGAAAGCAAUUCUCCGAGGAUGCAACCACAGCUCCACAAAUCAACCGUAGGUUUGUAAUCUGUGGCACCUAACAAAAGUUCGGGUGGUCGAUACCAUAGCGUCACAACACGACUUGUCAAUGGUUGUCUAUGGUUAGAAUUAAAAAUAGUGGCCAAUCCAAAGUCUGCUAUUCUAAGACGUCCGUUGUUAUCAAUAAGAAGAUUCGCACCCUUUAUAUCCCGAUGCAUAACUCCAUUGUUGUGACAAUAGUCAAGUCCACACAGUAGUUGUUUCAUGUAACACUUAAUCUGCAACCAUGAAAGAUCACCAGUCACCACCAUUAAAAUUCAAGUAAUAGAAUCGUCUUAACAAAUAAAAAACACAAAACUACAUAUUCAGCGACAAUAAAAUAUUUAAAAUCAAUAGAACAAAUCAGAGACAUACAACUAAUGAGAAGGAAUUAAUGGCUUGAUGGUAGAAACCUGUGGCUCAGUGAAUUUGAAAUUAGGAUUUACAGAGAGACCAGCUAAAUCAUGCUCCAUGUAUUCAAACACAAGAUAUAGACUUCUAGAUGUUCUUGAUGUAACCAACCCUUCUAACUUUAUAAUAUUUGGGUGAUCAAGUUUACGAAGAAUGUAAAUCUCCCUUGCCAUGAACUGAACACUUUCAGGAUCCAUAUUAACAAAACGCACUUUUUUCAAUGCAACAAUCAUCCCGUUUUUAAGAUCACGGCCUUUAUAUACACUACUGUACGUUCCUUGACCAAUCUGAAAUAGUAAAGAUCAUUUAACUAUCAAUCAUGCUGAGAAAAGGAACCAAAGUUGAAAGAGAAGAUAAUUAAUAACCUUGUUUAGUUUUUCAAAUGAACUGAAUUUCCUUGGUAGCCACCCUUUCACCACUUCCCCUGCUACUGACACAAGCCAAGAUGGCCAACCAGCAGCCACAUGUUCAGCUUCAAAUUCACUUGGAAAAUAUGCAAUCUUUAAAUCUGGCUCGGUAUUACAGGAAUGUGGGCAAUCCACAACAUUGUCAGUGCGAAAUUUCUGAACCUCAGUAUUUCUGUUUUUGAAUGAAACGCCAACAGGCUCACCAACCGUAGGCAAAGUAUCAUGAGGUGGUGAUUUAUCAUAAUCACGAGAAUCAGUAUCUUUAUAUAUGGAUGGGUUUAACUUUGCGCAUACACAACCCAUCAAAACUGUGCUAUGCAGCCUAUGCUCAUGGCAUUCUCACAAACAUCUUACGGGCAACAAGAAGGACAGACAGGCAGACACCGAUAGGGCAAUUUUAAAAUGUGCAAUCUUCAACCAAACAACACGCCAAUGAUAGAAAUCAGAAAAAAUAAAUUACCCAUGUUUUUUUUAGAAUGAGUAAGUAAAGAAUAUAAUUCUGAUGGGGAAUUGGGGAUGAUUGAAUCAACUUCUCAAUAAUAAUAAAAACUAUAAAAACACUGAAAGAACAGAACACAUACCGUGACUUUUGUGAGGACGAACGGAGUGAUUUGCAGAGAAAGAGGAGUCGAUGAGAGGUGAAACGACUUGAUCAGAUGAUCCCAUUUAUUUAUUACUAGGAAAAAAUACAUAGAGAUUAGAGAGUUCCAAUUCAUUGAGGGAGAGCACAACGUCUAUAGAGGGAGGAGUAAAAAUAUGUCCUUGUUUUAGUUGUUGACGCCUUGACGGUGUUUUUAUUAAUUUUAAAAAGUGAUUAAUUUUUUUAACUAUUUAAGUUUUUUUUUAAAGCAAUGAAAUUUUUUAUUUAAAAAAUAAAGGCAAUGUCAUUAGUUCAUUGCCCAAUUUAUAAAGAAAAAAAGUAUAGAAAUAAAACAGAAGUAUAAGAAAUAAAUAAAAGUGCAUUGACACUCUCUCAUUAGCUAUGUAGUCUAGUUAUACAGUAACUAGAUACGUUGUUUCAAAAGGUUGGUCUCUCAUACUUCUAUUAUAGAUAUCUCCAAAGGGCGACAACAACUCUUCUUAUAAUACACUGAAUCAAAUGAAAAAUUGAUAUCUUUAAUGACCUUCUUAAAAACUACCUCAGGAGGUCUACUCACGUGUUGUCUAUAUCUUUUGUUUCUUUCUGUCCAUAUAUGCCACUAUUUAAGAUAUUGAAACUUGAAAACUGAUAAUUGAAAACGAGAUUUUGUCUAACUAAUAAACUGAUAACCGAAAAUUUACACAACUCGAUUAGUUCAGUUGAUAACUGUUACUAUUAAUGUGGUUGGAUUUUUUUUUUAAGCAAUUAAAUUUCAUUAAAAAAAAUAAGGCUAAUAUCCAGUUUACAAAAAAUAGAGUAUAGAAAUAAAAACAGAAGUAAAAAGAAAUAAGCAAAAAGUUUAUUGACUCUCUCUCAUUAGCUAUGUAGUCUAGUUAUAUAAUAACUAGAUACGCUGCCUCAAGAGGUUGGUCUCUCAUACUUCUAUCAUAAAUGUUUCCAAAGGGUGACAACAACUCUUCUUGUAACAGCUCUUCUUGUUAGUGGUUGGAUUGUUGAAAAUUCAUGAUUGGAGUCUUAGUGUAUGUACUUUAAUUUUUAUUAAUUCACGCAAGCUGCUGCAUGAGUGGGAAAUGUAACCGGUAGCAAUUAGAUUAAUUAGUUUAAAUUUAUGCUUAGUUUCUAAUUCAUGUAUUAAUAAGUUUUAAUUAGUUGUAAACUCUCUAUUUUGCUCAAUACAAUGACCGUUAACCAAAAAAAUUAAACUGGAAGUAUCUUUUUAUCAGUAAAAAGAUAUACCUACGAAUGAUAUACAAAAAUCACAUAAUAUAUAACUAAUUACAUCGUGAUGAAAAUUAAAUAAAAAUUGUGUACACAACAAGAUUAAAACCAUUGACCUUCAACAAUCUUAAGUUCUUAACACUAAAGAUCCAGGAUUUGAAACGACCCAAGGCCAGAUUUUAGAGAUUGAGUUUUUAAUAUUUAAUAUGAAGUUUUGUUUGUAUGAGAUCCGACUCAGUUGGUAAGAUUGAAUCAAAAUCGUUGUUUAUUUAUUCAUCGAGGUUCUGUAUUUAUACAUAAAUUUAUUCUACUUAUCACUAACUAUUAUCACUAACUGAUUCAUAAUAACUCUGUUGUUAUGCAUAUCCUUUAUACCCCCUCCCUUAAGCUCUUGGAUUUAUUCCGACGAGCUUGCUUUGUAACUUUAGAAAUUGUCUUGCCGGUAGAGGUUUUGUUAGUGCGUCCGCCCAUUGGUCAGUCCCGGGAAUAUGUUCUACCGAAAUCUCCCUGCUUUCUGUCUUCUCCCUUACAAACUGUAGGUCUAUAGCUACAUGUUUAAGUUUGCAAUGUCCGAUUGGGUUCUUUGAAAUAAUCGUUGCACCUAAGUUAUCCGAGAGUAUUUUGAUUGGUUUUGGUGUUGAAACUCCUAGCUCAAAUAACAUUGACCUCACUGCUUCAACUUCUUGGGUUGUUACGGAGAUUGCGCGAUAUUCCGCUUCUGUACUUGAUCUUUCCAGAGUACUCUGCUUGCGAGAAAUCCAUGAUACUAAAGUUCCACCUACAUAUACAAGAAACCUUGUUCAACUUUUCCUAUCUGAUGUGUCUCCACCCCAGUCCGAAUCGCAAUAUGCGAUGAUGUUAAAUUCUUCUGCCUUGCGUAUCAUAAUUACAAGCUUUUGUGUUCCCGAUAGGUAACGUAAUAUCCUCUUGACUGACGUUCAGUGUGUCGGCUUUGGGCUUGCCAUAAAUUGCGAAAGGAUGUUAACCGCAACCUGAAUAUCGGGCCUGGUUAUUGUAAUGUAUUGUAGUGAUCCUAUGACUCGGCGAUAUUCUCGUGCGUUUUCCAUUGAAUCCUCGUCGGAGGUGAACUGAAAAUCUGCAACCAUUGAUGUUGUUGAAGGUUUAGUAUUCUCCAUACCGCAGCUAUUCAACAAGUUCGCAAUAUAUUGGGGUUGAGCCAAGUGUAUCCCGUUUUUGAAAUAUGUAACCUGGAUCCCUAAGAAGAACUUGAGAUCUCCGAGUAUUCUUAGUGGAAAUUCUUCUUUUAAUUGUGUUAAUAUUUUUCCGACUUCCGAUUCGUCCGACCCUGAAAUGACAAUAUCGUCGACAUAGACGAAUAAGCAAUGAAAUUACCCCGUUGAAGAAUGAACAAAGAGGAAUCUAUAGCAGAUUCUUUAAACUUUAGGUUGACGAGGAAUUUUCUUAGUCUCUGAAACCAGCAUCGAGGUGACUGUUUCAGGCCGUAGAGUGAUCUGUGAAGGAGACAGACGUGAUCGGGCUUGCUCGGAUCUAUGAAUCCAAAUGGUUGUGACACGACGAUUCUUUCUUUUAAUUCACCGUGCAGAAACGCAUUUGAGAUGUCAAUUUGAUGCAUUUUCCAAUUUCUUGAAACGGCAAUCAAUAGCACUAAUCUUAUUGACACAGAGGGCGCACGACUGGACUAAACAUAUCCAUGUAGUCGAAUCUGUAAAUCUGCCUCAUCCCAUUUGCCAUAAGUCUUGCUUUGAAGCGUUCGACCGACCCAUCCUCCAUUGUUUGACCUUAAAUACCCAUUUGGUAUUAAUAAUAUUGUCCCCUGUUUCACGUUCAACCAAGGUCCAAGUAUUAUUUCGUUGCAAAGCUUCAAAUUCAUCUGUCAUUGCUCUUUUCCAGUUUGCGUCUGAUAUCGCUAUUCUUGCCGAUUUGGGUGUUUGAAUGUCGGAUGGUGCAAUGGCCAGAGCGUAUUUUGGAUUGGGUUUAAAAAUUCCAUCUGAUGCUCUGGUUCUCAUUCGUUCAAAUAUCGGUGCCUCACUUUCAGUUUCUGGAUGAUCUUCUAUGUAGUCGUCGAUAUCGAAGUCAUCCGAGAUUGAUCUGAGGGUUGGUGAUUGAACCGGGUCCGUAGUUGGGUCCGAAGUCGGGUCAGAAGCAACUGGAACCGGGGUCCAUAGUCGGGUCACCAACAACUUGAAACGGGUCUGAAGCCGGGUCUGGAAUCGGAUCAGCAACACCUCGAACCGGGUCAGUAACCGUGGUGUCAAUCAAAUGCCGAUGCCUACGCUCUACCAGACCCAUCUGUUGAUGAGAAUAGGAUGCAGAUAGACGAUGAGAAAUUCCCAAUUCCGCUAGACGACGUUUUCCCAGUUUCAGAAAUUCUUUUGCGUUGUCUAUUUGAAGUGCCAAAAUCUUUCUUUCGCAUUGUCGUUCUGUCCAGUUUCUAAACCUUUCGAAGACCUUAUGAAUAUCAGAUUUUCUUGUCAUUGGAAAUACCCAGUUAAAAUUGCUCCCAGCAUCUACGAAAUUGACAUAAUAAUUAUACCCUUGGAAUGAUGUUACCGGGGCUGGUCCCCAAAUAUCUGAAAAGAUCAAGUCCAUCGGUUUAUAUAGUGUUUUGCGAGUGGGAUGUGGUUGAGCAUGGGAUUUCCCAAAUUGACAUGAUUUACAAACAAUCAAUGGUUUAGAAUUUGUUUUUAUUAUUCCUUUCUUCUCAAGACUCAACAUGUAUUUUGAAUUUAAAUGACCAAGACGACAGAGCCAUUUGAAAUGAUCUAGUUUUUCGCAAUUAUUUAUAGAUUCAUUGGUCCCUUUAGUGCUCAAUGGCAGCUCAUAUAAACCACCACGAACUCCUCCUUCCAGUAUGAUUUCUUUAGUACCCAGAUCGUGCACCUGAACCCUCUGCGCAUCAAAUGAAAUGGAUACAUUAUUACCAAGGCACAAUUUAUUUACCGAGAUUAAAUUUCUUGUUGCUGUAGGAACAAGCAACAAAUCACGAAGAAUGCAAAUCAACCCGUUCGCUUUAAUAGUACUUUGUCCCGACCUGGAAAUUAACAUCGAUGUGCCAUCUGCUGUACAAAUAGAAUCUCUACCAGUAUAUAUUUUUGAAUGUUGGAAAUUUUCACCUGAGUUGGUAAUGUGGGAUGUGGCCCCUGAAUCAGGGUACCACAUGGUCAUCCUUUCAUUUACAUUAUGAGUUACUGUGUUCACGGACCCUCGUUUUCCAGUCGGCCCACUUGCAGAUAGAGUGCGACUAUGAUUUGGGGGAAAUUUUGUCAAGUUUAUUCGAUUGUAGCAGUUGAUCGCGGCAUGCCCUUUGCGAAGACAAAUUUGACAGCGCACGUCGAGUCUGGAGGAUCGCGGAUCAGUUUUUGUUGCUACAUGCAGUUCGCCGGCCUCAACUGUUUUAGACAUUGUUUGCCUUGAACUUACCCUUAAAUCUUGAUCAAUCAACAUCUCUCCCAACCUUGAAAAUGUUAACUCUGGAUCGUAGCGUAUUGUGACAGAGGUCACAAACGAUUCAUAAUCGUCAUUCAGACCUUGGAGAGCACUCAAGACAACCUCGGACUCCUUCAAGGUUUCACCUGUUGCUGCCAACGCGUCUCGGAUGACCGCGAUUUUGGUGAUGUAAUCCUCCAUGGGUUGUGCGCCUUUGCGAAUAGAUUGGAGUUGAAGCCAUAAAUGCAUGUGCCUUGCUUGCGUUCCAAACGCGUAGAGCCGCUGAAGCCCUAACCACGCGUCGGCCGAGGUGCGAUGGGAUGCAAUUUGUGGGACAAUCGCCGUUGAGACUCCCGUUAAAAUCCAGCUCAGGAUCAAUUGAUCCUGUUGGAUUGUUUCCGGCGAGGAUAGGGCGACGUCUCCCUUGACAUAGCCGACCAAAUCGAAGCCCCUUAGCAUCGCCGUGAACUGAGCCUCCCAAGAGAAAUAGUUUCUCCUGUCGAGGACGACGCAUUUAAGGGGUUUCAUGACGACUUUCAUCGGUCUCGUCGGAUUUGCAGCGGACGAUACUACUGGGCUUGUCGUCAUCGGAGAAGAUGCUGCAGCGGAAGAUGCUUCUCGCGAUUUGUUACCUAGCGUAUGAUACCAUAUGAGAUCUGACUCAGUUGGUAAGAUUGAAUCAAAAUCGUUGUUUAUUUAUCCAUUGAGGUUCUGUAUUUAUACAUGAAUUUAUUCUACUUAUCACUAACUGAUUCAUAACAACUCUGUUGUUAUGCAUAUCCUUUAGUUUGACAAGUCCUCAAAGUAUUUUAAUAAUUCCACAUGACUUCAAUCCUUAAGGUUAAAAUAUUCAUGAAGUCCUCUGAGUUUUUUUUUGUUUUUUUGCAUGGGUUUUCAGAAUUGAACCCAGUCAUAGCCUGAAAUGGGGUCUUACUGGAUCCGUCUUUGAACCUUAAUAGUUAUUGUGACCAGUUCAUCGAGCUAAUUUCUGUGUGUUUCUUUACAAGAUUAGAAAUGUCUACACAGGACUCAAAUUCUCAUAAACUUUAAUAAUAACUAUGAUCAGUUAAACUAAUCUCCUUGUAUAUCCUAUUCCAUUAUUAUUGUAGUUAGAAGUGGGAACAGGAGUGACAUUAAGGGAUGGGUGUAUAGCAGAUCAGAGUGCUAGAAACAAAAGACCCAAACCUACUCCAGCAUUUUGGGAUAUGCCUGAAAGUGAAACAAACAUCAAGGUACAAAAUCAGUCUAGAAGAGGAAUACAAAGUUCCCUUGUUUUCACAAUGGUGGUGAUUUCCAGUAGGAUAAAUAUGUUAGGAAAAAAGGUUCAAGGAUAGAUUGAAAGAGGUUUAAAUUGAAUUCAUGAAUUGUUGUUAAGUGUUAACCUAGCUGAAAACCUGAAAUAAGGAUUUUUCAUGAUAAAAAUCUAACCUUGGCCUUACCUGGGUUCUUUUCAACAGAUAGAGAUGGAUGAUUGUGUGUUCUGGAAGCAUCAAAUGUACAAGCCCAAAAUCGAGCAAGAACUCGAUCCAUGCGGUUCAGUACAAAUUUUGAACUAUGCAAUGCAUAUAUCCCAACAUAAGAAGGCUGAACAAAUGCGUGGAGAGGGUUCAGGAGGCUAACCAGGGUUAGCAGGACUGUUUCUCUUCUUCUUAUUAUUAUUAUUUUCCCCAAGCUUAGAUUUACUUAAAUGUUGCAAGACCACUUAAUUUUAUUAAUGCAACCAAGUUCCAUAUAGUGUUAGUGUUACAUUUCUCCUAUUAUGAUGUAGGCCUUGAACGAUUUAUGGGGAUAGAUUCAACGAAUGGAAGAACUCUGCCCAGACUUGAGUUCAAAAACAAUAAAACAGUAAAUUCUCGAUUAGGGUUUAAGCUCCCUUGAGAAUCAAUUGAAAGAUUAGUCGAUUAUCCCAGUCAAGGAUAAUCAAUAAUCGGAAAUUGGAAAGAAUGGCAGUGGUAAUGGAAAUAACGGAAGGAUUAAAGAAAGAAAUAAAGAAGGAAAUAAAUAAAAGAAAGAGUUCACGUUGAGAAAUACCUUGGGUAAAAAUAAAACUCAACUAGCCUCCAUCUUUAGGGUCCACUCAUAUUUAGACUCUCAUGGUUUAAGAGUAGAAAGUCUACUAUGAGAGUCCAAGCCAUUUUAUUGGGCUUUGUCCUAGAAUCGAGCCUAUUAUUAAUGCAAACACUUAUAAGGGCUGCAUCAGGCAACCCCUCUUGGAAUACAAUUGUCCCCAAUUGGUUGUCUUCUUCUGCAGGUGGAUAAUAUCUUCUUAAAUCUGCCACAUUGAAGGUUGAUGACAUGUUGAAUUCUGAAGGUAGAUCUACUACAAAAGCAUUGUCACUAAUCUUCUUUUGUAGCUUGCAAGGUCCAAAAUUCCUGUCCUUCAGUUUAGAAUAAGAUCCUGCUGGAUAUCUGUCUUUUUUUAAGUGAACCGUUACCAAAUCACCUUCAUUGAAAGUCUGAAAUCUUCUAGACCUAUCAGCUCUUUCCUUGUAGAGAUCAUUGGCUCUGGUUAUUGAUUCUUCUACUUGCUUGUGUAUUAAUUUGCUGGAUUCUAUAAUAUCUUUUACCUUCUUAUUCACUGAAGGUGUGGAGGUAACAUCCAUUAUAUUCUUUGGAAGGUGGCCAUAGGCAGCUACAAAAGGUGCACAUCCCGUUGAUCUAUUUGGCAUGCAAUUAAAGGCAAAUUCCGCUUGAGCUAAAUGUUGAUCCCACUGUUUUGGUUGUUUCCCUUCUAGUGCUCUUAAUAGAUUUCCAAGUGACCUGUUGACUACUUCUGUUUGCCCAUCAGAUUGUGGGUAACAUGUAGAACUGAAUUUCAGAUUUAUGUCAAAUCUCUUCCAUAAAAUUCUCCAAAAGUGAGAUAGAAAUUUUGUGUCCCUAUCUGAUACGAUGCUUCUUGGAAUGCCAUGAAGUUUUAUAACCACAUUGAAGAAUAAUUUUGCAAUGCGAGAAGCAUCAUUUGUUUUUUUACAAGCAAUAAAGUGUAUCAUCUUCGAGAAUCUAUCGACUACUACAAAAAUAGAAUCCAACUCUUUACUAGUUUUAGGUAGCCCAAGGACAAAAUCCAUAGAGAGGUCAGUCCAUGGUUCUUUAGCUACUGGUAAAGGGGUGUAAAGACCACUAUUCAGACUAGUGUCUUUUGCUUCUUGACACCUAGGACAUCUUUGCACAAAUUUUUCUACUUCUUUUCUUACUCCCGGCCAAUAAUAUCUGCUUUCUACUUGGGCUACUGUUUUAUCUCUCCCAAAAUAGCCAGCUAAUCCUCCCGAGUGUAAAUCCCUUAUUAAUUACAGUCUCAAGGAUGUUUGGGGAAUGCAUAAUCUGUUUUUCUUGAAAAGGAAUCCUUCAUUGAUUCUGAAUCCCUUAUUGUGUUUUUUUUGAAGGCAUUCCUCCCAAAUUCUCGAGAAAUCUUCAUCAGUAGGAUAUAAUUCUUUUAGACAAUCAAACGCUACCACCUCUGAUCUUAGGACUGUUAGUAAAGAAUUUUUUCUGCUUAAUGCACCGGCUACCUUGUUACUUACACCAGAUCUAUGCUUUAUUGUAAAUUCGAAUCUCUGUAAGAAGGAAAACCAUAUGCUGCAUGUGCAUUCUGUUAGUAUCAGAAGUCCCAUUUAUCUGUUUCAAAGCUAUAUGGUCAGUGAGGACUACAAACUCUCUCUGAAUUAAAUAAGGUUCCCACACCUUGCAUGCUCUGACAACAACAUAUAAUUCUUGCUCGCAUGUGGUCCGAUUUUUUUCUGCUUGCAGUGAGUUUCUCACUAUGAAAUGCUAUUGGAUGACCACUCUGACUUAGUACUGCGCCUAUUUCAGAAAUGCUGGCAUCACAUUCUACUUCAAAAAAAUUAGAAAAAUCCGGAAGAACCAAUACUGGUGUUGUUUGGAGUUUAUUUUUUAAUUUCCAAAAACUGACUGAAGCCUCAUCUGUCCACCUGAAUUUUCCUUUUUUUAAACAGUCUGUUAUGGGACUAGCUAUUGAACUGAAUUUUUUUAUAAAUCUCCUAUAAAAGGAGGCUAGGCCCAUAAAACUACGUACCUCAGUGACUGAAGAAGGUGCUGGCCAAUUUUGUAGUGCUUCAGUCUUUUUUGGAUCCAUUUUCAUUCCGUGUAUCCCAAUGAUAAAUCCUCGAGGUUGAGUCCUAAUUUUUUUACUGCCUUCUCAGAUAUUAGGUUGUCCGUACUCCCAUUGUCUAUUAUUAUCUGACAAACUUUCCCUUUGACUGUUCCUUUGGUGCGAAAUAAAUUUGUCAUUUGAAUCUGGUCAGAAAUUUUAGGAGUGUGAAAGGAUCUAUGGAUCAAGCAAGAUAGACUUAAUCGAUCCUUCAUCGGGGUCAUACUCUUCUGCGGCCUUACGACUCAUCUGAAUUAAUGCCAUCUUCAUUGUUUCUCAACCCUUCACAGAAUUUUACAGAUCCCCUCCUAGGGCAGUUAUUAGCUUUGUGGCCCCUUUCUUGCCAUUUAUAGCAUCUUAUUGUGCUCCAAACUUGUUAUGUGGCCCCUGAUUUUUUUUCAUUCAGAUCUAUAUUUUUCCCUUCAGGUGUUGGUAGAAUUCCUUUGUCCUUAGAAUAAAUAGGUUUACUAGUUGAAGCUCCAGGUGAAAAUGAUGAGGACUUGUUUGUUUGUCUCUUUAGUUGUUCGGAGAUGCUUACAGUCUUCAUAAGUGACAUUGGGGAUUGUAAAAUGACUUUUUCUUGAAGUGUUGAUUUUAAUCCCCCAAUGUAUCUCGCCAUUUGUUAUUCUUCAGAUUCAUUAAGGUUGUUUCUUGCUCCCAACCUAUGGAACUCCUCUGUAUAAUCAGCUACUGACCUCUGUCCCUGUCUGCAUUUCUGAUAUUUUGUAAAUAAAAUGGUUUGAAAUUCCACCGGAAGAAAUCUUUGUUUCAACAUUCUCUUCAGCUUGUCCCAAGUUCUUAUAGGUCUUUUUUAAAACCUAGCCCUAUUCAUGGUGGUCUGAUCCCACUACGCAGCAGCUCCACUUUUAAAUUUUAGUGCUACUAAUUUCACUUUUUUCGAAUCUGGAAUUUCCAUGCAGUCAAAAAAUCUUUCUACUUCCUAAAUCCAGUCUAAAAAUUCCUCUAUAUGUAACUGCCCAUUGAAUUCAGGUAGUUCCAUUUUUAAUCUAUAAUUUCCAAAUUCGUUUCUUUGAUUUCCUCCAUUGUCAUACCUUUGUAAUGCUCCCCCUCUUGGAUAGUCUCGACGGCCCCUAUUUCUUCUUCUCCCGUACUGUAAUAAAUCUUCUUCCUCCUCUGAAAAUUCUUCCUCAAUCUGUCUAUUAAAAAGUCCUCCCUGUUUGAAAUUUUCUUCCUGCCUGAAAUUGUCACGUUGCCUGAAAUUUUCCCCCUGCUGGAUCUGUUCUUCCAAGCGCUCCCUAGCUGUGGGUGGGUUUCUUCUUCUGAAAUUUAUUGUCGGUUCUGUCUGUCCAUUCACUGCCGGAUCAGCUCCUCCAUGCGGCUGAAUAGGUUGCAAAUUCUAUUGCAUUGUUUGGAAGCCGUCCCUAACAAAGGUUGUUAAAUCGGUUAGGGCUUUUGCCAACCUCUCAAACUCUUCACGUGUGAUGUUCUCGGGCAUCUUAAAUACGUUCAGAAUAAAUACUGUUUUUACUUCCGUCCAGUAUAAAUAUGUCCAGAAUAAAAGGUUGAAAUAAAUACACUGUUCUCGCAAAUAAGUUCCAAAUAAGGCUGAAAUAAGUUCUCGCAAAUCCGUCCAGAACAGACCGCAAUUCCUGUCCAGAACAAGUUACAAAUCACUUGUUUCCAACUCGUCCAGCAAAUCACUGGAAUAAAUCGCAAAGGAUUUUUGUUUUCUCUUUUUUUCCCCACGUGUGCUGGACUACUUCACGUGUGCUGGAAUAAAUCGCCCAGAAAUCCGUCCGGGUGAAUCGCAAAUGUGUGCUGAAAUCCGUCCAGGAAUAAAAUCGCAAAUGUGUGCUGAAAUCCGUCCAGAAAUCCGUCUAGGAAUAAAAUCGCAAACGUGUGCUGAAAUUCGCAAAUGCAAAUCCGUCUGACUGUAAAUCGCAAAUCCGUCUGAAUGCAAAUCACGAAAUCCAAAUCCGUCCAGGAAUAAAAUCGCAAAUGUGUGCUGAAAUCCGUCCAGAAAUCGCAAAUCGCAACUUGAUGUUCUUGGCCAACUGCAGAUCGCGAAUCCCUCCUAGUCUGAUACCACUUGAUGUAGGCUUUGAACGAUUUAUGGGGAUAGAUUCAACGAAUGGAAGAACUCUGCCCAGAUUUGAGUUCAAAAACAAUAAAACAGUAAAUUCUCGAUUAGGGUUUAAGCUCCCUUGAGAAUCAAUUGAAAGAUUAGUCGAUUAUCCCAGUCCAAGGAUAAUCAAUAAUCGGAAAUUGGAAAGAAUGGCAGUGGUAAUGGAAAUAACGGAAGGAUUAAAGAAAGAAAUAAAGAAGGAAAUAAAUAAAAGAAAGAGUUCACGUUGAGAAAUACCUUGGGUAAAAAUAAAACUCAACUAGCCUCCAUCUUUAGGGUCCACUCAUAUUUAUACUCUCAUGGUUUAAGAGUGAAAAGUCUACCAUGAGAGUCCAAGCCAUUUUAUUGGGUUUGGUCCAAGGCUCGAUUAGAAUCGAUUAGAAUCGAGUCUAUUAUUAAUGCAAGCACUUAUAAAGGCUGCAUCAUAUUAUCAAAUAUAAAUUACAUUACAAUCAUGAAUUGUCUGUAUAUACUUAAGAGAGUGACAGAAAGACAGAACAUCAAAUCACAAGAAUAAUUAGGGCCUUUGAACUAGUUAAAAUAAUUAUGAGGUAUAUAUAGUUAAUUAUGAAUUCAGGGAUUGAACUCUAUAUUAAUAAUCAUAUUUAAUUUUUUUAAUAAUUAUUUCUAUUGUGCAUUGAAGAACCUCAUAAAUUAGCAAUUUCUACACUUCACUUUCACUUUGCUUGUUAUUUGAUACCUGCAAAGUAAAGUAAAUUAAGUCAUUUAAGAUAGUCAGAGAUCGAACUACUUUCAAUUGUAUUCCCUUCUGAAAUUGGAAAAUCUGUUUUUUUCUUUUCUGAAUGAUUGCAGAGAGAAAUAGCUAAUGAUGCAAAUCUGAUUAUCUGACAUAGUAAUCUAUUUUAACUUUUGAUUUCCAGGGAGUUAUUUAUUUUAUCAUACAGUCAAACAGAUUUUGAUUUUCAGGGAAUUAUUUAGUAUAUUAUCCUGAAUAUUCUAAUGAUGAUUAAAUAUGCUGAAAAUUAAGUUACCUUUUAUAAUCCCUAAAUGUUCAAAAUUCACUAAAACCACCAAAAACAUCCACUAUGUUGUUUUCGGUACAAAAUUAAUAUUUUCAAGUUACUUUGGCAAAAAAGUUAAGCUAUAGGUGUGAGCAAUAAUAAUAAGGUUUGAUCACAUUGUAAGUGAAUAAAAAUCAGAAGAAGAAAAUUUGACUCACAGAAUAUCAAGGUGGCGAGGAAUAAAUAUGUAUCGCAUGCUGUACUGGAGAACUUGGCAAUGAUUUUCCUUUAGAUAUAGCAAGCAUGGGUAUUGAACCUGAAGUUUUAACACUUGAUGAAACUGGAGUGCCCAAAGUAGAAUUAAAAGGAGAUGAUGGCAUCGUUGUUUUCCUCUGAAAAUAAGAAAUGGAACUGGGAGGAUAUCUAGGGGAUGAAUUUGUUAGAGGCAGCAUGUUUAUUUUUAUCCUGAAAGAAAGAGAAGCUGAAAUGACAAUUGUCAAAUGAAUAAAAAUAAAUUCACGGUUCACUUACUUAUUAUGGACGUCAACAUACUCAUCUGUUUCAUCCAAAAUUUCCUCCUACAGAUGAAAAUGUGUUUCUUAGUUUUUUCAAUAGAACUUCAAUAUAUUGGUUAAUUUUUUCAAAAUUUCAAACAUGCUCGUUGCUCGUAGAUUUUCUUCAACAAAAUUGAAUUUAAAAGAUUUUUUAAAAUUAAAACAAACCUGAAGAAGUUCCUCUAUGAGGUCUUCCAUUGUUAUGAUACCAACAGCUACUUCAUCGAAUGGAUAAGUUGAAAGUAAAUCUAAAUUAUCGAUCAUAAGUUGAUGUCGUUCUCGUUUCUUCGGAUGUAGUUGUGUGGCAUUUUGAUCCAUGUUUCUCAAUGGACUGGGACUUUGAAAGAGAGAAGGAUGCAUCAAGGAAGUAUUUAUAGUUGUGACAAGUGGGUCGGCCAAAAUUAAUUGAGGCCCACCUAGAAAAUGAAGUACACAUCACAUGCUUACAAUGAUAUUCAAAGCGAUAAUAAUACUAAAAUGAGGAAUAAAAAGAGAGAAGGUUGGGUGUGUUUACUAGUUUUCUUAAUAAUCAUUUUCUCAACAAUACUGCUCUUCACGUUUGUAAGGGUUUCAGAAGUACCAGCCUUUGUGUUCUUCACAACAACAGCCAUAUGACUUUGUCCCUUCUGAAAUUCAUUUAGAAUGUCAUAAAGUGGCAUAUCUUCAUGUACCCUGGUAGAAAAUAAUAAAACUUUUAGAAGACUGCUAUUUUGCUUAGUGGAAGAAAAAUAUGUUGCAGAAGACUGAAAUAUUUAUUGACUAGAAAAAUUUUCUUUAGCAAAAAACCAUUCAAAGUUUUAUUGUAGAAACAUAACAUAGUGUUCCAAGAAAUCAUAUACUAACUAUAGAGGAUGAACUAGCCUGGGAAUUUUUCUGAUGGUAACAUUUCUAAUGGGGAUAUCAUCUUCAGGUUUGCAGGCAAUCAAGUUUUUCACCUGAAAAUCAUUGAUCAUGCUUGUAAGAUACAGUUAGCCUGAAAAUAUGUCAAAAGGGCAUUUAUCACCGAACUAUAAGAUAAAAUACUUUGAAUAUCAAAAGGUGUAGAUGCCAGGAGAAUUGCAGUGGUAAAUAAGUCAAAAAAAACAAAGAGAAAAUUAUAUUAAAAUGAUUUGAAUAGGUAAUUAGAUACUCUCAAUAUUUAAUGUAGCUUCCAUAAAAAUGAAAUCAGAAAUAAAAUAAAGUAAAGUAAAUUCUACAACUCCAGCACCGGUCUAAUUCAAAAUCCAAUUACUGUGAUCACCCUUCCUUCUCAGUGUAAUGCAAUGGGUGUGGCCAUACUUCUAGAGACCAAAAUAAAACCACACAAAGCAAAGAAAAUUGAAAUAAAUUGAACAUGUUACAACAAUAGAAAUUUGGCCUCCCCUGAGACACCAGAUUCCUCCUGGAUUUUCUGGAAAAGAUAUAUGGACAGUCCAGAUCCUAAUUCACAUUCAUCUCACAAACACUGGAGGAUUGGAGAUCCUCUGGACCUCAAUAUAUGGAAAGCACAUUAGAAAUUAGAAAGGACAGAAAACGACUUUGAGACCCCAUCCAGCAGAUUGGGCCAUGUACUAGCACCUCUUAGGUAGUAUGUGGGGAUUUCAAUGAAAUCAGAUCACCUGAGGAAAGAAUGUGAAGAUAUAUAACCAUGGAGGAAUCUCUGAGUUCAUCCAAGACACCAACUCAGCUUAAAUCUUAUAAAUGCACAUGGGCAAACAACCAACUAGGCCCUAAUUUCACACAAUCUAAAUUGGACAGGAUUUUUAUUAAUUAGGUUUGGAUUGACAAAUAGCCAGAGGUUACACUGGAAUUCCAUGUAGGCUCUAGUGAAUUAAAAUUUGUGUGUAUAGGCAUGGGAGAAGUAGCACUUUUCGCUCACAUCAACUAAUCAGUUAUUCAUACUCUGGAUCUGCCCGACUGCCUAAAUACUAACUUAAAUAAUAAGAAAAUGGAUGGAUUUCACUCUGUUUUUCUGUUUCAAGGGAAUAUAGAGUUUCUACAUCCUAUGACUAAGAUUACAGAUCCAAACUUUCUGGCAAGAUUGUAUACUCCUUUUCCACAGUUAUAGUAGCAAUAUCAGUCUAAUUUACGUAGUACUAGUUUAACAUAAGCCUACUAGUAUUAAUAAGUCUGUAAUAUAAAAAAUACAUGGGACACUAUAGGCAUGGAUUGCUAGCAUACCAUGCCUUUUCAGAUCUUAAACCUGUGUUUCCUUCAAUUCACCAGGAUUGAAAAUAAAACUAGCACCAUUGAUGAUGCAUCUCUGACUGCCAUCGAGUCCAUCAACUCCUUGAAGAUUCUAAAGCAUGUCUCCAUCUAGACAUGCCACAUAGCAAGCAUUGCAAGUCCAACAUGCGAUCAUUAUUGAGGAAAUUUCUCUCGGCCAAUGCAUUUUUGUCUCUAUGAUUUAUGAUCAUUGAUCAUUUAUUUCAUAGCAGUUUAUUUCUAAAUCGCUUAAAAAUUCAAGUGAGGACAAUCACAAAAAUUUAUAUGAAAUUAAAUUCACCACGAAAAUCUAAAGAUAUAAGUUCCCCAUGAAAUUAUCCUCACCAAAAUUAGACCAAUUAUAUUUGUAGGGGAUGCUGAAUAGAUAGGAACACGACUGUGCCCUUUACUCAUUAUUAAAUCUAUCGUGUUCCUGCAGAUUAGUAGAAAAUAUCAGAGUUUAUUUUACAAAAAUAUCGCAUAACAAUCAUGAAACACUAUAUGUGACAAUGUGAUGUACAUGUCCAAUUUGGAAUUUAUAUCAAGAGAAAAUAUUUUGGAUAUUGGUGUCAUGGCAUCCUUAGCCAUCUUUUGUGUUAAAUCCAACGCCCCACAUAUAAUAGUUGUCUCGUCAUGUGUGAGUUCACCACCCUUUCCUGCCUAGAAAAAUUAAUGCGCAGUCAAUAAAUAUAUAGUUUUUUUAAAGCAAUUAAAUUUCAGUCAAUAAAUAUAUAGUGAUAAACUAAAAAAAAUCACGUUUAUUAAAAAAAUUAUUGCAACUAAAUCAUUUUUUGUAAAUGGCUAAUUUUAUUCAUGAUAAUGAAAGCAAAUAAUAUACAUCAACAGCCAAAAAAUGGGAAAACUCAACUCUCACCUACAGUACAUGUAGCUUUAGAAAUGAGAUUUCCAACACUAAGUUUAAAUUAAAUUUAGCUAUACUAGUCUGCAAAGCAAUCGUAGAGAGAUCCUCUCUAUAUGCAAUCCUUUUUUUUGUAUUUUCUAGGAUCAAAGACAAUUUUUAAAUCAUAAAGAAUUGUCUCAAUGAGCAGUCCAGUUCAGUGUCGAAUGUAUUCUGGUACACCUUUCUCUUUAUAUGUACUACUUGGCUACUUCCAGAGCUAAUAAAUCAAGGUUCCGUCAAACUGUUUUCUUUGGAAGAUACAUACAGCACGUUAGUAGGCCUCCUGAGGUAGUCCUUAAGGAGGUCAUUAAAGACAUCAGUCUCUCCUUUGAUCCGGAGUGUUAUAAGAAGAGUUGUCACUUUUUGGAGACUUCUAUGAUGGAAGUAUGGGAGACCAACCUCCUGAGGCAGCGUAUCUAGUUACUUUAUAACUAGACUACAUAGCUAAUGGGAGAGAGUCAAUGAGCUUCUUACUUAUUUCUUUUUACAUUUAUUUGUAUUUCAGUAUUUCUAUUCUCUAUUUUGUAAUUUGGACAUUUCCCUUCUUUUUAAUAAAAUUUAAUUGCUUUAAAAAGAUAAUAAUUAUUUAAGACCGUUCCAAAUUUCCAAUUAAUCCAAUUCCAUAUUUUAUCUACACAUGUUAUGAUGUUCUCCAAAUAAUACUGAAACUCCGAAAGUACCCAAAAUUAAACAAUGAACUGUAUUGAUUCUAAAUUACAUUAUCACAGAGAAGACAACUAAUGCUUGACAUAGGAGACCAUGGAUUCAGUAUCUCUUUAGUAUGCAACCAAUCCCGUCUAAUUCUUCAAGUAUAGAGGGAGAAUUUACUCACACCUGUCCCAAAUAUCCCUGAUACGUCAGGCAUGGAUUUAUUACUGAUUUUCUCCCAAACUGAAUUAAAAGAUGCUUCUACAUCUCCAAAUCCAAGAUAUAUCUUGUCAUCAUUGAACUAACCUGGUAGGGUUUGAAUUAAUGGCUAGCCUCUACAUUAUCCACACUAUAAAAGCAAAACACACUUGUUGACUUCUUCAGUCUUCUUAUUAUUCUGACACUCAAUCCACUCUAAAAUAGUCUGGAAAAUCAUUUCCAAGUAUUGAGGUAAUGGGUAAUUAUGUAAAGUGUGCAACGGAUUUAUAUUCUAUUCUUGUGUUAGUGGACAACCCACUCAAAAUGCAGUGAGAGUUGUCAGGAUUUAUAUUCUUGUGUUGUGCAUUUUGAGUGGGUUAUCUACCAACACAAGAAUGCAUUUUGAGUGGGUUAUCUACCAACACAAGAAUUAAGAAUAUAAAUCCUGACAACUCACUGCAUUUUGAGUGGGUUGUCCACUAACACAAGAAUAGAAUAUAAAUCCGUUACACACUUACAUAAUUAUCCAUUACCUCGAUACCAAGGCCAUAGAAAUCUAUAGUCUAUCAAUUAAACACCAUUCAUUGUUCUUUUGAAGUGUCAAGUAACCAGCGACCAAAUACCAAAGAGACAAAGAACGUUACUUUACCACAAAUAUACCACUUAAGAAAUUGCAGUUUUCCAGCAUAAUUCUCCUUUUGGCAUAUAAAUUCCUGAGAAUUUCCAGGAGACCAUAAUAAUCAGCUUUAUGUAUAUUUUACAGACAAUGGUAAACCAAAAUAUCUUCUUGAAAAGGAACUCAGGAACCAAUCUGAAUCUAAUGGUGAACAGCAACACAGAGCUGUCGAAACAUCCUUCAGAAAGAAACCUUGAUUUUCUCUGACUAAUCCGAGGGUAAUGAAAUUCCCAAGUGGUAUAUGUGUUGUUCCAUAGAAAACAAUUACAUCAUCAUUUUUUUUAUGAAUUAAAACUUUCAUUUCUGAAAAUGGAUUUGAGCAGUGCCCGAAAAUACAAAUGUAGGGAAAUGCAAAUACAGUAAAAUGUAAAAAUAUUGUCACUUUCUUAUACAGCCGUGACCAUGACUAGCUAGCCAAGAACCGAUGCCUCAAGAGGUUGGACUCCCAUAAGCAUAUGGCUUGAAUUUCAAUCUGUGAAAGAUUGUGCUUCUUAAAAGUUACGGCUUCAUGUGCAAUGCUCACGUCCUUUAAGAUUUCUCCGCUGAUAAUUUCUGAGGGCCUUUGAGUAUGUUAUUUUAGUUUCCUAUUCCUUUCGCAUCAUAUCUGCCAGGAAAGGGAUGCUAUCAUGCUAGCAUUAGCCAGUGUAUGCCCCAACAACUGGCUUUGUGUGUAAAUGUUUGAAUUGUUUCCAUAAUGUCUCCUAUUCUAAUGUCUAUUGAGGAUGUGGGAGGGUUUUGACCCCUGAGUGUCCAGAUGGCAUUGUUAAGGCAACUAGUAGACUCUAGCAGGAGAAAUCUUGAGUAUUGACAGUUAAAGUAGAGAUGUUGCAGUGUCUCUUCUUCCUGCCCACAUAGGGGGCAGAUUGUUUGAAGAUUGAUGCCCCAUCCUUGGAGCCUAGUAAGGGUGUCGAGGCUCUUAACCUUAAUUCUCCACAGAAACAUGGAAAAUUUAGGGGCCAUUUUGGACCAGGUCCCAGAGUUUAUCUCUUGGAUGAUGUCUUUGGGCCUUAGUGUUUGGAGGGGCCAAUUUGAGAGAUCCUAUAAUUGCUCAUAUAGUCUAUACAUUUCCCUAUUAUAUCUCUAUUGGCCAGGACUGUUUUCCACGUGAAAAUCCAAGGUGGGUCUACACUCUGUCUCCACUAUACUCCUUCCUUUAAUAUAUUUAAUUUUAAUCCAAUCUGCUAGGAUGGAGGUGUUUGAGCUCCAUAAUUACAUCAUCAUUCACCAGAAAGCAUAAGGUAGUUUUCCACUUUUCCUAUAAAGUCGUGUGACAUCAUUAUAAAAAAUUGAAAUGUAUCUUAUUGUAUUUGUCUCAAAUGGGUUAGGUGGCGAUUAUUUCAUUCAAUUUCCUAUCUUAAAAGUUGUUUUACGUGUUUUAAAGUUUGAAUAGUGUAUUAUUUGUUCAAAAGUCAAAACACAUAAAACUUUGCUCAAAUUUCAAAAUGUGAAAAUGAUUGUUGAAAAGCAUAUUCCUUAACUACACAUGAUACCUAUAACGUAGAAAUUUUUUUUACUUCAUUCUUCCUCAUCAUAAAUAUGCAUAAUAAAUUAGCAAUUAAGAUAAAAUAACCUCAUUUCCAUGCAUAUCUACAUAUGCCUUCAGCUCGGCUCUUCUUAGAAGUACAUGCCUUCCUUUCCCCAAUAGAUGAUCUAACAACUGCGAAGUAGGAAGGUGAGAUGAUUAAAAUAAACAAAUAGAAUGUACAUGAUAAUGUUGAUUGUCGAUACACGACAGUGUGAUAGUAAAUAUAUAAGAUUUUGAAAAGAAAUGAGAUCCAAAAAAUAGUUAAAACCAUCACCAAUGUAUUAUAAAAAAAAAUUAUGGACAAUCAAAAAUUAUUUACAACAUUUCAAAAUCAACAGGCAAAAUACUAAUAUGAGCAGGACAAGCUAAAAUACCUUGCUGAUAGGAUAAGCUAAUGGGUAAAAAAUACAUAGCAGCACUCGAACAAACCCUGCCAUUUUUGCUCCCACGCUUAAUCCAUAGUGUGAACAAACUGCUUGAGGAAGGAUCUACAAAAAAAUACCUAAACAGUCAAACGCUGAUUUUAUUUAUCAUACCAAAAAAUUAGUAUAUAUUAAUAAUCCCAACAAAUUUGAAUGGUUUCUUAUUCCUACGGGCUUUCUAUCUAAAAUUUAACAAAAAUCAUUAAACCUAUCUCAUGAUCUACCUUUCUAACAGAAAUAUAGGAUAAUCUAAAUAGGGAAGUAUCAAUGAGACCUAUCUCAUCUCCCUAAUCUAUUGUAUAUUUCUCCAGAAUAAAUUGAGGAUUCUACUUGUGAAAUGGAAGAGACAGAGUGUAGAGUGAACUGAAUUCCAAAGAACAACACUCUCUACAAACUGAGGUUCUUAGUAAGAAAGAGUUGUUGAGGAAAACUGUGCUAGAAUGGACUAGGACCAAUUGGAAAUACCAAAUUGGGAGAAAUUAAUUUGUUCAGAUUUGGGGAUGGCAAUACCAAAUUUUUAGUGCCUUUUUCGAUGAGAAAAAAAUGGACAAUUCAAUAUUCAAGUUCUCGAGAGAAUAUAUGAAACCAAUAGUAAAUAGACUCGAUAAUGUUUUCUUUAUUGUUCGAAAUGAAGAAUCAAUGCUAAUGAUUCAUCCUUAGUGUUCAUAUACUAUAGGAUCUUAUCAAGUAGAACGUGAUAUUACGAUAGUUAUUUUUUGCGGCAAUAGACGUAUAUGUAAGAUUAACCAUAGAUUAUUACCCUAACAAUAAGAGUGGGAAGGUUUUCAAAAAAAAGAGUGGGAAGGAACUUAGAGGAUUCGAACAACAUAGUGUAUCAAUAUGACUUAUAAAAUCAUCUCCAAACUGAACUCUACGAGUGAUGUUCCACUAGGCAUCCCAGGUGCUUCUCUACUUCAGGAUAGAGACAAGGAGGAAAGGAAAAAACUUUGGUGGUGGUAGAGACUAGAAAGGAAGUAUUGAGAACAGACAACCUUAUGGUUCUGUUACUAUGUAAGAAGGUAAAAUGAAAAUUUCUUAUUCCAACAUCAUUAAGUACAAAAUGGGAAAGAUAUACAGAGAAGAUAUACAAAAUGGGAAGGAAAUAACUAAAAAGACUUAUAUGCUAAUAUUACCAAAAGUUAUUAUAUGCAAAAAAUAUCAAAAUAUCAUCAAUACAAUAAAUAAUGACACCAAUUCAGUGGUUUAUGAUGUGGGAACACAUUCAAAAAUAACACCAAUUUAAUAUCGUAUUACUAUAUCGCAUUAUUUCACAUCACUGAAGUUCAAUUACUAUAUUUUUUGGAGUCCGAUUAGCAGCUUUACUAACUCUCUUUAUCUUUCGAAAUGAAUUGAGAUCGAAUAAUUUGAUUUACCUCUGAAAAAAUAAGUAUAAGUGUCACAGAUAUCAGAAUCGCUCCCCAAGCUGGCACCAACGCAUCAAGAAAUAUUGGCAAAGCCUAGAAUCCAUGCAAAGAAAGUCCGAAACUAAUAUUAGUUGAUAUAAAACACUAGAAUUAUAAAUAGGAAGAAUAUGAUUUAUGGGUUUUCUCCUAAGGUUGGUUGUAUUUUAAUUUUUACACAGUAGAUUAUAGAAUAAGUAGUAUCAUACAAAGAAACCCAUAACAAGCGUCAAACAAGGUGAUUUGUAACAGGGUAUGCAUGAGUGAUGAAACUAUGGCAUACAUGUCUAAUUAACAUUAUUAUUCUAACGAUAAAAAAAACAUCAAUACAGAUGAAGUGCUGCUGAACACAAGUACACAACCAAAUCAAAUAUUAAAAAAAAACAGUAGAUGGACGAACGAACCUCCAUGGCGAGGGAAUUACCGAUGAGCAAGGUACAGAGGAGCAGGUGCUGGUUUUUAACAAGUGGUAUAAUUUUAGCAGCGUUGAUGCGAUCCUGAGGUCUCCCAGAUUUUACAAGCACUUCAAGAUCAACUAAACUCAAAGACAUGAGACCCAGCGUUAAACCAGCCAUCAGCCCCGCGAACAUCACGAGUCCCAUGGAUAGAAAGAGAUAGACGAAGAAGAAGGGUUUACAGCAAGCCACCUCCGCCGCCAUCUUCGCACCAGAUCGAUCGGAAAUCACCUCAAAAUCUAGGGUUUGAAUUCUUCAGAUAGACUCGAUGAUGUGCACGGCUCUGGUGAGUUUGUUGGAAGUGGAGAAUGGAGUGUGAUGGAGAGGAAGAGGAAGACAACGUGGAAGUUUGGAAGUGGACGUAGUUAUAACUUAUAAGUGCGUUUCAUGUGAUUUUGUUUUUGAAUAAUCAAAUUUUUAUUUAUUUUUCUUUCUUUUGAGAAAAUAAUACCGUAAUUCUUUUAAAUUUUAUUAUAUGAUUUAUUUUUAUACCAACGUAAAUUCUGAUUCUGAGAUAAUCUGAUUCGUUACAAAUCCGUUUUUUUUUAAUUCUGAUUCUGAUUUUGAACUUCAUUUUUCGCAUCGAAAUUUAGAAUAAGACAUCAAUAGAUAAACAUCCAACCGUCAAAAUGAAAUUAGAAAAGAUAAACCAAAAUGCAUUAUAACACUUGAAAUUAACUCUCGAAGCUGAUUUGCAUGUAUGGAUCCAGAUGGUGUAUAGCAUGAUUGUUUCUUUGGUUUUAAGACUUGGUUGAUAGUAAAUUAGUUUGAUAAAAUGGGUUUUUUCAGAGAAAUUAGAAAAGAGAGCAAAAUUAAAUAUCUCACCUGGGUUUUUCAUCUCUACCAUCAAAUCAAUUAACUUAAAUCAGGGUCUUAAAAGUCGGAAGAGUUUAGUGGUUUAUAGCUGUAUAUAUUGAUUUUAGUUGGUUAUAAAUGUAGUAUGUUAAUAAUUUUCCAUGUAGCUAACAUACCAAGUAUUUAUAAACUAAUGUAAGUUUUUAUGCAGUCCUUUGUGAAUCGAUGGUUAGCAACGUAAAUGAAUAAUUUUUUAUUUUUUCUUGAAUGUCAUUUACCCUUUAGUGUUAAAAAAAAAAUUAAAUUAACUCUCAUUAAAUUAUUGAAAUUGAAUUAUAUUAUUUUAUCUUAAACUAAUUGACUGUCAUACUUAGAUAUUUGGUUCGACAAAACUAUUUUUGGAUUUGGAUUCGGUUCGUUCAUUUGACGGAACUGUUCGGAUUCGGUUCGUUUAAAAUUCAUAGUGUUCGGUUACGUUGCAACAAAAGUUCGACUCGUUUCGGGUUCGGUUCGGUUAUUAAACGAACCGAACCUUGAAAUAGAUUCGUUUAAUUAAACAAACCGAACUCAAACCUUGGUUAACGGUUCGUAAGGCUGUCAACGGCUUGGGUCCGACCCGGACCCGGUCCAGACUCAGACGUCCGGGCCGGGGUCUGGGACCAAUUUUAGGCCCGGUAAAGGAUUUGGACCCGGAUGGCCGGGUCCGGGUCCAGGCUCGGUCAGUUAAUAGUCCGGGUCCAGAUUAGCAAGACCCGGCUGGACCCGGACCCGACUAAUUUAAAUGUUACAAAAAAAAUUAUUAAUAUUUAAAUAAAUUAGAGGUUUAAAUAUAAAUAUUUUAUUGUAUAUUGUUUCACUAUUUCACCAUGGUUAUAUUUUUAUUUAAUAUUUAUUCAUUCUUUCACCAAUAUUAAGGUUAGGGUUUCAUCAUUUCAACACCCCUAAAAUGCUAGGAAAUAUUUUCCUCAAUGAUGAUCUCCCUCCAAAUCAAAAUGAUGCACUUCCAAAUGAAGAAAUUUAUAAUUAUUUUAUAGUUUUAGGUAAAAAUAAUUUAAUUUAUUUGGACCCGGACCCAGCUUAGAUCCGGAUUUUUUCAUGGGUCUGGGCCAAGUCCGGGUCCAGCUCAGUCAUCCCAGACCCGGCCCAUUUACAGCAUUAACAGUUCGGUUCGUUCAACAUUUUUAUUAUAUUUUAUUAUUUUAUAUUUAUAUUAGAAAGUUAUAUUAUAUUAUUUUUUAUUAUAAAUUUAUAUUAUGUAUUUUAAAACUUAUAUUUUUACAAUUUUUCAUAACUUGUAUACUAAGGAUUGACUCAAUAAAAUAAAAUAAAAUAUAAACAAUAUUUUUUUUAUUGUUUAUUUUUUAAAGAUGGAUGAGAUUGUUUAUUUUAUUUAAUGUUUAUUUUUAGGAUAAUGUAAAAAAAGUUCAAUACUCGAUAAACUAUUCGGUUCGGAUUCGGGUUUGGUUAUUAAACGAACUGAACCCAAAUUCAAGAGUAGACUCGUUUAUUUAAACGAACCGCACCAAAUAUUUAGGUAUUCGGUUCGGUAGGCUCGAAUUACAACGUUAGUGUUCGGUUCGUUCGUUAAAUGUUUGUUAAAAUAAAUAAACCGGAUCGAAUACUUUAAGUUUAGUUCGUUAAUUAACAUUUAAUUAUUUAAAUAUGUAUUUUAACUUUUAAGUUAUUCAUUAUUCGAAAAUAAAAAAAUCAAACAAGUUUAGAAAAUAUAAUUAGUUAAUAGUCUAUUUUCUUUUGUUCAUCCAAUCUUUAAUCUAUCUUUUUUUCUCAUUUGUUAAAAAUCAUACAUUGAAAUUUAUUUCUCAACAUAAUCUUUUUAAAAAGGAUUGUAAUUUAUUAAUUCAUUGUUUUUUUUUUAGAAUUGAAAUUUAUUUUCAUAAAUCUAUAAUAUAAAUAUAAAUAUAAUAAAAAUGUUAAACGAAACGUUCGUCGAAUCUCAACUAAGAUUUGAGUUCAGUUCGUUUUAUUAAACGAAUCUAUUUUAAGAUUUGAGUUCGAUUCGUUUAAUAACCGAAUCGAAUCCGAACCGAAUUUUUUUACAUCUCUAUCUAUGUACAGAACUUUAAUAAUUGUCAAAUUUUGGAUUCUCGAAAAUCUUAAUAAUUAUUGUGAUAAAUUGAACUAAUGGUUUGUUAUUAAUCUUUUUCUUACAAAUAUUUUUUUCACGAAGAAUAUAAAUAUUAUUCGUUUAAAAUUUGAAUGUAAUUUGUCAAAUGCACCAAAAUUCUCUUAUAGACGUAUUCCCUCCAAAUAAAAUAAGAAAAUAAAAUUAAAAAAUUGGGACUAUUCUUGCCAGUCGCUACCUUAAUUUUGACCAGCACAAUAAUUAUUAAAAAAAUUGAAAAUUCAAGAUUUAAUUUUGGUUCUGUAUGUAUUUUUAUUAAAUUUUCAUUAUGAUUUAAUGAGUCAUAUAUAAUACGACUUUGGUAACACUCAGAUUUAAUUUCUCGAAAAAGAAAGACAAAAGGAAAGAAAAAAUGGCUGAUGAUUUCUCAAGCACUCAUUAAUUAUAAACUUUAUAUUUAAACUUGUUAAUCCCUUACAAUUUUCAUAUAUUCUAUAUUUUUAUACACUGUAAACUUAUUUUAUUUAAGCAAAGUAAUUUUUCAAAAAAAAAGGUAAAAAAAUUAAUAUUUUACAACUGGUGUGUAGGCUUACAGAUUGGUGCACACAGGGAGGGUAUUUAUAUUGUAUUAUAUAUCUGUUUGGACCUUAUUUAUACUGUAUUUAUCCUAAGGUUGCCUCAACCCAGGAGCCCUUGGUCUCGUCCGGCCCACGGUCCACGACCCGUCGCACGGGCCACGGUACCUGUGGUUUGGCCAUGAUACCAGUACAACCUUAGUCAAUAAUUAUUUAGAUCAAUAUUUUUUAUUUGUCAGUUAGUCUCAUUGAUUUAAUACCAUCUAACUCCUAAAACGAUUACACUAUAGAUUUGAAUUGAAAAAAUACCAUAGUGUCAAUAGGGCUCAGGGCUUUGCAGUUCAUCAAAUACAUGAAAACUAAUGAUUUUCUAAAAUCGUAGCAAAAAAUAUUCAAAUGACAUAAAAUACUCGCAAAAAUAAAUGAACCUCAAGAGAUAAUUUGUGCAUAUGUAAAGAUGCAUAUUUGAAAAUUGAGAUUGCGUUUAUAAGUUGAAAACAUGAGAAGUGAGCUUAUAUGUUUUUUAGUCAGUUUUCUUCUCAGCCUUGUCGAGAGCGGAAAGUCUCUCCACUAAAGGAGGGUGGGAGUAAUGGUAAGUCGAAUACCAAGGAUCGGUAUUCAUUGUCGAGAGAUUUUCUUCCUGGAAAAUAGCAAAGAUAUCAACACUUAACAAUGGAAAGCAGGCAUACAAUUUUUUUAUCAAAUCUAGAAUACCCACUGUGAAGCGUACCUGCAGCUUAACAAGUCCAGCACGAAGAGAUUUAGAAAACCCAAGAUUGUUUGCAAAAGCAUCAGCCUGGAACAAGUGUUGACAAAACAAGCUUCCGAAUCAAAUUGAUAAAAUGAAUGCCACCAAAUAUGCUAUCAAAAAAAUAUUAAAUAUCAUUCAUUACCUGAAACUCAAAUGCUCUACUGACAAGAUUUAGACCAAAACUUACAACAUGUUGGAAAGGUAUAACGGUAUGCUGUAAAUUAAGAAAAUCCAAAUAUUGGAUAAGAAUUAGAAUGUAGACUGGAAAAUAAUUGCGAAGAGCAGAGUUAUGAAGGAUUUCUGAAAAAUACUUGAAAAAUUAUCAAUCCAAUAAGCACUGGUUGAGUGUCAAAUCCAAAGCUAAGAAAUAGAUCCUUGGAGUUUCUUACAAGUGUAUAACCUCCAAACUGCAAGAAUGUUAAAACCUGAAACAAAUAGCAAGAUAAUGGAUAUUUGUUAUCGUGGAAAAAUGACAAUAAGAUUAAUACAUUAAAGUUCGGUAUGAACUGGCACUUGUUUUGUCCAUGUUUUAGAAUAAAUGUAAUUUGUUUGUUUUAUAAAGUGUUGUCCAUUAUUUAUACAUGAGUUAAUUACUUAAAUCACAUCAAGGUUUUUAUAAUGUUUCGUCAAACAAGCAUGUGUAUUCCAAGAUUAAUGGGGGGAAAUGGCUACUAUUAUAAAAAAAAUGAAGUAAAUUUGAAUUACAUAAAUAAUAGUGAGAGAUGGACAGAGCCACAGGCCUGCCCAUACACUUUCCUAAGCGUAUUUUCCUCAACUGGAGUCUAUUAGACUUCUUUCGGUCGUUAUGCUUGAAGGACAAGCUGAUAUCCCAAAUAAUCUCUAACAAAAACAUCUAAUGAAAAUGUACUGCUUCAGUCUUUUGUUCCUCUCACUCUAGAUGUGCCAAGAUCAAUCCAGUGCAAUUCUCAACAAGUGUGAGACGUGAAUUUCUAGAGGGUCUCUUUGACGACCUUGUGGAUAGUUCGUACAGGCUCUAUUAUAUGAACAGACUACAAUAUAUACUCCUAUCCUUGUUAUGUCAUAUUAUCAAAAAAUAUCGUGUUAGGUAAUCUCACCAAUCACAAUCUUUUUCUUACAUUUGUAUGCGCACUCAUUUUGUACAAUAUAUAUUUAGUUAAAUACACCAUUUCACAAAAAAUGAAAAACAGUUUGUGCAAUAUAUACAGAUAAAAUCUAUAAGACCGAUGAAAAAAAAAAUGAACGAUACCUGAACAACAAAGAAAGAAUACAAUGUAUGAUUAAGUUUCCAAUGCCCCAGUUCAUGGGCAAUGACAGCAACAACUUCUUCCUCAUUUUUGCACUGUUAAAAAUGACAUAACAAUGUUAGAAGAAGAAAAUACUUUCUAUCAAGAUUAAUAAAAUGGCUUGUUUUCAACUUCUAAUUCAUGUAAAUUUAAUUGUAAUAUUUUUCAACUUGAUUAUGACUGUUAAAACUUAAAAGUGUAAUUUUUUGUCAAAUAAAAUCACUACCAUGUUUUGCAUUUAGCGUUGGAUUUAAUACUCUUGAGAUUUAAGAAUUGAAACAUGGAUUUUUAUUUCAAUUUUUUGACUAUUAAUUCGCAACUCAAUUUAAAUCUAUUUUUUUAACUAUUUUAUUUGAUUUUUUUAAUCACAUAAUAUCAGGAUCGUAAAUCACACUAAUGAUUGCUUUUAGGGCAUUUGAUGGUAGAUUCAGAAGAUCGUUCUUGUAAAUACAAUAUUCAAUGUUGUAAUAGAAAUGGAUAUGGAUGCUCUAAUUCCAAAUACUUGGAGAAUAUAGAGAUCUCUGAGAGAGUCCAGAAACCCAAACGAGCAUCUUAACUUUUAAAUCUAAGAUAGUAAUGAUAUAUCGAUAUUAUGAUCCAAGGUUCCCUAUACAUGUACGUGGCUAUGCGAUUUCCAUGUUCACGUUGUGACAUAUACAUACAUAAACUGUAUGAAUAAAUAAUGUGGGUAUUUUUUAUAUAUAAAUAAUAGUAAAUAAUGUAUGAAUAUUAAACUGUCUGGAAUUUAUAAAUAAUAUUUAUGGCUAUUUACUAUGUUAGAUAGAAAUAAAAAUGAUGGACAGAAAAGAGAUGUCAAGAAUUAGGAAGCUAUAUCCAAUGGGAUGGAAACAAAAUAAUGGGAAGCUUCGACAUCGAGAAAAAGAAAAAGAAGAAAAAUGAGAAAUCAAGAAUAACAAUGGAAGAAAUACAAGCACAAAAUUAAUCCGAGACUUUUGAGAUCCCACGACACGACAGAAAUGGGUGAUUAUAGCUAAUCGACUGUUACACCCACCCAAGGUCACCUUUAACGAGGCUCCUCUCGUCGGACUCCACCAAAGGAUAGCUAACUCAAAUCAAGCUCCUAGGUGCUGCAUUCUCUGUUCACGGGCAACUACACACCCAAAGUAAUCCUACAAGUAGAGUUGGUAUGAUAAGAAGGUUUUCCCGGUGAAAAAGACGGGAAAGACCGGUAUAGGCUAGUUUAAAGACGGGAAAGACUGCAAUCGGGUUUUUUCCCCUUCCUACCAUCCCAACUGAGGACUAAGUGUCUAAGUGGAUAUCGGACGGUGUGGACAGUGGUCUGGUCAAGGAGUGCACUUCUGGGAGAGGUAAGUUAGUAUUUUUUUUUUUUUGAAGCAAUUAAAUUUCAUUAGAAUAAGGCUAAUGCCAAGUUUACAAAAUAGAGAAUAGAAAUAACAAUAGAAGUAAAAAGAAAUGAGCAAAAUGCUCAUUGACUCUCUCCCAUUAGCUAUGUAGUCUAGUUAUACAGUAACUAGAUACGCUGCCUCAGAAGGUUGGUCUCCCAUACUUCCAUCAUAGAUGUCUCUAAAGGGUGACAACAACUCUUCUUGUAAUACACUGAAUCAAAGGAGAGACUAAUGUCUUUAAUGACCUCCUUAAAGACUACCUCAGGAGGCCUACUAAUGUGCUGCCUAUACCUUUUAUUUCUUUCCGUCCAUAUAUGCCACGACAAGCACCCAAUAGCAUUCCAUAUUAACCCCCAAGGGGGGAAGUGACGCGUAAUCUUUUGUGCUGCCUCCGUCAGAUCCCCCAAUCUAAUAUCUGGACUUGAUUGGGCGGGAACUGGAAUAUUCAUUAUUUUCCAGAAAGCGAAAUCCAGUUGUUCCGCCAACGAAAUUAAGAGAGAUCUGGAAUAAGAACAGUUAAAGAAAAGAUGACUCCUAGUUUCAUCUUCCAGAUUACAUAGUAAGCAAGCAGGAGGUACUUGUACUCUCCAACUUCUUAAUUUCCUGAACGUGUUUAGAUGAUCCCAUUUCACCCUCCACAAGAGAAUAAAGAAUUUUGUCGACAUCUUCGACCAAAUUCCCUCAGCUAACAUGUCUUUAUGCUUUCUAUCUCUAAUACUUUCCACUAUUCUCCCCAAUUUAUUUAUCGGAGUACCAGAUCUCCACAUAAUCGUACUAUUUGCUCUACAAUACAAACAUUUAUCCACUAGGCUUCUUUCUGAAACAAAAGCUUUCCAAAAAUGCGAAUCCACAGUAGGUCUGAUUUGUAUAUCAUUAAACGCCUUUCUUUUAAUAUACCUAUCUUGGAUCCAUUUUACCAGAAUAGAAUCGCUCUUAUCCCAGUACUUUGAAACUCUUUUAAUAUUGGUUGCAGUGGUGAUAAUAGGAAGGUCUCUAACCCCUAGACCCCCUUCCGUCUUGGGAAGGAUCAUUUGGACCCACGGGAUCCCAUAUAAAUCUAUAAGCUAACCUUCUCACCUUCUUAGCCACAGAAUCAGGGAUAGCCAUACCUUGCGCCCAAUAAGUAUACUUUCCAACUAUUAUCCAGUUGACUAAUUGUAUUCUCCCUCCAUAGGAAAGACAUUUCCCACUCCAUCUUGCUAGGAGCGCCUCUAUAGACUGGAUUAGCUUCCAGCACUGUCCAAAUGACUUUUUCUUUCCCGUGAUUGGUAACCCUAGAUAUAUUAUAGGUAGACUUUUAACAGUAUAUCCUAAGAUAUUAUGCAAAGAUUGAUUUUCUGCACAUACUUUUGAGAAGGUGGAGGAGCUUUUGCUCGCAUUUACUUCCAAUCCCGAGAACAAUGAGAAUUUCUCAAGCACCGUUUUAAUUGCAUUAAGCGAUUUCGGAUUUGCCUUUGAAAAUAUGAGGAUAUCAUCCGCAUACAUGAGGUGAGAUAUAGAAGUAGCACCAUUCACCUGAUAAGUAUCUAUUUUUUUGUUCUUUACUCCAUUCUGUAUCAACCUACUUAGAACAUCCAUAACCAUAUCAAAUAGAAUAGGAGAUAGAGGAUCACCCUGUCUAAUCCCCCUCUGGCUUUUGAAGUAAGUUAGUAAUAGUUCUCCUUAAAAUGGCCAGAAUGUGGUCUGAAGAGAUGAGCAGGAGCGAUGAAGCAGUCUGGAAACAAGCGGCAACAUACACACAUACAGAGGAAGGGAGAACAUAGCAAAGUUCAGAGUAAACAACAAACAAGACGAGCAACGAAGGAUUGGAACCGAUCACACAAGGUUACAUCGACAAAUGGCAAUUAAGCAACCCGGAGUUAGGAGACCUUCGAGCGUUGGAGUCAAUAGCAUCGGUGGGACCAAUCCUCCUAGAGCAGCAAAUCGAGUCGCCUAAGUUUGGGGACAAAUUAAAACUCACACAUAGAGCCUUGGCGGAUGCACCAAGCUACCGGAGUUUAGCGGCUCUGGUGAGGAACAAAUGGAAUAUCAAAGAUAAAUUCCAGAUAGUGCGCUAUAAGGAAUCAACCUUCCAGAUAGUGCGCUUAAAUUCAGAAUAAUAGUCGACUAUCUAAGGGCAUGCGAUCUAAGAUUCGAACAACUAUGCGAUGUCCCAAUUCUUGUGAGCAAGGAGCCACCAGACAUCAUCUUUGAAGAGGUUUGUGAGGAGGUACCUCAAUGGGCCAUAAUUGAGGGCGGAAUCCGAGCAGUCCAUUACGCAAGAGACUGUAUUGCAGAAAAGGGAGACGGAAGGGGAUUCUUCUCCGACCAUCGUCGUGGACAAUAACCUAUCGGCAGGGCAUCUAAACCGUCUCAACCUGACCCGGUGGAUCCUCUCGACUUGGUCAGUCAAGCUAUGACGGGUAAGUCACAAGAGGAAAAUCUCACAACUACUUUUAAGAGGUGGCUUCAAAACACCUCUCACAUCUAGGGAUGAACAUAAAGCUUUUAACAUGCCUCAGCUAGGUCCCCUAGUCUGAUAUCAGGGUGUGUACUGGUGGAAGUGGUUAUAUUUAGAAUCUUCUUGAAAAUAUUGUUUAGACUUUCAACUAGGGGUUGGAGAAUGGCUCUAGAGUAAUGUGCAGUUGAAAAAUAGUUGCUCUCUAGUUUCAUUUUCUAUAUUGUAUAACAGGUUUUCUACUCAUUUUCCAAGUAUGUAAUACAGAUUUAUUAAAUUUGAAAAAUCCAGCUAUGUUUUUUUAGUGCAUAUAUUUGGCAUGAAGUAGAUUAAGAAUGACGUGUUUUACAAAAAAAUUAAACAAAAAGAGUUGGAAAUACAUUAAUACCUGUUGAAUUAAUGUGUCAUAGAGUACAAUGCGCUUGUUUUUGAAAAACCCAUACAUGUAUGCCUGGAAAUUCCAAUUGGAUUCAAUUUAAAAAAAUGUGCACAAGAAUUAUGAGUUCUGAGAACUACUUAAUGUCAAGGAUUUAGGUAUAAAAGAGAGCAACAAUAAGUCAUCUCAUUUCCCUUAUCAUUGUAGCUUCACCAUACCUAUCUUUUGUAUUUAAUGAAAUAAUUAACCUCAUAGAAAAAAGUCACCCGAGAUAGCUAAAUUCUAUAAUAUAAGUCAAUGACUACUGAGCCAAAUACAUAUGUAAAGGGCAUUCCAAAGUAUCUUUUGAACAAAAUAUGUAUAUUUAUACAAGAUUAUUUUCUAGAAAUAUAAAUAUUAGAAAGUAAAUGAGAGGUUUUUAUACUCACAUUGCUAUGGCUCGAUCUUGUGGAGCCAUCAACAACAAAAAGCUUUUUCAAGGGAAACUUAAGGGAAGAUGCAAGCUCUUCAAUUUGAUGCCUAAGUGGACCAUCUGGAAGCUGCAUAAUGUUUGAAGCAUAGAAAAAUUAUAAAGUCACAUCAUCACUAGAAAUCAUUGUAUAUAUAAAUUACAUAAAUCGACAAUAUUAAUUUCUAUUGCAGUUUGGAGGGAAAAAAGUAUACUCACUGGAGUAAAUUUGUUAAAAAGAGGAGCUAUUAGGAUAGGAUACACUGUCAUCAUGACAACGGACAAGACAAACAUAAAACCCCAGAGAUAUAUCGCCAGGUAAGGCCCUCCUGUCUGCAUGAUUGGAAAUAAAUUUAUGAAAAAAUCAUGAAAUAACAGGGAAUAUAUAACGUAAUGCUAAAAUCAAAUACAAGGCUAGUAAGGUAGGAAAAGCAUGUACAUGAACAACCAACCCACCUGUACAAUAUAAAUUAUUGCAGCUACAAUAGGUGGUCCCAAUAUAAUAGUAAGAAUAAGGCCCUUUAUGAUAUCUUUGAAAAACAACCACUUUGUUAGCUGCAAAGAAGCAAAAUGACUCAAUGAGACCAAAUUUAUACAAAUAAUAAAACUGAAUUUACUAUAAAAAAUGUACAAAAUUAAAUACAGUCAACAGACUUUAUUGAAACCAUGGCGAGCCUCAAUAACAAAAGUUGAGUAUAUUGAAAAUGGCAAAUCUGUAAUCUGCAGAAAGAGAAAUUAUGUCAGUGGUUUAUUCGCAAUAAUAAAGCAAUAUAAUGGAUUUAAUUAGAUAUGAACAUAUCCAGGUGCUAAGGUGACAGGAACUAAGACCAGUGAGUGAGGUGCUAAGGCACAGUUUUGUUGACGUAUCAACUGUUUUAAAAAUGCUUGGGAAGUUGGGAUGCCGAGGAGACACUAACUUUACCAGCACUGAUAAUUGACAGAUGUUAAAAAUUAACCAGAGUAGGAAAUGAUGUCAACUCAAACUCUACACGAUUGGAUGAAUCAUAGGUGACUAGGUCAAGGUAUCAACUAUGUUGAUUGAACAGUAAAAAAAAGGAUACACAUGAAAAAAAAUGUUAACAUAAUCAUUCAUACCUGCGACCAUAUCAUAAUACCUCCUAGAAAAGACAAUGUAUGGAAUAUUUCAUUUUCUGCAUUCAAGCCCAAGUACACCAAAAAAUCUCCAGAUUUCUGUUACAAAAAAAUAAUCAGGAAAACAAGGAAAAAAUGAAAAAGGAUAAAAUUAAUCAUGAUUUAGAGCUACUCACCCCCCAGAAGAAAGGUAAUACGCCAAAAUACAAGAUUGCUGUAUCCAUAAUCACGGUGAUAACUUCAUGAACAAAGUGGAAAUGGCUAACAAUAUAAAACAUAAGCAUGGAUGAAAUCUAGGGUGAUCAGUAUUCAGUGACAGUUUCCUCAUCUCUUUUGAAUAAAAUAACACUAAAUUCUUUGACAACUAAAAUGCAUGAAAGGAAGAACCUUUUGUCAAGGCUAUAAGCUCUAGACUUUACAAACUUUUCAUUGCUGAUGACACCUUCCAAUGGUUUAGGUAGAGUGGUCAGCUUCAGUGCAGCAUGUUGCCGAAUAUCCAGAUAUGUCUCAAAUAUGUAAACUAAUAUCAUAAAACCUGGAAGGAUGAAAGCAACCACGUAAAUAAGAGAAUAUCCUGGAUUUUUCUAAAUUAAAACCUAUCUUAAUUCUUGACUCAUAAUAUUGAUGAAUAUAUAAUGAUUAAUGUAAAGAAAAAUAUAUAAGAUAAAAAAAAAUUAUAAACUGUGAUAUAAUAUUUUUUUGCUUUCGGCAUAAGAGAUAGGGGGUCCUAUUUUCCAAUAAUACUGUACCCAGCUCUCCAGCUCUGCAUUCUAGACAUUUGUCUAUAUCCUCUCUUGCAGCCAAAGAAGAUUUCCAGAAGGCUUAGGAAUUCCUAGCUUUUGGAAAAGAUAGGAAUGAACUGAAUGGUAAUCUAAUAAUUCGUACUGAUGCGAAUGUCGUCUUUAUUUGUAAUAUUUACAGUAUGUCAUUAAAAAGUUUAUCAUUAGCAUUCCUUGUGUUUUCUAUGUUGUUUAUCUUGUUUUUCUGUGCCUCUAGAAGAUAAUACCCACUUCUAAGUAAUGCAGGUCUAUUAGGGGUUUUUACUUUCUGUUCAUAUUGUAAUCUGGGCUAGGCCCUUUUCAUUAUCUGAUGAAAUUUUAACUUCAUAAAAAAAAGCAUUCGUUGUGUUUUUAUCAUUUUAUUUAUUUAUGUUGAACAUCAAUAGCAUUACCUUUCUUCUAUUAUGAUUACCUAAAUCUAGUAUGCAGCCUUCUUCUAUUACAAAAUAGCAUUAUAGCAGACUUGUAAUUGAAUUCCCUUUAUGCAUGUUAUUUUAUUGUAAGUUGUUUGUGUAGGACUGUAGGAUGUCCUUUAUCUAUUGUUUUUUAUGCAAUGGUUUAAAAUUUUGAAUGUAAAAAUGCACAUAAAUCUAUACUAGUCUUCAAGGAGUGAAAGUGUGAUUGAGGCCAAAACAUGAUUCAACAGUCAACACGAUCGCAAUAUUGAGCCAAAUAUCAUAUGAUUUGACUCAAAUACAUUAAAAAAAAACACUAAAGGUAUAAACCGUAUAACUCUAAAAAACGUAUCAGCAAAAAAAAAUUAAUCACAAGUUAAUGAUAGCAUAAUAGGUGAUGUUUUACUAAUUUAUACAUUUCUCAAUCUAUCCACUAUCCAUUUAUCCACAUUUCAACACACAAAAAAAGACGGGUAAGAUUCAAACGAGGAGGGAAGAUUCAAACGACGGUAAGGAACAGAGGGUGUUGCUUCAAUGGGAGGCCUUGCUGAUGCUCAUCCACGACAAGGAUGGCGGGGUUAGCAACGGCUAACUGCCGGGCAAUUAGGUAGGGUAAUUAGUUUAAUUUUUAAAUUAAUCUAUGAUUAACUGCAAAACUCUUUUCCUUAAAUCAAAGUAACCUUAAUAAAUAAAAAACACACAAAAAAAAUCUAGGUUUUCAACUUUUCAUUUAUACAAAGUUUGAUUCCUUACUAAUUUACCACCUAAAGCGCGUAAACAAUCAAAAUCCAAUCUACUCUCACUAAGAAACAACAAAGGCCGCCGACAAAAAACCAGCGCCGACCAAAAAAAAAAUUAUUGGACAUUUCUCUAAAAAAGAAUCGAAGAACUCAAAUAGAAAACCCUUCAACCCUCACUCGAAAUAAGAAAUUGAAUAUGCCCAAAAAUCUACAUAUAACUACACAAAAAACGAACGAUCGCCUGAUCGAGAACUUCAUAAACGAUAGAACGCGAAAGAAAAUCGAUUCAGCAAAAAAAUGACAGAUGAUGAUACUAAUUACACACCUAUGACGGAUUCCAAGUAGGGAAACACCAUGAUGAUAUGAAGGUGGCGAUGGCGCUGGCGAAUUCCUUUAUCUGCGAUCGAGAAAUCGAAAGAAAAUGAAGAGGAAAACGACAAGACGAGGGUUUGGGAAGUGAAAAGUGAAAACAAUUAACAACAAUAACAAUAUCUACUGUUAAAUUUAUACAGGAAUAAACAACAAUAAAAACACUAUUUACAUUUUUACAGUUUCCCAGUUCCCCCUCCUUAUGACAAACGGUUUGUGGUUUGUUUCAGUCCUCUCCUAUAAAUUCUCUUCCACACAUUCCACAUCAUUCCACUUCCCCCUCACCCUCAAAUCACGAAAAACCUAGACAAUCUCCCCAAUGCAGCUUCGCAGAACAUUGCUACUCAAUGCCGACUAUCCCGAUCUCCAUGACUGCCGGUCCUGUGCUUGUCGUCCCGAUCGCUUAUCCUCGUUGCUUCUUCCACUCUGCCGCCUUCACUGCGGAUUUAUUCCGAUCGUAUUCGGGUGUUUCCACUUCUGGAUUUCAGCGGAGGAGGCUUUCCAGCGGGCGAUUCCGGGUGAGGUGCGAGAGAAAGGAUGUGGAAGAGGUGGUGAGAAGAGGUGGUGGUGGAGAUGGGAAGAUGGGAGAGAAGGAUGGAAUCGCGGUAGUUUGGUUUAAGCAGGAUUUGCGUACUGAUGAUCAUCCGGGACUUGUUCAAGCUUCUUCUUGGAAUCGGAUUGUUGUUCCUGUUUAUGUGUUUGAUCCCCGAAUACUGUCAGGUAUCAGUUUCAGUGUCGAUAUGAUAUUUUUUUUAAAUCCGAUGUUGUGAUUCUUUACUUCUUCACUUGAAAUGAUGAGUUAGAUAUCAGAUAUCAGAUAUGUGUAUAGUUCUGAUUUUAAUAAUAAACUUGAAGUAUGCUAAAGAAUUACUGUUUUGUUUUUCUUAAUGUUCAAGAUUUUUACUGGUUAUUUUACAUUUUUUUUUCAUAUGCAGGGUAUUCUGAUGAGAUGUUACGACUUCUUAUAUCUGCUUUGGUUGAUCUGAAGAAGUCUCUAAAUGACAAAGGGUCCGAUCUUCUUAUUGGGUUUGGGAAUGUAGAAGUUGUCAUACCAAAGCUUGUCAAUGAGGUUGUGUAGUACGUAAUUUUUAAUGACAUUCAAAUUUCGAACAUAAAUAGAUAAGCUGAUAAGCACAAGUUAACUGUUUUUCCUUCGGUAAAAUAGACCUCUGAAUUUGGGGUGUAAAUUGUAAUAGGUGAAAGCUACGCAAAUAUUUGUGGAAGAGGAGGUUGAGUACAGUUUGUGUAGUAUGAUCGGAGCUGUAAAAGCAUCAUUGUCAGAAUUAUCAUGUACAUGGGGAAAUCCUUUACUUGUAAAAUGGCGGGCUCCUUUUUAUGAUAUCAAGGUAAAUUAUUUAUUAUUUAAUUUAAUUAUGAUUGAUUUGUAUUCAGUGUAAAUUGUAAGCGGCAUAAUCACUGUAACUUGGUUUAUGAUGUCAUAAUCACAUACUAAACAUGAUUCUUUACCUAGAAUUUGAUGGAUUUCCCUGAGUCAUACAAUGAGUUUGAAAAGAUGAAAGCUUGCUUGACUUCGCCACUUGAACAACCAAAGUUACCCAUGCUAGAGAUGGAAUUGGACCAAGGUAUUAUCUUGUUUAAGUUUCGCUAGGUACUAUUUGUCACAUUCAUAUAUUAUCUUAAGUUUACAUUAGCAUCUGGUAUCUUUAGGUGUUAUACCUUCAUACAGCGAGUUAAAGGAGUACAUGCAUGAAAAUCCACUUAAACACGAGAAAGUUUGGUCCUCUGUGAAAGCAAUAUCAGCUAAAGCCAGUUUGAAGGCAAAUCAACAAGACAAAAGAAAAUUUUCAAAUAUUCAAAUUGACUUUGAUGACUAUUCAGGAGUAUACAAUGAAGAUGCUUUAACUUAUGAGAGUUAUGGUAAGAGAAAUUUGAAAAAUUCCGUGUUUGUUUCUGAGGAAGGAAAUGUAGUUGCUGGUGGAACAGACGUUGCCCUCAAUGCUUUAGCUGGUUAUCUUAGAUACCUGGAGGGAACAGCUAGGGAUGACUGGCAAGAGUAAGCAUCAUAUUCAACAAUUGGAAUUCCUCUACUUAAUAUUGAUCAUUCCAACAAAUUGGACUGCUAUGCUGAAUCAUUGAUAAUCCAAAGCACACGUCUCAUCUUUUUUAUCACCAUUCAGAUUAGUUUUUUAGCUUAAUCUUGUAAGACCGAGAAAAGUUAUAAAGCAUAAAUGAAAAUUCACAUAUCAAUGUAACUGCAAUGAAUCAAUUAUUACAGUUUUAAACUGAUAACAGGUUUUAGUAAUUUGAAUCAUCCAGUAUUAUCAAUAAUUUUUUGUCAUUGUUAUUUGUUUGUUGAUCUUUGAUUGCAAAUUGAGUUCAUUUUAUUCUCGUUCCAAUUGCAGAUUACAUGCAAAACUGCGGAUUUCUGAAAGGAGGAGAGGAGCUUCGUUUGAUGUUUUGUUUCGAUAUGCACUUAAUCUUGGAGUUCUAUCUAGAAGGAGAGUUUAUUAUGAAACCAUUAAAUAUGAGAAAGAACGCAAUGCAGGUUUUGUUUCUCCGUUUGGAUACUCAGUGGCAACUGUUUCUGCUGCAGUUGAUGCAGUUAGAUCAAUAGAGGUGCCUCUUUUAAAAUUAUUCACUUAUACUAUAUGUCAACUUUACACACACAUGCACACCAUAUAAUAUAUAUUUACAUGUUAUCUUUAUUCUUUUUUGUUCAUUUCAUCUUUUUGUUUUGAACAUCGUGUCAUUGUUAUGUUCACUUAUGUUGUCAGUUGUCACUCUCUCUUGUGUUAUUAUUGUUAUAUAAUAAGCAAACAUUUUUCAUGACUUGGCAGUGGUAUUCGGUUUUAAACCACAAACAUCAAACAUCGAAAUUUGAAGUUCGAGUAUGGAGAUGGAAUGGUUAUCUAAUUCAGGUAUUCAAUGGUCAAUAUUAUAUGCGGUGCUGUAGACAUUGGAAUUUUCAAUAGUCAAUCUUUCUAAUUAUUUUUAGUGGCUCAUUUAUUAAUUUUAGAAUUACCUAAAUACUUUUACGUACAGGUGAACUGUUUUCUUGUAAUAGAUCAUCAAAACAGUAAAAGAUGAGUCUUAUAAAAAACUAGAAAAAUAAAAUAGGAAAUCGGUAUAUAAUUUCAAUACCAAAGGUCCAAAUAGACCUCCUUAUAACAUUUCUAACGUAUACAUUGUUUUUGAGCUCAACUGAUACAACUAUACAAGGAGACACUAUCCCAUAGGUAGAUUCUCUCUCAUCCUUUGUAACAAUUGCACUUAAUUCUGUUUUCUUUUGAGUUGAAGUUUCUCUUAAUUGCUGUGGGUUAAGAGUAACUUGAGCAUACAAUUCUUGCAUGUUUAAAUAGUUUUGUUACUUUUGUAGUUUGGUUGCAUAUUUUGCAUCUUUUAUAAAAUAAAACCUACCAAUAAAAAAAUAUUUCUACCAUAUAGGCUGUAAUAAUUUUCAUUUCAUGAGAAACACUGGUUUGAGAUUACACACAUUAUUUAUUAAGAUAAUCCUUUUGGUGUGCAAGAUGGAAUCGUAUGAUUAAUAACUCAUACAAUUAUAAGUCAUUUGGUGUUUUUUUUCAGUACACAGUUGCUGGGCAUGAAGGUCCUACCAUUCUUCUUGUGCAUGGUUUUGGAGCUUUCUUGGAUCAUUAUCGUGACAACAUAUUAUCUAUAGCUGAUGAUGGACAUAGAGUAUGGGCAAUCACUCUUAUAGGCUUUGGGAAAUCUGAAAAGCCUAACAUUGUGUAUACUGAACUUAUGUGGGCAGAAUUAUUGCGAGAUUUUAUUGUUGACGUUGUGGGUGAACCUGUACACCUUGUUGGGAACUCAAUUGGCGGUACUUUCUAUUCCACCAUAAUUUCAUUUCAACUAAAGUUCAUUCUUUCAAAUAUUUUUCUGAUUUUACAAUUCCAACCAUUGCAAUCACACACUUGUUCUAGGUUAUCUUUCUGCUACUGUUGCCAGUCUUUGGUCUUCUUUAACAAAAUCAUUGGUCCUUAUUAAUACCGCGGGUUCAAUAGUCCCUGGUUAUUCUUCAAUUAAAAUUAAUGACGUAAGUUAACUUCUUUUUUUAAAUAUUUUCAUACAACCUAGUAGUCUGUCUGCACCAUAUAUCGUGCAAGCUUAAUCUAUAAUUCUAUCAUGGACAGAAUCAUGAAUCUUAAGUGUAACUCAGGUUAACAUGCAUUAAAUUGCCUUGCACUAUUUACACAAAUUCUUCCAUUGAGUUCAUUUUAAAGACACCAAACCUACCACACUUUAAAGAAAUCUCCAUGUAGGAAGCAUGCAUACAAGGUGUAUUAGUUUUGAAUGUUUCUGAAUAUUUUUCAUUUUAAAUUUCCUUUUUCUAGGGUGGGACAACAUCAGGAUUUGUAUGGUUAGGUGCACGUCUACUAUUGCAGUUUUUGAGGUUAAGAGUUCAGUACAUGAUGAAGGAUUUCUAUCCAACAGUAUGAAUCCUUGACAUUUUACUCUAUCUAAACUUUAAUAUACAAUACUGUUAUACAUUGACACUGAAAUUCUUCAAAUUCAUUUGCAGAAACCAGAACGAGUAGAUGAUAGCCUUAUCAGUGAAAUGCUAAGAGCGGUAUCCUUUUGAAAAGUAUUUCAACAUGAUUAUUUAGUAACUAUAAUCAAUAAAGAAAUACAAAAAAAAAACUUUGAAUGCAAGACCCUAUGUUUAGAUGGCUGUGACAUCUGUAUUCGUGUUUAAAAACAUCUUCUUUGUAUCUGCAUUUUAAGACUUAUGUAAACAAAGACUGCAUGCAAGGUAUAUUUUGUCCUUGACGUAAAUAUAGUCAUAUGAUCCUGGCGUGCUUACUGUUCUAGAGAGUGUAUUCAACUUUAAACUAUCAAUUCCUCUCAAUUAUCUAUUGGAUACUUUCGAAGACAAAGUUCUCAUAAUUCAAGUAAGCAAUAACUUUUUGAUUAAUUGCUUCUAUAGUUCUGCUAACCUUCUUUGUAAACCACUAAAUUCCUUAUCUUUUAUAUCCAUGUUAUUUUAUCCAGGGAACCAAAGACCCACUUUCAAAAUCCGAUAGGAGAAUAUCUAUGUUUAAGCAACACUGCAAAGGCGUAGCAAUAAGAGAACUAGAUGCAGGUACAUAUAUGUUGUAUCUUUGAUAGGAAAUUAAUCACAGUUUUUGCCUUUUUGAAGCACCCUCUUAACCUGUGCUGAAUGUUUUGAGUGCUGAGUAGUGAGGGAUCAGACUCAGGUGUGGGAACUGGCCAGAAUCUGGUGAAUGUCUACCAGAGGUCUGAAGGUUUUCAGCUGGAGGUGCAAAAUCUCAUUGAAGGUUGCCAAAGUGGUUGGAUUCUAGCGACCUUCCCAGUCUGGCAAUCUCUAGUGAGAUCCAACGAAUCCAGCACCUCCAGACCCCAUCCGACAAAUUUCAGACCUCUUAGUGAGUAUUCAGACUAAUCAGGCCUGUGGGAGUUGAUCUUUGCCAGAUUCAAAGUUUUGAGCUCAAACUUAAAACUUUAAAAUUGAUCUCAAGGCUGGAAUUUUAUCAUAAAUAUUAAAUAAGAUAAGCAUUAAUUCUCAGAUAACCUCAGUUAGUCGCUAGAUGAUCCCUAUAUGUAGAAAUAGAAUAUUCCGUAAUAGUCCUUAUUAUCAGGUAAUGGGACAUUAAUUGAUGGAUCUAACUGAGGUUGUGAAGAAAUUUAAACAUCACUCUCCCUCUUGGAGAUUACUUUAUAAUGUCAUUGGGUGUUUGUCGUAACAUAUCUAAACAGAGACGAAUAAAAGGUUCAAAUAAUACACCAGUAGGCCUUUUAAGAUAAUUUUUAAAGAAGUAAUUAAGUACAUCAGUCUUUCCUUUAGACCGGAGUGUCAUAAGAAAAGUCAUUUUUUUUACUCCAUGUAAUCAAGGCAUUGCUCUUCAUUUUUCAAUGGAAAAUUUUAUUUGCUAUAAAAAAAGGUAACGGGAACCAACAAAAAUAUAAUACAGCAAAUUGAACUUGCAUUGUUAUAAAGUGAAUUAAAAUAAUAGUCAUUCUUAAAAAAAUUUAAAGAUUGGUCAUCUGUAUCUUACUUAGGGUUGUAAAUAUUAUUAUGACUUCUGAUUUUCCUUUUCUGGUUUACAACAUUUCAGGACACUGUCCCCAUGAUGAAGUACCGGAAUUAGUCAAUUCUAUAAUUACUCAGUGGGUUGUUAAAAUGGAGAAUAACAACCUUGUAUAUAACCAAAAAGAAGUUGGUAGGUAAAUUAUUAUGUACACCAUGAAAGAUGUAAAUCAUGUAAAAGCUUCCAAUUAUAUAUAGGACACCCAAUCGUCUAUUUCUUAUUCGACUGUAAUUUUUAUAACAUGAAAAUAAGUUAUGUUCAACAAUUAAUGAAAUAAAUAAUGUCUAAUGAUUAUUGAUUGGAAAUAUAAAAAUAAAUUUGGAUUAUAAGAUAUCCAAUUCUAUUUAUCACUGUGGAGUCUCAAGAAUCAAGAUGUAGAAAAACUUCAUAAGACAAACAGUCAAGACCUCAUUAUCUUAAAUAUCUCAUAAAAAGUAUGCUUUAUAAAAAUCAUUUUAGAAUUUUAUUUAAGCAAUAAAUGAAACAAACAUUUCAUGAUGAAUACUAUCUAAUUUUCAUAUUCUCAGCUCUCUACACAAACUAGUAAUAUCAGGAACUAUUCCACCACUAUUAUGAUAUCUUAAAAUACCAUCUCCACCCAAUUCCUUCAACAACAAUGCUGGUUCUUUUGCUCCUCCAUGUUUCAAAAAAUUUCUGAUUGCAGAUCCUGUUGAAAAUGAUAGUGGAUCUUCAUAACAAACCUCAUGCCAUACAGUGGAUGCUAAACAUCUUGCGUAAAGAUAGCUAUAAUAUCCUGUACCAUUGAACAGGGAAAAACAACAUUAGUAAAAAGUGUUAUUUGUUGUAUUUCAGUUAAAUAGUAGAUGUACAGCAUACAUACGGAUUAUGGAAUUUACCUGCUCCAUAAUUUAUGAGAUGGUUGAAUCGAGUGUGCCAAUGUGUGCCUUCGGCAUAGCCAAAACUGGUGUGUGUGUUUUGCAACUCACCGAUUAGUGUGGUUUUAUCGUGAAUGGAGCUUGUUGUUUCACCAAACAAUGUCUGAUCGAUCAUUGAAUAAAAUAUCUGAAAAAAUAUUUAACCAUGAAUAGUGUUUGCGAUUUAUUAUUCAACACAAUGAUUAUAUAUUUCUUAUACAUAACCUAAAUAUUAUGUACGAUGAGAUGAAAAUACCUGUCGUUGCAACUCGGUUGCAGAAAACAAGGACCUGGCAUCAUUCAAAGCAUUUACUAGUUUCUCAGGUAUCACCUCACCAGUUGAGUAGUGUUUAGCAAAUUUUUUGAGAACUCGAUAAUCCCAAGCAAAGUACCUACCAAAAGAGUGAGUGGACUCCAAUUAUUAGCCUUUGCCCAUGUUUCUGUGUUUUAAUUAUACGAGUGCUUAGAAGGGUAAACAUGCAUUGAAACUAGAAAUAUAUACUCACUCAAAAAUGUUUGAAGGUGUUUCAGCCAAAUCCAAAACUACUCUUGUACCUGAAAAAUGUUGAUAAUCCUACAAAAAGUCAAUGACUCAAAUGUAUCACCACUGUCAAAUAGUUAAUUAAAAAUGUAAUAUGGAUUGUAAAUUUGCAUCGGUCUUAAACUAAAUGAUGUACCGUUCUAGAAAGCAAAGAGUGAAGAGCAUGUCCAAAUUCAUGGAAAAGAACUUCUACUUCCCAGUGGUUAAGCAACACUGGAGUUGAUGAUGAGACAUGAGAUGCUGCAAAAUUGCAGACUAGAGCAACUACCUGCAUCCAACCAUCAUCCCUCAUAUACAUAUGACGACACAUUACACGAAUUAUAAAUUAAACAUGAAGGGUUUCUUUUGUAAUUCUAGAAAGUAGACAUUUAACAUAAAAAAGAAAAUGGUUUAGAAGAUUUCAAAAGAGAAAUAAGAAAGAGCAUACAGGAAGCUGAUAUUCUGUAUCAGACAGUCGACACCCUCCUUUAAUUGCAAAAUGAGCACAACACGGAUAUUUGUCUUUCCUGGAAUAAAGAUCGAGAUACAAGUAUCCAAGAUAUCCCUGUAAAAAGUAAUCGUGUGUUCAUGUUAUUAAAUGAUCUAACUAUCUUAGUUUAAACUAAAAUUUAGAAAAUAAUAAUUAAAACAAAAGUGGUUGCCUCUUCACUAUGGUACAGUGACAUCUUAAUCACAUCAGGAUGCCAUGAUUCACCAGGUGCAAGGGGAGUACAUUGAAAUUGGAUCCCAAACAAUGAUUUCACCAAAAUUCUCAAACCUUCGAUGCAUUGUGACAAAGAAAAAUAUGAUGCCACAAUCUGUUAAAACGGAAAAAAAAUAUAUCAUAUACAUCCAACACAUCAUCUUGCGUAUACAUAUAUAAGAGGGGGAGAUACUUUUUACCCUAAAUUGCAUAAAAUGUCCUUACAUUAAAAUGAUUUAUAUCAAAGUAAAUGAUACUUCGUUACUUUCAAAACUUACAGAAGGAUCUACAUCGUAUGCAGAAGAUUUUAUAAUUCCUGUAUAGUAAGUCUCAUCCCAAGGCUCUAGCAUUGCAGAAGAUCCAUUGCAUCUUUGACUCUUAAAAUCACUGAUUUUCUUAAACUCCUAAUAAAAUCAUAAGGAAAAAAUAGAAAAGACAGAAGAUACAGAACUGAGGGAAUGUAGAAGUCAUGAAUGAAAUAUAUAAUAAAUGUAAGCACCUUGUCGGUCUUGUGUUUCACAGUCUUACUCAAUUCACGAAGGAAAGAAGAAACUACUUGUGGUGUUUUUGCCAUGUUUGAAUUAAUUGCAAAAUCAGUAUAGGUUUUAUAACCCAUUAUCUGCAUACAUACAGACGCAGACAAUUUACAAGAAUCCCAGCAAAAAGACGCACAGCUAAUUAUAAGAUAAAAAUAAACAGAAUGAUGAAUGAUGUAAUUGGUAAAUGCUAUUCAAUGGCACACAUGGUUCCGGGUGCACGCGCAUAUGCGACCUUAGCCGGAUCCGGGUCGAAUCCGAAUUUAUUUAAAAAAAGACUACAUUGGUCCAUGAAAAGAGCUAUAUUAUUUUUAAUAUAAGCACCUCACUCUUAAGACUUCAUAUCUGUUUUAGACAAAAUAAAUCUUUAUUUAUAGACCAAUCUUCUUUGUGUUUUUUUAAUUCUAUCGAUAAAAAAAUGUAGUUAAAUAAAUUAUAAAAUAUUGUACUUUUUGAAUUCUAUUAAUGUGGGACUAAAUAAAGUGUACAUGUGUUAAAUAAAUUAUUGUUAUAGAGUAUUCUUUGUACUUUUUCAAUUUUAUCAAUGUGGGACUAAAUAAAGUAUACAUGUGUUAAAUAAAUUAUAGUGUUCUAUGUACUUUUUAUAUCCUAUCAAUAUAGGACUAAAUAAAGUGUACAUGUGUUAAAUAAAUUAUAGUGUUACAAUGAAUUAUAGGGUGUUAUAAUAAUUAAUAAAUAUAUGUAUUUUUAACUAAAAAAUUUAAUUGAUUAUUUUAUUGGCAUGUCUAUAUUUUAGGAUUGAUAUAUAAAAAAUAUAUGAAUUUCUCUUAUUUUUAAAUAUUUACGAAAAUGCCAAAGGAUUAGAAUAAGUGUUUUGUAUUUGAAGUUUGAACUAUUCUAUGUGUUUUGAACUACUUAAAGUAUUUUGAUAAUUGAUAUAGUUUAGAUAUAUAAAAAAAAUAUAUGAAUUUCCUUUAGUUUUAUAUAUAUUUACGAAAAUGCCACUGGCGUAUUUGCGCGCAUAUGCUCAAGUGCUCCAGGUGGUGGCGCAUCGUGCAGAGGUGCAUCCGGAACCAUGAUGGCACAUAAAAAUAUUUUUCAAAAAGCUCUCAACAGGUUAUUGAAUAAUAUAAGUUAGAAUUUUCUUGGACGUGUUAUUGGCUAUUGAGGGGUGUAAACUCCUGCAAACAUAACUUGGCAUCUUCCUUAAUAAAUCAUCAACUUUUUAAUUAUAUUUUGGAUUAUUCCUUUUUUUCUUUUAACAACUAGUUUUGCAAUUCAUCGUGAUAAAGGAAAUCUGACUAUGUGAGACAAUCAGCAUUAACCUCAGCAAACAUUACACAAACAUCUAAUGUAUAUGAAAAUGAACAAACCUCGGCAAGUUCAUGGCGAGCUGCAAUAAUCUUAUCAAGAACAGCAAGGUUCGAACGUGGGGAGGAAUUCCCAGUUAUGUAUGCCUUUUUCCUAACCUGGCAUUUAAAUAAAACUCUAAAAAGGAAACGUACAUAAGUGAAUCUAGCAUGCUCGAGGCUUGCUCCUACUUCUCGAUCAUAAAGUCAUUAUAUAAUUAUAAUAAACUUAUCUAAGAGAUAGACAAAAAUCAUAAGUACCUACCUCUUCAUCAGACACACACCUUAAAAUUAGAGUUAAGGUAUCUUGAUCUGUUUUUAUACGCAUGACAUUUUCUUUCGUCGAAUAUCCAGGUCUCAAGGAUUUUUUAUCGUAAUGUGGGAUCAGUUUAGCUAGACGUUGGACACGUUUUGGAAUGCGUGAAUCUGGGGGAAUGUCAAUAUAACCUGGAUCGGACAAAAUAUUCUCAUUGAACCUGAAAUAAACCAAAAACAUAACGAACAUAAAAUAUGAAAGAUAAUGAGAUUUUAUUUUUGAAUUUAAGUAAGAAUUGCAUACUUUCUUCCUAACUUGGCGAUUUCAGUGUUCAGUUGAUUUACUCGAUCCAUCUUUCCUGGGAAGAGAGAUAAAGUAAGAAAGGACAUAGAUUAUAAUAAACAGAUCAAACUUAUGAUGUUAAUACCUUCACAAAGAUGGAUUCCUCCUUUCUCAAAUUCCACACGAAGGGAAUGAGCUACUUUCAUAGCCUCUACAUUCAUAUUAUCAUCUUUUUCUGCUUUUUUAACGGCAUUGUAGAGAUGUUUAUUGGUAUUAAGAAACUGAAGUAAAGAAAAUAAGAGAAACUCAAUUGAUUAGAGACCUUUUUAAAAUCAACGAGGAUAAAACAUAAUAACACAUAAGCAUUGAUUAUUUGAUUCGUUUUAGAUUUUUUUUGAAUCCCUGAAGGCUAUAUUUAGUUAAUAUUGUAACAAAGCAUAAAAUUACUUGUUACUGGCUUCUUAAAGAAUGUUGACAAAAUCGAUGUCAAAAAGAGCAAACAUGAUCAAAGAAAAUGCGAGAUUCUUUUUUGUAUUAUUAUAGGAAGUAAAUAUGAGAAUCUUACAUGUAGGUAAUCAUUCAUCCGUAUCGAAGCAUUAGUCGCCUCAUCAAUAAACUCUCUGCAGACACACAAGUAACACAGCUAGUAUUAAAAAAACACCUUUCAAGUUCAAACAUGCAAGAAAGAAUGAAUUCAUAAUAAGAAUUCGUGAAGAAUUUUUUUAUAAGAAUACAAUACCUAUUAGGAUGAGUAUGUCUACAGAGCUCUGCAGAAUCCACAACACAGCAAAUCUGAUGAAAAAAGAAUUUAUCCAUCGAUCCAUCAGUGUCAAACCUUUAUCAACUAUCUAAAUGAUUGAAUCUCUAUAUAGCAAAUCUGAGUAUGACAAUUACUACAUACAGUAUUUGAGAUUUCGUCCAUUGCACGAACAAUCUCUAUUGGUGAUGGCAUCUGCGAAAUGUAAGCCACCAAUUCCCCGGACCUUAAUAAAAGAAAGCCAAUGUUAUUGCAUUCAGGCUUUAGAAACUCCAGCUAUAACCCAGAAGAUCAAAAGGCAAAUUAGGAACUGAAGAAGAAGAAAAGUACAAACCUCUCGAUGGCAUCGUCGACAAAUCUGCGGAAACCUUUGGCGGUCUUGAGUGCAUCAAAACCAUACAGACCAGUCGCCCUUUUCCCAGCAUCGUGAGUUGAUGAUGAUUGAAAACGGAUACAAGGAUAUAGGACGAAUGAGCUCGUCGGUAUUCUAUGGCGGAGGACUCGGAGGAGCUGCUUCAUACAGUUCGACCUCAACAUCUUUUCCAGUUUCACCGACUACUGAGAUUUCUAAUAAAAGCUUUUUUAUAUUAAGCCCACCAGUCCAGACCAACCCAAGAAUCAAGAUAUAUCAGCAACCAACCCAGUCUAACUAAAAAUUCAAAAAAAAAAUUUGUAGUACAUCAGAGCCUCAGAGACAUGAAAAUGAAUCAUAAAUCUUAAUAAUCAUUGAGAUUUUAAUUAAAAAUGAUGUGUCGAGAUUUAUAAUUAAAUGAAGGCGCAUUUCAGGUGUGCUGUUACUGAUGUACCUUGAAUGCGUCAUCAAAUCGUAUUCAUUAAUAUUUAAUCCAAUGGUUAAAGUAAUGUAUUGCACAAGACACUAACACAUGUACGAUGUAAAAUAAUGUACUGCAAAAGACAUUAAUACAUGUACGACGUAAAGUUGAUCUAAUAUGCAAGAUUAAUUUAGCGUAUUUUGACUUAAAGUUGAUCUCGGCACCAGCAGCGAAUGUAGGGGGACUUGAGCCCCCCACCAUAAAAAUAAAAAAAUUUCUUACAGGUAUAGAUAAUUAUCCACAUCAACUUCUCUACCGUUUAAUAUAUUAAUAUAAUAAUACAAUAUAAUAAUACAAUAUAAGAUAUAAUAAUAUUUUAUUUAUUUUUAUAAUAUAAUAAUAUAAAAUAAAAUAUUUUGAAAAUAUUACCAUAUAUGUUGAAAAUAUUUUAUUUAUAAAUCAUUAUCCUAUUAAUAAUUUAUAUUUACCUUAAUUUUUCAUAACUGUCUAUCUAUAUUCAUGGAUUUAGAAAUUUCGUUCUUUAUUACUCCAUCUCCACACCAUUCAUUUAAUUUUUGACUUUUUUUUCUCCAUUUCACGUGAUUUCAUGACUAUAGUUUUAUACAAAGAAAAAGAAUAAAAGUAUUUUUAUUGUUACAUUUGUUAUUAAUUUAAAUCUUUUUUUACAUAGAUAAUCAAUGGAUAAAUUUGUGAUCAAAAGACUUAGAAUAAAUCAACCAAUUUCAAUUUUAUCAUUCAAUCCACAACCAUCUAGAGAGUCACUCGGUAUAAGUAAAUUACCUUCCAAUCGUAUGGAUGAUGUUUGGUUGAAUGAUAUUUUAGUAACAUAUGUUGAAAAAGAUUUAUUUUCUAGUGUUAGUAAUGAUGAUAUUAUGUAUCGAUACCAAAAUAUGACACCUCGUCGAGAACACUUGGAUUGGAUUUUUUUUUAAUUUGAUUAAAUGAUUUAAAAUUAGAAAAAAAUCCUGGAUUCGCCGCUGCUCGGCACACCUGAUAAUUACUCAAUUAAAAUGAAGGGUGAGACUACUCAUAUCUUGUAAAAUAUCCUAAAUGAUAUAUCUCACUAGAAUCGUGUCUUUUAAAUAUCAUGCAACUCUGGUAUAUUAUUCAGAGGGAGAUGUUUUUUUAUGGUGGUAAUAAGAUUAAUGAAAACAGAGUUUACCCGAAUCUUACUUUAUACAUUUUCACUUAAAUUUACCCGAUGAUAUAUUAUGUGGUACUGGUAUAUCAUUCGGAGGUUGACAAUCUACAUCUGUAGAGAGAUACCCUCCGUUAUAAAAAAAACAGAGUUUACUGUUAGAAUAACGGAAACUAACUACUUGUUAGUUAGUUAGUUAGUUAAUUUAACUUUAGUUAGUUUAGUUAAAUAAUCCAUGUAAUCAAUACUAUAAAUAAUGAUUGAAAACAAUAAAGAUAAUCAUCACUUUUGGAGUCCGAUCACCGGUGUUCUUAGUUUCGAUCUGUAUAAUCAAAAUUAUCGACAUAGGAUUAUAUUUUAAUCAUGUCAAUUUAAACCCUAAUUAUACUAUUAAUCAAUAGGGGUUAAAUAAGUCAAUCGAUAUUAAACCUAACUCCAGUUAAUUAAUUAAUCAUUUGAGUUAAAGGUUUAAGUCAAAGUUAAAAGUCAAAUUGGAAGAAUUGCAUUUUUACCUUGAAUAUUAUUUUUGAAAUAAUUGCAUUUUUACCUUGAAUAUUUUUAUUAUUAUCUUUUGACACUUUAUUCAAGAUAUAAUAUUUCAAAGGAACAAAACACUAUUCAAGUUUGAAUUUAUUCAAAGAUAAAAUUCUCUAACAAACUCUAUCCAAGAAAAACACUAUUCAAGAUAAGAUCAAAGACAAAGCUUGGAUUUAUGUGAGAAAUUAAGGAGUCAUCCAUUGAAGAUCCAAGGGUGGACAUUGAGUGGCCAAGGCUAUAAAUAGAAGGGUAAACCUCUCAUUUUCACUCACCACACUACAAGCAAACUCAAGAGCUUUCAUUCCAAACUUGCCCACACGUUUUUUGCCUCCAAGCUCCCAAGCUUUCAAGUGUUCAAGUGUCCUAGCUUUCCAAAGCUUCAAAAGCUCUCUAACUUCUUCUUCUAAUCUUCUUGUUCAUCUCUACAAGUAAAAAGUAUUGUUUGCUUUAAUAUUCCACUCCUCUAAUCACCUCUUGUGUGUGUCCACUUUGGUUGAGAGGGUUGUCUCAAUAGUGCUAAAGUGUGAGAGAAGGUUUUUGAGCUCAACCAUAAAGCUCUAGUUUGGUUUUAUAGAGUUUUCGGGAAAAAUCUUAGGUCGAAUCUACCUUGAAAGAUUUUUAGGUUUUUAAGAGUUCAUUGAUACUCUAAGGUACUAACUUACCCGUAAAAGUUAGAAGUUUUUAAAAGUGCCCUUGAUACUCUAAGGUGUGAGUCUACCCGUAAAAGACUGGUUCCUAAGCGAAGUAGUCUUAAAGCUUAGAGAGGUUUUUAAGAGUUCCUUGAUACUUUAAGGUACUAACUUACCCGUAAAAGUUAGAGGUUCUUAAGAGUGCCCUUGAUACUCUAAGGUGUGAGUCUGCCCGUAAAAGACUGGUUCCUAAGCGAAGUAGCCUUAAAGCUUAGAGAGGUUUUUAAGAGUUUCUUUGAUACUCUAAGGUUUUGCCAUAACUUUUAGGCUAGUGAAUUCCGACAGUAGGUCGGGACUGGAUUAGCUCUUGUUUGGGUGAACCAGUAUAAAUUCUCUUGUGUUGUUUUUUGUUAACCUUAGUUUUUAUCUUUCAUCUAAAAACAACUAAACAACACUUAAUUGAAAAGGAUCUCUCUUCCAGUUAUCUGGUCGAAUACAGAGGUUGACUACUUUACGCAGAUCUCUCAUCCAGUUAUCUAGUCAUCUGAGGUUAUAUAAUUUGUCUUAAAUCCUUUCAAGCAUUUACUUAUCGAAUAUAUAUAUCCAGUUAUCUGGUCAUUUACUAUAUAACUUGCUUAUUAAAUAUAUCCAGUUAUCUGGUCAUUUACUCUAUAAUAUAAUUUGUGUUUGCA
RNAcentral lists this long non-coding RNA (102147 nucleotides) under Zostera marina. Its description in RNAcentral is "long non-coding RNA (ZMAR_LNC005219)". Lineage: Eukaryota; Viridiplantae; Streptophyta; Magnoliopsida; Alismatales; Zosteraceae. The record is from RNAcentral.